GCAAAACUAGCUACUAUAGAGAUAGACGAGGAUCCAUAUGGCUUGCAAUAAUAAACUAACAUUGUAAAAAGGGCAACAAAUGAAGCCUAAUAUAUAGUUGAGUAUCAUUGACCACUAUACAUCACUUGUAUGCAUCUCAAGUCAAGUUUGAAACAACCAAACAAUUCCAGUUCAUAUUGGCUUGCCAGCCAUUUAAUUUUCAGACUUACAUUUUAUUAAUUCUCUGUAAUUUAAUUCUAAUGUGCUAAAAUUAAGGAAGCAACCAAUCAACACAAUAGGGGGCCUGAAAUACGUGGCAUGGGGGCCUCAUAAUCAUUCAUUCAUGGGUUCAAAAGAAAAGAUGAAAGAAAACUGCCGACGAUCAUCAAUUUGCAGGCAUGUGGUGUGGAGUAACAACUAUGGAGGAUUUGAGUAGAGAAAUGCUUAGCCAAGCAAAAGGAAUACUAUAAGGCGGUGAAUAAUCUUGGUCUUGGUCUUGGUCUUGGGGGUCCAUCUAAAACAAAAAAUAAUUUGCAAUGCGUGAAAGUGACUUAAGAUCUAAAUUCUAGAGUAAUUCAGUUGGCUGGAAUCCGGGGGCAACAGAGGAGAUUUCGUCUUGAAGGUGCCAAAAUCCGGCGGCAGCAGAGGAGAUUUCGUCUUGAAGCCUUACGAAAUCUAGCUUGAAGCCUUGAAGCUGUAACUUGUUGGUACUUGGUAAAAGCCGCAGCGAUUUCGUCUUGUUGGUAGGCAUAGGAGUUGCAGCAGUUUGAUGGAUAAAUUCUAGGGUUUUGGGCAGCGGUGGAGAAGAAAAGAAAAGAAAAGUGCAGGCUGAACCGCUAAAGAAUGAAGAAAAGAGUAAAAGAAACGACAAAGGAAAGGAGUCAAAGGCUGACCGACUAAGGAAAGGAAAAGAUGAGAAGAAUCGGUGCUUUUUUUGACUUUUUGAGCAAAAAUUGUUAAAACAUUGCAAUUAAAGGCUGCAAUUCUUUGAUAAAUUACAAGCUUACCCCAAAUGUUUUCAUUUACUUGCAAAAUGAAGUCUCGAAUUUCACAUAUUAGCAAAAUUUUGUAGGAUCGAUGUAGGAUCGUACGAUUCUAUACAAUCCUACCGAUCCUACAAGCAAUUAAUGCAAUUUGUGAUUUUGAAUGCGAUUCGGAUCGAUUUUGGUUAUCCGGAUCGCGAUUUUGACAACCAAAGGAUGUACACAAAAUUUAUAUAAAAUUACAAAUUGUUCAAAAAAUAUUACACUAUUCAAGGACGACUGAUCUAAGCCCUGCGUCGGUUGAGCAUUCUAACUUCCCAAGUGAUCCAGCUGCCCCAAUCUAGCCUCCCCCUUCCUAUGUUCCUAUUCCUUUUCUGGGCUAUUCCAUGUCUUGUUGAUCAUGGUUUCACUCCAUCGUCUUUGAUUUUUUCCAUGCCUAGUCUUUCUCAUGCAAUUUUCCAUCCAAUUAAUGAAUUCUGGUAAAAGGAAAAACUUUGCAGCGCAAGGAAAAUUAUGAAACGUCAAAAUGGUGGUGAAUCAUUCAUUAGUCGCUAAAAAGGAAAUUCGCAAUUUUUUGUCCACAAUUGUGGCCUUAGAUCAAUGUUUUCAGAAUCGGACUGGACCGGCCGGUUCAACCGAUUGGACAGCAAACUGAACAGGCCACGGUCCGGUCUAGAGCUAAAGUCGGAGAGUAAUGAAAAACCGCUAGAAACAGGAUGACGCGGACGAACCGUGAAAAGCCGCACGGACUGUGAAUCGACAGUUUUUGAAACUUUUCAAAAAUAAUUUCCAAUUUAAAUCGUGAAAAAACGCACGGACCAUGAACCGGCAGUUUUUGAAACUUUUCAAAAUUAAUUUCCAAUUUGCAGCCACCAAGAAUCGAACACUAGACCUUGCGUUUGUCACAAGGAGCCCUUUACCAUUGAACCAUAGCCAGCGGACAAUUGUUUUGUGUAGAUAUCUACUUAAUUUAUUAAGUGAAAAACUAAAAAUACCAACCUAAGACACAUCAAACUUAUUUUUUUGUAUAUAAAAAAUAUAUAAAUGCAAAGAUAGUAAUAAUUGUUAGAAUAUGUAUAUAUAUAUAUAUAUAUAUAUAUAAAAUAAAUUAGGUGAAUAUUAAAUGUGUUAGGGCAACCGUUAGAAAAAUCCUUUAAUAAAAUAGCUUUUUCAAAUUAUUUUUUUUAAUUUUUGUAGAAAAAUGUACAACAACGGUUUAAUGUGUGUAGAAUAAAAAUAAUCCAUAAAUAGAUUAGUGAAAAAAUAAAAAAUUUAAAAAAUGACAAUCCAAACAAGGUCUAAUUUGGUAACUAAAUUGAAUUGUUUAGAUAAGUUAUUAUUAUAAAAAUUUUUAAUUACAUUAGAAACACUUAUGCUUUACAUCAUAAAUACAUUGUUGGUAUAUCAAUGUUUGUUAAUGUACUCCCCUUGAUUAUUAAUGUAAUCCCCUUGAUUUUUUAAUUUGUGAAAAUAAAUAAAAAUACUCAGACUUUUAAUUUUAGUUACAAUCUCACAAUAAAAUAGUGGUUGAAAUGCAAUAACAGAUAGAAAGAUUGAGUAGGGAUAUUCUUGCUCAUUUGACAUUGUAGACAAGUAUUUAGGAAAAAAAUUGAUAAAUAAUUACUAUUUUAAAAAAUAUUUAUAAUUUCAUUGUACACAUUCGUACUUUACAUCAUAACUCCUUGAUUUUUUUUAUGUGUGAAUAAACAAAAUACUUAAAAAAUUUAAUUUCAAUUACAAUCUCAAAACAAUAUCGUAGGUAGCAAGAUUGAAUAAGGAUAUUGUUACCUAACUAACUGGUAGAUAUGUAUUAAAAAAGGGAACAUUGAUAAAUAAUUAGGCGCUAAUAACAAUUUUCUAAUGGACAAAAAAUGUGAAUAUGGAGAAUUUUUUUUCUUUUCUUUUUUUCUUUCCAAUGAAUAUGGACCGAGUGAGAAAGCCAAAUGGCCGAAAUGAAAACACAAAUUUGGUAUCUGGCUAGAUAUCAAAUUUGAAAACACAAAUUUUAGAUUCGUGUGAUAGAGGAUAUCGGGCUGGAUAUUUUUUAGUAUUACUUCAAGAAGGUUCCAUAUUCCUCUGAAGUCUUAUUUAGACCCAUCUCAAAUUUGAAUUGCAUCAUUACCGAGUUGGGCCUGACAAUAGCCUGUACCAUGUUCUUGGACAUCAACCUUCAAAGUUUAAGCUUGUAGCCGUAGGCAAUGAACUGUUUCCGGAAAGAAAGAUGUUUAUUUAAAAAUAAAUAAAUAGUGAACCGGCCGGUCGGGCUGCGAACCGGUCCCUUCCCCGGUUCACUGGCUGGUCUGGUUCUAAAAACAUUGCCUUAGAUAAGGACCUACUUGGUUUAUCCAAUUUUUCAACAAGACACAAGAAACUUUUUCAACUUGGGCUCAUUAAGUAAAAGUAGUUACCCAAACAAAGCCCUCAUGAGUAGUAGUAUUGCAGUACAUGAAGUUAACAAUAAAUGUAGUCAAGGGAUAUCCUGCAAAAAUAACAGGUGUUUACAAUACCUGGAAAUGGGCACGCCUCUAUGUAAAUUGACAUCAUAGGAUUUUUUUUUAAUAGGAGAGGGAUGGGAUUUAAGAUGUAUGAAAGGAACAGGAAAAUUUGAAUCCAAUACCUCGGAGCUCUCAAAAAUAGCAUCAAAGUAAUUUUCAAAGAAGUAUAUGUACUCCCUCAUUCCCACUUUGAUAGUUUUGGUUUUUCAUUUUAACAUAGUUUAAGUAAAAUUAAUUAAUUUUGUUGGAAGAGUAAAUCUAGUCUAGUAUUUUUCUAAAAUACCCUUAUAUUGAUAUUAGGACUAUAACUAAUUGCUAUACUUUUACAUUAAUUACAAUAACAAUACUAUGAAAGUUGCACCAUUCAAGAUAUGAAUCUAAGCAAUUAAUGAAUGACAUAGAUUAUAUUCACUGAUAACAAAGUACAUUAAAUAAGAAUAUUUUAGAGAAGUUAUAAGUUAAGUAUAUAUUUUCAAUUGAAAAGUAGAUUAUAGUUUGGGACGAAUGAAAAAGGAAAACAAGAUUAUCAAUGUGGGAUGAAGAACGUAUAUAGAAUGUGUGACGCUUUUGUCCAAUGAUAUGAAAUGAGAAUACAAAACAAUACCUAGUUUUAUGGAAACAUGGAUCUUCGCCUAAGAAUACUCAAGUUGUAGAAAUGAAGACUUGGAUUCCUUAUUAAUUGGGUAAGAAGCUAUAUAGGAGUAUACUAAAAGAAUGGUAAAUAUUACUUAAAAACUUCAUAUGUUUUGUGUCGCGCCCCAUUUUUUAAAAAUAAAAAGGGAAAGGUGUUAGAAAAACGUGUUUUUGAUUUUAUUUUUAGAAAAUAAAGAAAAAUGGCCUAAAAUGGGACAUAUAAAGUGUGACGGUUUAGGCUCAAAAUUUAGUCUUAAAAAGGGUUUUUUUAAAAGAAAAAUAAGAGGCGCCACUUGGUAUCGAGUUUAGGUGUAUCAAAUCAUCUAAAAUGUAUUUUAAAUAAAAAAACCAAUAAAACCUUUUUAGACGACUCCAGAUAUUUGAAAACGAGAGAAAAGAGUUCGGGAGUCAUGUUUGAAGAAAGAGAAGACAAAGAUUUGAUUUAAAGCACCCUUUCAACUUAACCAAAGUUAGUUGCGGGAUUUAGUCAAAAAUUCUCCUAAUCUAACCUAUAAAAUUUAUCACAUUUUUUAUGUUUUUAUAUGGAUGCAAUUCUAGACCUAAGGGAUAUCAAAAGGAUUGAAAUGUCUCUUCAAAGUUAGACGACUCCAGAUCUUUGAAAAUGAGAGAAAAGAGUUCGGGAGUCACGUUUGAAGGAAGAGAAAACAAAGAUUUGAUUUAAAACACCUUUUCAACCUAACCAAAGUUAGUUGUGAGAUUUAGUAAAAAAUUCUCCUAAUCUAACCUAUAAAACUUAUCACAUUUUUUAUGUUUCUAUAUGGAUGCAUGUCUAAACCUAAGGGAUAUUAGAAGGACUGAAAUGUCUCUUCAAAGUUUAAUUGGUACCAAUCACAUUAAUUGUGAAGUCCAAGAAUAAUUCUUUGAAUAGGUCAUGAAAAAUGCAAAAGAUGAGACACAAAAAAAAAGAAAAUAUAAUAUAUAGAUAAACAUACAUGACUUAGAAGAGAGGAAUGCAACAUAACGGGUAUGGGAUGCUAAAAUUCGUCACUCAAUUUUCCUUCUUAUAGAGGGGUAAUAGCGUGUUAAGGUUAAAAAAUCAUAGUCGUUCAUUUUCCACAUUCGAAGAGUGACUCUUUUAAUCUAAGCAAGCAAAUGAACUAGCCUAUUUCUAAAAUGAAAUACAAUUUUAAAUGAUAUGGUCCAAACAUAUAAAGGGUAAGGGGAUGAUAGUAGGGAAAAUAUCAUGCAAAUGAUAAAAAAUUCUAAAAUAGGAAAAAAAUGCAUGAGAUGCAAUAAAUGUCACACCAAAGUAUGAAUCUAACGUAUCAAUGAUCUAAAGAGUCUAGUGUUGAGUUAGUCCAUUUCUAAAAGUCCUCACUAGCGUUGCACUAGUGAGAAAUUGAGAAGAAAAGUCACAACUAGCGUUGGACUAGUGUGGUGAUGUCAUGCAUUCAUUAUAAAUAAAUAAAGCAUAUAAAACAUAAUUAAAGUCAAUAAACACAUAAACACAUAGAGCACGUAGUACAUAGACAUAAUAUUUAAAUGGAAAAUCUUAGAGAAAACGAAUAAAACACAUAAGCAUACAAGCAUGCAAGCAAAUAAAAACUAAUUAUUACAUUGGGAGUCCUAACUACAAUCUAGAAAGGAAUUGUGAAAAUAAUAAACCUAUCUAUUAUAUUUAUCUAACUAAUUAUAUUUUUGAUAAAAAUAAAAUCUAUCUAUUACAUGGUCUAACUAAAUACAUUUCUUGGACACCUAUUUAUUACAAUUUGGCAUUUAAAUGCCUCUCAAAUAAGCAUAAAAAAUUAAAUAAAAUGAAUGAAAACCUAAUUGGAUAAAAUGAGUAAAUGAAAAAAAAACAUUCAAAACAUUCAAUUAUACAUAAAAAUGCAUAGGAGCACAUAAAGGAAUUUAAAAUAAUAAUAGAAGGUACCUCCUUUGAAGUAGUGGUUAAAUGAGGUAAAAUUUUCCCUAUUUAUACUCCAAAACCGACAAAAAAGUUAAGUCACCAAUUUAAUUAACAAUUUAAAAGAAAAAUGUAAACAUAUAGCAAAUUCACUUUAUUACUAUAAAGAAAUAUGAAUAUACAUAAAAUCCAUAAAAUUUACUAAUUAAAUGCAUUUAAAUGAAGCAUGAUUGACAAUUAAAGAAGGUAAACAAUUAUACUUAAGAAAUCAAACCAUUAGGGAAUUAAUUGUAAAAAAUUGAAAAGUUUUUAGGCCAAAUUAUAGUUUUUACUCCACCGUUACUCCAUUACUCAACUCAAGCGUUAUAUUCCGGCAAUGUCGCCCUCAGGGGCUUGGCCUGGUGGUUGAGGUUGCUGAAGAUGGAGCCUCAGGUCCCUGGUUCGAACCUUGCUGCCAGCAAGUUGCUGAGGGUGGUGAAUAGUCUGCGGGGUCCACUCCCUGCGGGACACACAUAAAAAGACAUUCAUACCUGAUGGUUAAUUAUAGUAAAUGCCCUCAAGGUAUUACAGGUUUUAUAUUUUACCCUAUAAAAUUAUCUUUUUCUCAAUUUGUAGUUUUGUCCCAAGACCAUUAUGUAACUCCAAUGUUUUAUAACACCCAAGAAAAACAAUGUCUAAAAAUAUUUAUAUCGUUGACAUGAUAGUGAGCAAAAUAAUAUCUUUAUGGGUAUGAGUCUAGUUAAAUUUUAUCUUUUAAUGACACUUUUUUUUAUAUAGAGGGACAUAUCUUGCACAUUUCAUGCCAUAAAUUGCAAAAUAACAAAGUCUUAUUUAAUAAUUAAAAUGUGAAAUAUUACUAAAUUUCUAAAAACUGCUUAAUAACUAUUAAUCUCUCUUUUUGAUUGUGCAUAUAGGUUUAAUUUUCAUUUAAUGGCUAGAUUUUUGGUUUAUAUAAAAAUAUACACUUUUUCCUAUUAGUAAUACUCAAAAAUGGCAAAAACAUGAUGGAUUUGGCUUCCAAAGCUUCUAUAAUCAAUUUGUAAUGCUGAGAGCUACUUUCUUCAAAUUUCAACGAUUUAUUAUAGGGCAUUUUUUGUUAUAUUGGUGAAUUUAACUAAUAAGGGAACAAAGUGAGAAAAAGACAAUAUAUUCAUGGGGGGAAUCUUAUAAAUAAUCCAAGUUUGAUACUCAAAAAACAUUUAGGGAAAAUGGCCAAUUUAGUCCCAAAACUUUUUAUUUCUGUCGAUUUAGUCCUUAUAUAUUAUUUGUAGCCAAUUUAAUCCUUAAACUUAUAUUUCGAUUCCAAUUAAGGAAUUCAACGGCGGAGCCACCGCACCGUUUCCUUCAAGUUCCUAAUUGAGCAACCCAAAAGGGGUAUUUUUGGAAUUUUAAUGAUGGGGCGGUAACAAAAAUUAAAAAGAAGUGACAUUAAACAAGAAUUAUACACAAAAUGUUGAUUACUAAAACAGUAGUAAUUCUUCUCUUCCUCCUCAUCGUCCCCUUCAACAAUGAUGCUGCCACCUCCAAUUCCUCCGCUAAGCAGCAGACUCUGCCAAACACAGUCGGACUCCUAGUUCAACCCAAAGCUUGCCCCUAAGUCCCUCUCCGCCUCCAAGAAAUUUGAGGGCUCCUCCGACUUGGUCGACCUUCGCUACAACAUGGGCCUCGUCCUCUCCUCCCCGAUCAACAUCUACCUCAUCUGAAGGCUGGUGGGCCGCCUCCCACCAGCUGCUCAUCAAGGACUUCCUCCUCUCCAUCUCCACCUCCGAUCGCCGCGCCGCUCCUUCCCCCUCCGUCUCCCAGUGGUGGCACACCGUCUCCUUCUACACCGACCAGACUAGCGCUAACAUCUCCAGCUCCGUUCUCGUCGUUGGGGAGUACUCCGACCCCCGCUGCUCCUAGGGCACCCACCUCACCCGCCUCUCCAUGCAGCAGGUCAUCGCCACAGCGGUCCGAUCGAAGUGCUUCCCCGUCGACCACAAGAACGGCAUCUACCUCAUCCUUACCUCCGGGGGUGUCACUGUCCAAGAUUUUUGCCGGGCUGUUUGCGGCUUCCACUACUUCACCUUCCCGUCCGUGGUGGGCUACACACUACCGUACACCUGGGUGGGCAACUCCGAGAAGCAGUGCCCGGAGGCGCGGACCAGGAGCACUGGCCCCUCCGAAUGCGAAUGAUAAGCAUGAUCGGGCACGAGCUGGCGGAGCUGGCAUCGAACCAACUGGUACGCAGAGGAGGACCCUAUGGCGCCAACGGAGAUCGGGGGCCUGUGCGAGGGGAGACAAAUAUUUCACGGAACCCAUGAAAGGGCAUUCUCCGAUAUUGGGGAUUUUGGAAUUAAUGGUUGUUCUGUUCAAAGCCUUUCUUGUUCUUCCCCUUGCGUUCCUUGGUACCUUUGCCAGGACACCCAUCAGCCAAGUCCAAAAGGAUGGCUUCUCCCUUGGCAUAAGAAAUCCCUUCGGCAGCAUUCAAUUUGGUUUUGGAGGCCAAGAUGGCAGUAACUUUGAUGGCUUCCAGCAACCUCCUGAUGGCACCCAGCAGCCCUCCGGCAAGGAACCCGAAUUCCGUACAAAUUUCCGAGGUCAUUGGGAGAUUCAUUCUGAAAAUGCUGGAGUUUCAGCCAUACAGUUCCAGUUGCUGCCUAACAACAAAGCCGUGUGGUUUGACACCACCAACCUUUGCCUUUGCGGAUUUCAGUUUGACCCUCCAUAUUGUCACCCUCCUAUCCAAAAUCAAAAGUGGAUGGAAAGAGGAGGAUAAGAGGAGGAGGUGGGUGGUUGGUGGCGGAGGUUGGCAGUGGAGAGAAGAUAAUUUAAAGUUCCCAAAAUGCCCUUGUUUGAUGUUAAAUUAGGGGCCAAAUUGCUUUUAGACGGCGGCGCCGCCGUAGAAGGCUUUAAUUGGACUCGAAAAUUAAGUUUAUGUAUCAAAUUGGCCAGAAAUAAAAGUUAGGGACUAAAUCGACAGAAAUAAAAAGUUUAGGGACGAAAAUGGCCAUUUUCCCAAACAUUUAUUGUGCUUUGUCUUGAUCUAUGGAUAAUUUGGACAACUAUGAUGAUCUACUCAAAUUUUUUCAGGCUCAAAAGCAGUAAGCCCCAAAACUUUGGGAUGCUUUGCACUAUAGUCUCUAAUUUUUUUUUUUUUUUGGGUGCCAUUUUAGUACUUGUGUUAGUCAAACUUAACAUUUUGACUGUUAAAUGGUAGUAAUUUCCAAAAUUACUCCAUCAUAUAUGAAAAAAAUACCUGUUGUCCUAAAUUUAAUAAAAAGAUCUCCACAAUGCUUUCACCUAAGCAAAAACCCAGUAACCAUUUUGUAUAAUUUUAAAAAAAAUUUAAAAAAUUUUUUUUUUUUAAAAAAAAGAAAAAAUCACAACGCUUUUAAUCAACUUAGAUGAAGUGUUGUAUUUUUAACACUUCUUCGUCAACAAAUUUUUUUAAAUCUAUCUAAACAAACAUUUCUGUCUUUCACUUAUCUUUUUGCUUCAAUACGUUUUGUACCUAGGGAUUUAUGCUUCCUUUUCCCUCAAAAUUAUGAGCAAAAUACAUUCGUUUCCAGAAUAGAGAAUUAGCAAUAGCAAUGCUAUUAUUCAUGUUCAACUCAUUUGAAUUUGAAAAAUUUUGAUCACAGAAUAAAAAAAUGAAACUUUUUUUUACCCUAAUAAACAAAUAAACAUGAAAACAAGAUUGAAAUUGUUUGCCAAUAGACAAAUUAGUGUGCAAGCGGAUUGAUUAUGUUAGUGAACCCCCUCAAAAAAUUAUAUUGUUACCCCACUUUGCCCCCUUAUUCUCCUUACCAGCAUUGCUAACCAAUGCAAGUAAAUAUUGCGAUACUUCUUUUCUACAAAAUGAGGACGUACGUAAAUUUAUCAGAUAGAAAAUAGAGAGAAAAAAAAAAAAGGACAACAAGGAGUGAGGCCAUUUUCUCGUUUUAUAUUCACAUUUUAGUCACAUUUUAGAUUGUAAAACUCAACCUCCUUUAAUUUUCAAUUUCAUUUGAAUGUUAUUUUAAUUUUUUAUCUUUGUUCUUCAAAUUUGGCAUAUUUCCUCCAAAAAUUUUUUUAAGGAAAAGUACAUAAAACAUUGGCACGUGAAGUUGGUGGCAGGCAUUUAGCUUGUAUUCAAGUGGCCGCGAGGGUGGAGUAUCACUUGUAUUCUGGGUAACUGUUCUUGGACUAAGACCACUCAAGGGUAAGUUGUUUUCACCGGUGGGGUUUUUGAUGGCUUAUCUCCUUCUUAUCAUGUUUGCUCAUGGACGCAUGGAGACGAAGGCCCGGCGUUGUCUGUUUUGGUCAUCGGGCCUAAUUGUUGGGAGAUUGAAGAAGAUCUAAAUGAAAAAGAGAUAACAAAUGUAAAAUGACUUGUCUGGCUGUGAAAGUUUGCCCUGCAGUCGAAAUCCAUUAUUAGUUGUAAUGUUGUUUCUUAAUUUCAGAAACCUCCAUUGAGGUUUCCAACAAUAUCAUUUGAUACCCCUAACUUUUGAGAAAUCUCACCUACUUCUUGUAUUUUUAACUUUUGUAACUUUAUCAACUCAUUUCAAAAGAUAUGAUUUAAAAACACUUUGGAAGAGAUAGAACGUUUUUAGUCCAAAAUUACCCUUUUCUUGAGAACUUUUAAUUUUCAUAACGAACCAAGAUAAAUCCUUAAUAAUAAGGUUGAAAGACCUUUUGCAAUUUUUGAAAUCAUUGGUCUAGAAAAGAAAUGCAAAAAAAUUUAUUAUAAUUAGAAAAAAUAACAUUUUAGGUUUUCAAAAACAUCCCAAAUGAUUUUGUAAACAUAAUUUUAAAUAUUCUCUGUAUUUUCAAUAUUCAAGUCAUUGAUCUAUACAAUAAAAUUUAGAGAGUUCAGAAUCCUUAAAUUUAUAAAAUUCUCAAAUAAGUGAAACACCUUACAGUGAAUGAAAUAAUUUUUUUUUUUUUUUUGUCAUGAAGCAACAUAAAGACACUCUUAAAUAGUAUGUUUUCAUACUCUCUGUCUUCAUUUUCAGGCUUUUAGCAAUGUAUGUUUACUUUUAGAAAAUAGUAGGAUAACACAAGGGCAAUUUUGGCAUGAAAAUAUUUCUUAUUGAUAUCAGAAUUAAGAGAAUGGAAAAUGAAAUUCCGGUCGAUCGACACAAUGCAUGGGACAAAAAUGGACCAAAGCCUUGAUAAUUGCAGGUCCCAUUGAUACCCCAGAUCUUGGCCAUAUCAGCUAGGGCUAAUUUGGGUCAUCCAAUCUAAUUCUUUUUUUAAGAAGAACUUUUUAUUAUCAAAAUUGAUGGCAUAGAUAUAAAUCACAUCAGCUCGACCCUAUUUGACCCGUUAAUUAUACAUAUACUAGUGGAAUUGUAGAUAAUGAUAAUAAUUCUUAUAAAGUAAGAAUUAUUCUAUAGCCCCUCUUCCUUCUUGCCCCUUCCUCCCUUCACAUCAAAAGACCACCACCACAACUUACUCCACCCCUUGUUUGCAAAGCCAAUCAACAAAUUUUUGCCUACAUAUCAACCUCGAUUAUCUUGCUUUAUCCCCUUUUCCUUCCCAAAUUGAAGAACCAAUACCAUAAUAAAAUGUUGUUUUGGGACAAGAAUAGGUUUAAAAGGUGUUCGUAGGUUGUCAAUAUAUCUUGUAUCCAUUCCAUUCCUCUAGAUAAAAACAUCCUUCUCCGGCUGUUAAUCCAAACGACGCAGGUCCAAAUUAUAUACAUUCUAAUUGAAUCGGAUAUGGAAUUACAUAUUCAAACCCAUUUUUGACCUGGAUCUAAUUUAUAUAAAUAUAUGUAAUAAAUAACAUAUAUUCAAUAUACUUUCGUUGUUAAUCGACAUGUUUUCUCUUGAAAAAAGAAAAGAUGUGUCCAAUGAAUCAAGUAAUUCUCGAAAUUUUUCUUAUUGAUUUGUUACUAUUUUAUUAAUAAAAUAUGUGUACAAUUGAAUAUUAAACUUAUUAUAACUUUAUUAUAUUGAAUUAAUUUUUCAGUGGGGAGAGAUAGGUUGGAUUGUACAGGGAAAGGGAAUGUAAGUGAGAGAUCUCAACCCUCUCACUUACACACACAAAAAAAAAAAAAAAGAGAGAAUUGAUUUUAUGGAUUGGAUAUAUUAAAUUGAAACCGGAUCCAGUUUUACAUAUUAAAACAAGACUCAAUUGGUAAACGGACCUAGAUUCGGAAGAAUUAUUCUAGGUUUGAAUUUAUCAAUUCCAACCUGAAUUUGAUCAGUUUAUUCUUGGUGUUCUAAUUAUAUUAUUUCACCUAAUUUUAGAUUCUAAUUUUGAAAAGUUAGCUUUUCUUUUUUAAUUUCUCUUUUGCUUUUAAUUUGUAUAUUAUAUUUUUUAAUUGGUAAAAAAGUUAAGAUCUAGAGUAUAGUCAAAAGUAGUUUUUGCUAAUUCUGAUUAAUCCAUUUUUUUAAAAAUCUACAACUACUGACAACAAUCCCAUAAUCCUUUAAGUGGCUUGCAUAUCAAUACUGGUUAAAACACUAUUACCUAACAAAAUAAUAUGAUAUUGUUUGCUUUUAAAAUGUCAAAUUCUUUGUUCUACUCAUCUUUAAAGUGAAAUCUGAUUCGGGAUAAAAUUCACGGUUUUUGGAAGUCAAAAUCUCUCUCUCUCUCUCUCUCUCUCUCUCUCUCUCUCUCUCUCUCUCUCGAGUUUGUGACACGAUUUUGGGGAGGGGGGAAGGGGCAAAGUUACAAAAAUAGCAAAAUUUUACUUUAUGAGUGUAAGUUUGAAAAUUAUAAAAAUAUAUCUUAGAUUUUUUAUUAUAUCACUUAAUGAUUUGGUCUUGAUAUUUAAUCCCAAGUCAAUUUAAAAUAUUUUAAAUCUAUGAAGAAGUUUUUUAUGAUCUCAAGAUGAUUUUUAAUAGAGUAAUAAUAAACGGCAAGUCGACAAACCAUAAAAAGAAAGCUAUGUUCCCAAUAUUGGAUCAAGAUACACAUUAAUAUAUCCAAUUCAUAUAACUAUUCAUGUCUCUACCUUCUUAUUUCUUACGUACCAGAAAAAAUGAAAUAGAAAAAAAUAACUACUCUUUGUAUUAGUACCAAAUUUCAAGAAAUAAAUAUAUACUACUAAUGUUUACGCUCACAAUGCACGAACGAUAUACCCUAUUAGUUAUAAAUGUUCAUGAAGAGACCUUUUUAGAGAUAAUACAUAAAAUGCUAAAAAAGCAUGCAUUUUGAAGUUAAAUUAUGUAUAUGAACUAACUAACAGUAAUCUAAAAGUAUUUAAUAGCUAUUCUCAUGAAGCAAAAAUUAGAUUGGGGGAUGGAAAUGGAAUUUUAUUUUUUAAAUGCUAAGUUGGGGGGGGGGGUGUGGGAGGGGGAAAAAUUAUGAUUUUAAAUGAAAAUUCUUAAAACUAUUCAAGGGUCAAAAAGGAUUUUUCAAAACUUGGGAGGAGGGGAGGGAAGAGGGUUAUUGGACGAUGGAGGGGAACAGUGACGGAGCUACGUAUAUGUUAGGGCCCUCAAUUUUUUUGAAGCCAUAGAAUAGCCUAUGAAAAAUUUAGUUUGUUUUUGUAUUUCCUCCACUCUUGCCCCCCUUGAAUUUUGAUAGUAAACUUUGAAAUAAAAUAUAUUAGAUGAUGCUAUAUCAUUUUGUCUUUGUAAUAAAUUUUACUUACUUAACAUUGGACUUUUCUUAUAUGUCUAGCAAUAUGGAUUACAAAGCAAACAAAAUAUUCAUAAAAAAAUUGAGGAAAAUGAAAACAACUACUUUUUCUUUUUCUUUUUCUUUUUUAUGCACUUUUUUUUUAAAGUUUUCCUUAAAUUUUGCUUACUAAUUCGAUACUCAAAUCUUUUACAGCAUUUUUUGACCUUUUGGACAACUAAAAGUACUCUCGUAAAUUUUUUUCAAAUUUUAAUUUCUAUAUUUUGUCAAAGACAUUUUUUGAAUUUAGUUUUAAGCUCAAAUUUUCAUUUGAAGUUAAAAAAUACAAAAGGUUUUUUUCCUUUUAUAUGUAUUUUUCUAUGCAAUUUUAUGGUAUUCUUUCUCUUUCAAGUUUGCAUUUGUUUUGUAUCUAUAAAACUUGUUCUGCCAUGAAAAUCAAAUAAGUUAUGUAAACUUAAACUUAGUAAAAAAAUAAAAAAUUGAGAAAUCUUAUAUAUAUAUAUAUAUAUAGAUCUCUUUACCUCCUUAUCAUAACAUCAUCUAAUUUUUCAAUUUUUGCUCAUCAAGCCAUAGGGGUGAGAAUGAUCAAUUUAUUGGAUAAUUAGUUAAAUCAAAUCAAUUAAAAUCGACUUUUACAUGUGGAUUGGUUUUAGCUUGAAAUUGAAAUAAAAGCAACCAAAUUGAAUUGAAUUAAAAUUGAAUGACAAUUCGGUUAAUCACUUAAUUGAUUUUAUUCAUGUCCAUAUCAAGCAAAUUCAAAUAUUGAUUUGUCGUUAAUUGAAAAAUGAAAUCAAGGAACUUAUAGAAAGGAUAAUUUCAUUCAAUAAAUCUGCACUUCUAGCAGAAAAUACAUCAAAUCAAAUCUGACUUUGAUACAUGCAAAUCUAAAAGUCAAUAGAUGCAACAAAUAUGAACAAUUAAUACGAAUGAUGAUAACAUUAAUACUUCAAUAUAUCUUCAAUCUAGAUGAAUUAUUUUAAAUUAUUAGAUCUGUGCAUGCCUUCUAAUAGUCAGAUUUGAUUAAAAAUUAAUUCAAGUGUAAAGAAAAUUUUAGAUAUGAUAAUAAUUAAGAGAGAAAUUAUAGAUUGAGAAACCAGAUGUACAAAAUCUAAGAUUUCACUAAAAAAAUGAAACAACAAAUAAAACUCUUACAAAGGCAAAAUUUAAGAGAGAAUAAAACUCUCACUUGAAUAAAUUAACAGAGGAAAAACUCACACUAGAAGAUCCUAGGAGUGAAGAAUUUCUCACAAGAAAAUCCUAAGAGACAAUUUAUUUAAAAUAAGAAAAGCUAAAAACUAGAGAGAGGCUCCCUCGCUUGAGGAAAGAUCAGAAUUGUCUGGUCUCUCUCCUAUGGGAAUGCUGAAGAAGAUUUUUACAGGAUGAAUUCUAGAAAGAAUAAGGAGAAAAUAGUUCUAAAGAAAAGGAGAAACAUGUUAAUAACUUAGAAUCUUAUUGAAAUUGAAUUAUGAACUUCAGUCAGCCAAAUAUAUCAAUGUGUUGAACUGAGCCGUAACAUAGUCAAUAAUCAAUAGUCAAUCAUUAAGGUGUGUGUCUAUAUGCACAUAUAUGUAUGUGCAUAUAAACAUGUAUGUAUGCAUCAUAAAAGACGGAUAUAACUAUAGAUUAAAAAAAGUUAACUCAAACAAUCAUGUAAAACUUUAGUCAUAAGAAUAAAUUAUAUACAAUAAUAUACAAUCAGUUUUGGGUUAUCAUAGAAAUCGAAGAUAUGAAAUCUAAAUUUGAAUUGAAUUAUCAAAUUAUGAACUUGGUUUUACUAGAAAUCAAAUUGAAAUUGAAUCCAUUGAAUUCAAUUUAUUGAAUUAAAUUUAAUUCAAUCAAUUAACUACAUUGUUGCUCACCUACAGCGAGCCAAUGUCAGGCUCCUGGGUUUGAGCUUCGUGAGAUACAGAGGAGGAAGGCGACUACAAAAGAGGAUUUGGGGAAAAGAAUGGGAAAGGAAUGAGAAAUGAGGGGAAGAGAGAAUUAGACCAACAAGAGAGAGAAAGUAAUAAAAGUCAUAUUAAGUCUGAUGGCCCCUUUCUGUUACACCUUCUAUUUAUAAUAGCAGCUAAUCAGUAGGAAACUAAUCACUCGUGAACUUAACAGAAUAACUAAUCCUAACCAACUACCAGAAUUAUUCCAACGGCAUCGUUUCAGGUCGCAGCUCCUAAUUUUGCUCUAUUACUGAAACGCACAUGCUAAUGCAUAAAACGACAACUUCUAUCUUAAGUUCCUGACAAUCCCCUCCUCAUAAAGAAAGCUUGUCCUCAAGCUUUAAAGUCUAGAAACAUUUUGUCAACGAAACUUUUAUCCUCCCAGGAAGCCUCAGAGUCUGGCAACUGGUUCCACUUGACCAGAUAUUGUAUAACAGGUUGAGAAUUCCUCAUGAUAAUCUUGCGUCUAAGCACUUGCUCCGGUUGCAACAAGCACUGGUCAGAGGAGUCCAACUCGGGCAAGACUGCUUCAAUGGACUGACCGUCACCAAUUUUCUUUUUAAGAAGUGAAACGUGAAACACUGGAUGAACUCUAGCUCCCGACGUCAACCGUAACUUAUAGGCUACAGCCCCCACCUUCUCAAUAAUUUGAAAAGGCCCAUAAUACUUGGCCGACAGCUUUAGACUCCUCCUGAUAGCUACAGUUUGCUGCCUAUAAGGUUGCAACUUAAGGUAAACCCAUUCCCCUACCUGCAAAGUUCUCUCUGUCCUGUGUUGAUCAGCGUAGUGCUUCAUUCGAUUCUGAGCCUUAGCUAAGUUUUCUUUGAUUUGGGACGUGAUCUGUAGCCUUUCCUGUACCAUAUCAGCUGCAGCUGGUAUUAUAGUGUCAUGAAAUGGUCCCAAGGGAAUAGGGGUCGGCUUGUACUCGUAUAAUGCCUCAAAAGGGGAUAGCUGUAAGCUGGUAUGGAAGUUGGUGUUAUACCAGUGCUCCACCGUAGAUAACCACACACUCCAUUGUGUUGGGUGCUCACUACACAUGCAUCUUAUGUACGUUUCCAGGCAUUGGUUAACUCUCUCGCUCUGCCCGUCGGACUGUGGGUGAUAGGAAGAGCUGUAAUGGAGUUUAGUACCCAACAUCUUAAACAUUUCCUGCCAGAACCUACUGAGAAACACCCUGUCUCUAUCCGAAAUUAUCACCUCAGGUAGACCAUGGAGUUUAUACACAUUAUCAAGGAAAGCCAUAGCUAUCUGCUGAGCUGAGUAGGGGUGCGAGAGUCGCAUAAAAUGGCUGAACUUAGUAAAGCGAUCUACUACCACGAAGAUAGUAUCAAACCCGUGAGAUAAAGGCAAUUGCUCGAUGAAAUCCAUGGUUAUUUGGGACCAUGCCUGCUGAGGAACUGGAAGUGGCUGUAACAGCCCGGGGUAAGGAACAUUUUCGUGCUUAUUCCGUUGACACACGUCACAAGAUCUCACAAACUGUAUGACCUUCUUUUUGAUUCCGGGCCAGUGAAACAGUGCUUGCACCCUUUGUAGACACCCUCUUUGACUGGAAUGGCCCCCAACUGCAGAGUCAUGCAAUGCUUUGAUAAUGUUGCCUCUGAUCCCCUUAGAAGUCCCACAUAUAAUUUGCCUUUGAACUUCAGCAACCCAUUGUCCAAUUGAUAAUCGGAGUUAGAAGUAGGAUCCAGCAGUAGCUGGGGAAUAAGUUCCUGUGCCGUAGCAUCACCCCAGUAACUAUCUAUUAGUUCUUGCAUCCAAGCUGGCUGCGCUGACGAGAUGGCAGUCAGGGUACCCAACUUGGUCGGACAUCCCUCACUGUGCUCAACUAUCCGUCGUCUAGACAAUGUGUCCGCCACUCCAUUGUCAAUGCCUUUCUUGUAUUGGAUCUCGUAGUCGAAACCUAACAACUUGGUCAGCCAUUUGUGCUGUAAAGGAUGUGUGAGCCGUUGUUCAAGUAGGUAUUUGAGGGCCUGGUGAUCGGUCCAGACGACGAAGUGAUGGCCUACCAGGUAAUGUUUCCAUUUAGUGACUACCAUCACCAACGCGAACAGCUCCUUUUCAUACACCGACAGUCCCAAAUUCUGGUUUGCUAGAGCCUUGCUAAGGAAAGCCAUGGGAUGUCCUUGUUGCAUCAAAACAACACCAAUACCCACGCCACAUGCAUCCAUCUCAAUGACGAAUGGGAUGUCAAAGUUAGGCAUGCUCAAUACGGGGGUAGUCGUCAUGGCCCUCUUUAAGUCUUCAAAAGCUAACUGAGCUUCAGAACUCCAUGCGAACCCGUCCUUCUUUAAAAGUUGCGUCAACGGUUUACUGAUUACCCCAUACCCCUUAAUGAACCGUCUGUAAUACCCUGUUAAACCUAGAAAUCCCCUUAGUUCUUUCACUAUUCGGGAUGCAGGCCAAGAAAAUAUGCAGUCGACCUUAGACCUGUCCAUGCUCACGCCUCUUUCCGAUAUCACAUGCCCCAAAUACUCCACCAAAGUUUGGGCAAAUGAGCAUUUAGAUCUUUUGCAGAAUAGUUGGUUGUCUGCCAAGACCCCCAGGACGAUUUGGAGAUGUAGCAUAUGCGACUCAAGGGUGGAGCUAUAGACCAGGAUAUCGUCAAAAAAUACUAACACAAAUUUCCUCAUAUAUGGCUGAAAAAUUCGAUUCAUCAAAGCAUGGAAGGUAGCCGGAGCAUUCGUCAACCCAAACGGCAUAACCAAGAACUCGAAGUGACCACGUCUGAAAGGCAGUUUUGUGUGUAUCCAUUGCCUUAACUCUUAGUUGGUGGUAACCAACUCGAAGAUCCAGCUUAGACAUGUACUUUGUCCCAUGCAACUCGUUCAAAAGUUCAUCUAUGUUUGGUAUGGGAAAUCUGUCUUUAACAGUCAGUUCGUUUAGCUUCCGAUAAUCCAUACAUAGCCUUCAGGAGUUGUCCUUCUUUUUGACUAGCAAAACAGGUGAUGCGAAGGGACUGCUACUGUGAGUAACAAUACCACUAGAGAGCAUCUCAGCCACUUGCCUCUCGAUUUCGGUUUUGUGUGCGUGAGGGUACCGGUAAGGCUUAAGUUUGAAGGGUUUUGCUCCAGGUUUGAGAGUGAUUUGGUGAUCCAACUCUCUUCAUGGGGGUAGACCCUGCGGAGCAGCAAAUACUUGCGAAUACUGUUGUAAUAUCCUUUCUACUUGUUUCGGAAUAUCCUUUGGCUGGAAAUCCUGUGACUCGGCCUGUAGGGAGGCACAAUUCCAUUGCUUCUCUUGUAUGAAGGAUUUGAGGUCCUUCCAACAUACAAGUUCCAUCACAGGUUGGUUCAUAACUCCCCGCAGAUGUAGCAAACUUCCACUACUACUGAGCGCAAUGCUGAGACUAUGGAAAUCAAAAGUAAUGGGACUGAAUUGGUACAUCCAAUCCACCCCCAGUAUAAUAUCCCAAUUCCCUAAAUCCAUUACCUUCAGGUCAAACUGAAACUGAUAGUCUUGUAUUAGCCAACUUACCCUCGGGCAGAUUGCACCACUAGUAAUAUCCGUACCAUCAGCUAAGGUUACUGUAAAAGGGGUAACCUCUUGGUGUGGUAAGUAUAAGGAUUUAACCAGCCCAAAGUGAAUGAAACUGUUUGAAGCUCCAGUAUCUACCAAUAUCUUUAUAGGUAGUCCUCCCAUAUUACCUAACAGAAUGAUAGAUUUCCUGCUCAUGGCUCCAUUUAAGGCAUUCAGUGAAACUUCGGCCAGCUCCCCUACUCGACCAGUACUUUCAUCUUGUUCCCCUUCAGCAUCCUCAAAAUCUGUGUCAUUUCCUUCAUCUAGAUCAAUGCAGUUCAAGUUCCCCUGCUUACAACGAUUACCUGCCCCAAACUUGUCACCACACCUGUAGCACAGGCCAUGUUUGUGUCUAUAUUGUAUUUCUUCUGUAGAAAUUUUAUUAAACUCCCUAGCCACAUUCUCCUGCCUAUUGGAGUUUGGAGUAAUGGAAGGAAUGCGGUAGGAGUUGGCUGGCUUCUGAUUGUUCCGUUGGGUCUUAAACAUUCCAAAUCUGGACUCCAACGCAGUUUUAUUAGUGUUUCGUGGUUGUCUUGAUUGCAACUCUAAGGAAUAUUCUUGUAGUUCAGCUACCUCGAAAGCCUUUGAUAGGUUUUUUGGCUUGAACAUCUUCACCAUUGGCUUGAUUUCCUCCUUCAAGCCACUGAUGAAACUGGAAACAAAGUAAGGCUCAUCCAGCCUAGGAUUUCUAAGUAACAUAAGAGUUUUUAGCUCCUCCAAAUUUUCUUCAUAUUCCUCUACUUUACCUGUUUGUUGUAGCUUAUUAAAUUCCUCCACCACAUCUCGUGAAGUCUUACAGGCAAAUCUCUCACUAAGGUCACUAAAUUCUGACCAGGAAAGGUUAGGCCGCUCGAGUUUCACCCCUUGAAACCAGUUGUCGGCUUUCCCCUCCAAAAACAUCUCUACCAUUUCCACCUUCUGACUAUCAGGAAUCUGGUAGUUCUGAAAAUAUUUCUGGCAUUUCCUAAGCCACUCCCUAGGGUUACCCGCAGCAAACAUAGGUAAUUCCAAUUUUGGCAAGACAAGGUUGAAUUGCUUACUUUUGAGCUCCAGAUGAGAGGCGUGCACUCCAUUCUGAUGUCCAAGCUUCAUAUGCGUAGGUGGAGUCGGCAGCAGCGGCUCUGAAGGUCGCGAUUCCAGCUCGGAGCAGCCUUUUUCCUUCAGCAUCACAUUCAGCAAGUUGUUAAACUUUUGUUCAAUCGAGCUAAACUUCUGAUCUAAGUUUUCCACUAGCGCUUCCAAUCGUUAGCUUUUCUGCUCAAGUUCCUCCUGAAACCUCUGUUGACAAGAGACUUGUACAGUAGCCAUCGAUUCCACCAACUCCUGCAAAUGGCUAUCUUGCUUCUUGAUCUAAUCUUCCAGGGUGCGGUAGCGAGUAUUCUCCGCCAUUUCCGUAUCAAAUACAGCCAAGGAUCGGCUGCUCUGAUACCAGAUGUCAGGCUCCUGGGUUUGAGCUUCGUGAGAUACAGAGGAGGAAGGUGACUACGAAAGAGGAUUUGGGGAAAAGAAUGGGAAAGGAAAGAGAAAUGAGAGGAAGAGAGAAUUAGACCAAUAAGAGAGAGAAAGUAAUAAAAGUCAUAUUAAGUCUAAUGGCCCCUUUCUGUUACACCUUCUAUUUAUAAUAGCAGCUAAUCAGUAGGAAACUAAUCACUCGUGAACUUAACAGAAUAACUAAUCCUAACCAACUACCAGAAUUAUUCCAACGACAUCGUUUUAGGUCGUAGCUCCUAUUUUGCUCUAUUACUGAAACGCACAUGCUAAUGCAUAAAACGACAACUUCUAUCUUAAGUUCCUGACAGCCAACCAGUUGAAAUCUUGACCCCCUGAUCCCUAACUUUAUUCGUAUCACAAUUCAAAUUUUGAAACAUUGGCUUAGGGUAGGGACAAAAUUCGAGAGAGAAAGAAAUGUGACAUGGUGAAUCCUCUCGCUAGUGUAGAGGAAGCUCUCUCUUGGGGUAAGAGCCCACCUCCCUCUGGUGGGAGUUCCAGAAAACUUUCAAAACUUUUCAAAAUUUCAUACUAUCCCGCACUUUCUUCACACAAUUUCCCAGCCAUCAUCACUACCAAUCUGGUUUUGCAAAAAAGGAUAGAUUAUUGCGGUACCAACCAUCGUACCCAGGAAACUUUAAGGAUGUCUCUCCAGGGGAAACACAAGGCAUUUUAAGUCCAACUCUUUAUGAUUAGCUGUAGGCAAGGUAUAUCUUGAUUAUCUCCUUUCCCUUGUUCUCGUUUUUGAGGUAAUGCCUGUACACGUGCUUUUAUUUUUUCAGUGUUUAACGUUUGUCUGGUUUUUUUCUUUGUCUUAAGACUGAUUGGUCCCCUUUUGGUUAGUUUCUGUAUAGACGUGCUUGUUGUCCUCUGUUUUUUUGUUUUCUUUCUACAUAGCUACUCUCUGUGUUUUUCUUUUCUUCUAAAACUUGGCUGGUAGUUGAAUAGGCGUAACUUUCUGAGUUCAGAGUAAGAAUACCCCUAGCAUCUCAGGAAUUAUCUAUGGAGGGAGACUUGACUGAGCUUUUACAAAGGUUCUCUCUGGAGGGUAAUGAGAUCUCUGGAGCUAAACUGGAGUUGGAGGACCUGAGCAGUGGAGUGAAGGACUGUAAAGGAAGCCUGAUAGGAAGAAUAAUGGGGGAGAAAAUAGCAAAUUUCACGGGAGUAAAGAAUUUUGUGACUGCAGCAUGGAGCUACCCCAAGAAUCUGACAGUCAUGGAAUUGGGACCGAACUUGUUUCAAUUUAAUAUCCCAAACCAUGAAGAAAAAGAAAGAAUAGUGACAGGAGGUCCUUGGUUAAUGGAUAAUCAAAUCUUAGUGUUGAACAGAUGGUCUGAAGGGAUAGAAGACGAUUACGGUGCUUUUGUUACUGCUCCCUUGUGGGUCCAGAUCUGGAACCUUCCUGUGCACUGGCUUUCCAAAGAGGUGGGACGAAAAAUAGGAGCAGUGUUUAAGGAUGUUAAAGACGUAGUUAUCCCUCAGGGAGGGGGAAAAGAAGGUAGGCAUUUGAAAGCACUAGUUCGUGUUGAUCUGUCAAAACCCCUGCUAAGAGGAACUUUGGUGCAGUUAGCAGGGUCACUCAGAUGGGUUGUUUUUAAAUACGAAAGGUGCCCGAAUUUCUGUUAUAAGUGUGGAAUAGUUGGACAUGGGGAACGUACUUGUAAAGAACACAUAACUAUCUCAGGAGAUCUUCUAGAGAACCAAUACGGACCAUGGAUGCGUGCUGGAAUUAAUAGAAGCCCUUCUAAGGAAAGAGUAAGGAGGGAUGAUACUGAGAAGGAUAAAAGAUAUUGGAAGUUCCAGAAGGGAGAAAUGGUGGAGAGAGAGAAGGGUAGGACCCAAUCAGGAGAGGUGCUUCUGGAGGCUCUUAGGACAUCAGGUUUAGGAUCUAGAAGAAAUCAGGACCCUCCGAAAGAGCAGGAGGGUGAAAGGGAGGUCCUGAAUAAUUGUAGGGAUCCCUCGAUUAUUGUGGAAACCAGUGGAAGGGAACUAGUAAGUAGUGAAGCUCUCAAACCCUCGAGCAAGGAAAAACUUGAUAGUCCUCUACUAACACAGGAAAAUGUAGAGGAGAACCUGACUCUAGUGGAGGUGGAGGACAUGGAGGAGGACAGGGAGCAAUGCACAAGAUGGCUGGAACAGGAGAACAUACUUCAAGAGGUUCCAGUUCAAGAGGUAGAAAGGCAGGGAGAGCCCCAAGAUACUACCAAGAUUCAAGAGGCUAUUAAAAAGCAAGCCAAAAGAUCUUAUAAGAAGCUGAAAUUCCCUAUGCAAACAAGAAGGGCUCUGAAAGAGAGGAAUGGUCAGGAUGCUAUCUUUGAAGGACGAGGGAAAAGAAAAAUUCAGUUGUUUGAUGAGGAUAUGGAGGAUGUGCAUCAGCAAGAGACAACAGGCAAACGUACUAAGCCAUUCCAGAUUGUGGGAUACACAGCUAUGACAGAGGUGGAGGUGGGGUCCUUCCCUAAUGGGGCCCCCAAAAGGAAAUGAGGGCUUUGGUGUGGAACUGUCAAGGUGUGGGGAGCCCCUUGACAGUUCCCCAUCUGAGGGAGGUGAAUAACCUCCUCUCUCCAAACUUGAUCUUUUUGAGUGAGACCAAGAACAGAAGACUGGUAGUUGAUAGGAUCGCUAGAGGGUUAAGGUUUGAUAAUUGUGUGGUAGUGGAAGCUAUGCACAAGUCAGGAGGUAUGGCUGUGAUGUGGAAAGAGGAUACUAAGGUCCUUGAAGUUAAUCAGACUGCUUUUACUAUAGAGGUCAGAAUUGAGGAUUAUGAGCAUCACUGUGACUGGUGGUUUGUAGGGAUUUAUGCGAGCUGUGAUGCUCAGAUUAGAAAGGAACAAUGGAGAGUCUUAAGAGAUAGAAGUAGGCUGUGGGGUGACAGAUUCUUGAUUGCAGGAGAUUUCAACGACAUAGUGUCGAAUGAUGAGAAAUGGGGUGGAACUAUCAGGGAGGAGAGAAGCCUAAAAGAUUUCAAGGUUUUUAUUGAUCAGAAUAAGUUGACAGAUUUAGGCUAUGAGGGACACCCUUGGACUUGGAGUAACCAUUGGGAGGAUGAGGGAGAAAUCAGACAGAGGUUAGAUAGAGGCCUUGCUAGUUAUGAAUGGGUCCAGAUUUUUGAUAAGACAAGUUGUCAACACCUGGACACUUAUGCUUCUGACCAUAGUAUGCUCCUCUUAGACACUGAGCCACACAAGGUGAAAAGGAAAAAGAGGUUUUACUUUGAUAAACGUUGGAUACAAAGGGAAGAGUGUCAACAGGUUGUGGAGAAAGCUUGGCAGUUUGAAGAGCCGGGAUCACGUAUGUUCAGGAUUACUAAGAAAAUCAGGAACUGUAGAAUAGAACUUCUGAAGUGGAGAAACACCUUCCAUGCAAAUUCUAAAAGACAGAUUGAGGAGCUAGGGAAAGAAUUGGAGGCUGUGAGAGGUUCUAAUCCUGUAAACAAAAAAGAAGUUUCUGCCGAGAUCAAGAAGCAACUAAAAGAGGCAUACAAAAAAGAAGAACAAUUCUGGUGUCAAAAGGCAAGGAUUGAAUGGUUAAGAGAUGGGGAUAAAAAUACAAGGUACUUUCAUGCACACGUCAAAGGGAGAAGAACCAUAAAUAUGAUUAGGAAACUGCAAAGGGAUGAUGGCUCUUGGACAACGAAUGAAGAGGAAGUAAUUGCUGAAAUCUCUGACUUCUUCAGAGGGUUGUUUACUAGUGGAGAGAGGAGUGAUAUGACUGAGAUGCUAGAGGGUAUCCCCCACUCUAUAACUCAGGAUAUGAACACCAAUUUAACUAAGCAAGUUGAUGAAGAUGAAAUCAAAGUAGCUCUUUUCUCUAUGCAGUCUGAUAAAGCUCCUGGCCAAGAUGGCAUGACCCCGUUAUUCUUCCAACGUUUUUGGAGUACUAUCAAAGGAGACUUGAUACCAGCAAUUCAGUCUUUUUUCAGCUCAGGUUUCAUGUUAAAAUCCAUAAACCAUACUGUCAUUUCUCUUAUUCCUAAAAUCCAGAACCCAACAAAUGUGAAAAAUUUUAGACCCAUUAGCCUGUGUAGUGUCAUAUACAAGACCAUUUCCAAAAUUUUGGCCAACAGAUUGAAGCUUGUUCUGGACAAGUGCAUAAGUAACACGCAAUCUGCUUUCAUUCCAGACAGACAAAUUUUAGACAAUGUAAUCUUAGCUCAUGAGUAUAUGCAUUAUCUCAAAAACAAAAGACAAGGGAAAGAAGGUUACAUGGCAAUCAAGUUAGACAUGGCCAAAGCUUAUGAUAGAGUAGAGUGGCACUUCUUACAGGCAAUGAUGCAAAAGAUGGGUUUUUGUGCACAAUGGAUUACUUGGAUAACUAGCUGCUUGAAGACUGUAACAUAUUCCUUCAACUGUAAUGGGGAAACCAAAGGAUUUGUAGCACCAGAAAGGGGAAUAAGACAAGGAGACCCACUGUCCCCUUACUUGUUCUUAAUUUGUUCAGAAGGUUUCUCAAAUUUGUUGAAGAAAGCGGAAGAGAGAAAUGAUAUAAAAGGGUUGAGGAUUAGCAGACAAGGACCAAUCCUCACACACCUUUUCUUCGCAGACGAUUCCCUCAUUUUUUGUAAGGCAAAUGUACAGCAGGCCAAUGAAAUCAUGACGAUUCUCAAAAAGUAUGAGGAGGCCUCAGGGCAGUUGAUCAACCUGGAAAAGUCUUCUGUUUUCUUUAGUAAAAAUAUGCCCAUGGAACAAAGACAAGCUGUGUGUAGCUCACUGGGAGGAAUGACAUAGAUGAAACAAGGCAAGUAUCUAGGACUGCCUAUGGUGAUCUCUAGGACAAAAGAGCAAAUCUUCGGGUUCAUAAAGGAAAACAUCAAGAGAAAGAUUCAAGACUGGAGGAACAAGUUGCUGAGCACAGCGGGCAAGGAAGUAAUGCUUAAGGCAGUCUCAAUGGCAAUGCCAACUUACGCCAUGUCAGUGUUCAAGCUGCCAAGAAAGCUGUGCAAAGAUAUAAGUUCACUGAUGGCAAACUACUGGUGGGGUGAAGCAAAUGGAAAGAAUAAAUUGCAUUGGGUAUCUUGGAAGAGAAUGUCAAUGAGUAGGAAUGCAGGGGGUCUGGGAUUCAAGGACAUUGAAGCUUACAAUAAAGCAUUAUUGGGCAAGCAGAUUUGGAGAAUACUCACCAAACCAAACCUUCUCAUCAGUAAAGUGCUGCGAGCAAGAUACUUCCCAAAGGAUUCUAUCCUAACAUGCAAGCCCCACAAGAAUGCUUCCUGGAUAUGGCAAGGACUGUUAGGAGCAAGAAGCCUAAUUGAGAAAGGGGUGAUUAGACGAAUUGGUAAUGGCAGAAGCACAAGCAUUUUGGGCCACAGGUGGAUUCCAGGCACUAGCUCAGGCAGGCCAACCCCUCUUGGUCCUCAAAGCUGCGACUUGAAGAUGGUGCAUGAGCUAAUAAGCCAUCAUAGAUGGAAGAAGAACACCAUCUUAAAGUAUUUCAUGCAAAGCGAUGCUGAGAAGAUCCUGAAUAUUCCCAUAAGUCUGAUGGGGAGGGAGGACAACUUUUAUUGGCAACACAACGCAGGAGGGAUCUAUACUGUCAGCUCAGGAUACAAAUGUCAAAUGAAAGAGAGGGCCAAUGCCAAGAUGAUAACACCAGAGGCAGCUGGACCAAGCAUCUCGGAGGGAGGUCAGCAACUUAGACAAAUGUGGAACACCUUGUGGAAGCUUAACAUCAAGCAUAAAGUGAAAAUCUUCAUCUGGAAAUGUAUAACAGGAGCACUGCCAGUAAGAGCAGCAAUAUUCAGGAAAACAAGAUUGGGUGACCCAGUGUGCAGACUAUGUGGGGAUGACCAGGAAACAGUGGAGCACUUAAUGCUAAACUGUCAACACACGCAGCAGAUAUGGAAGGCAGCACCAUUACAAUGGGAUGGUGCUAUAGACCAAACAGGGGACUUCAGAAGGUGGUGGAUCAGAAUCACUGAUGCAAGGAAUAGGCCAAGGGGGAUGGAGCAUAUUGGCCUGACUGCGAAUAUUUUAUGGCAAGCGUGGAAAGAAAGAAACCAGAAGGAAUUUGAAAACAAGACCAGCUGCUCUCCUGCUCGAACAGUUGAAAAAGCUCAUAAAGAGUGGCUGGAGCAAGAGGAAAUUAUGAAAGGCAGAACUAGCCAGAGCACAAGAGAAACAUCUUUCACUCAGGAAGAGCACUAUAAGGGACAGGAUAAAGAAGGGACCAUCUGUCUAGACGUGGCUACAACAAGUCAGCAUGGCCAGGUCUCACUGGGGAUUGGAGUGACUGCGAUAAAGCACCCAAACACUAGACUUGCGGAAUGGGCACUUAAAGAGCGAAGUAAGGGAGACAAAGUCACAGAUGAAGCAGUGGCUAUCCAGCUGGUCAUGUGCAAGGCUCUUGAGCAUCAGUGGAGCAGAAUCACGAUCCAGUUUCAAAGCCAGGACCUUAUGAGGCAGAUAAAGCACAAGAACCCUUCUAGCAGUAGACUAGCUACCUUGAUAGAUGACAUCCUGAGCAUGCAAAAGUUGUUUCGCAUGUGCUUGUUUAGUUUAGCAAAGGAAGAAAGUAGUAAACGCAGUAGAGAAUUAAGUUCUCAUGCCUAUGGCAUUUUAGUGGAUGAGGAGUGGAAUCUCAUCAGUGCUAGAUGAGCGCUAUUUGUACAGUUUCCUUCGAGCCUUUGCUCGUACAUGUAACUUCUUGUUUCAAGGAAUGGAAAUCUUCUAACGUUUCGAAAAAAAAAAAAAAAAAAGAAAUGUGACAUGGUAGUUUGUAUAUUUAAUGUGGGUAUAGGUCACAUGCCGAAUAGCUCAAACCAUGCAUUGUGAACCAAAUAGUUCGAUUUACCAAAUCCAAUUUAAUUCAUUUAGUUAAUCAAAUUGUUGCUCACCCAUAGCAAGCCAACAGGUUGAAACUCUUGGAAUCUAACUCCUAACUUCGGUCAAAUCAUGGUUCAAAUUUUGAAACAUUUGUUUCAAGUAUAGGUAGCAAAUCAACCCAUUUAAUUAAAUUUACCCAUUUAAUUAAUUAAACUUUAGUCAACCAAAUAUAUCAAUGAAUAGAUGAGGAUGAGUAUCUUAAAUUUUUGCAUAUGGGUAUAAAUGGGUUAAUACCCAUUUAUUAAAUGUGUAUUAUUGGGUAACCCAUCAAACCCAAUUAACCCAUUUAGAAUUAUUUUCCCCCAAAUCUCCUCUCUUCCCCCACCCUUUUUUUUUCUUCAGAUUUUUCAUUUUAUUAUAAUGUUAACUACUUUUGUUUCAUUAUUAUUAUUUGUUGGUUUUAUUUUAUCAUUUUAUUUUCUCUUAGUUUGUUAACUUACUCAUUUUUUAGUAUUACCAAUCCAUGAUAAAUUUUAGUCUAUUUUCCUACCUUUUCAAAAUGAAAUUUUAAAUUUACACAUGAAAAAAAUAUUAGGGUCAAAAUUUUUGGAUUAAGGUUUUAUGUUAAUUUUUAUAGUACUUAAUUCAAAUUUUUAUAUUUUUAUUAUUCAAUUACUAAAUAGUAUAUAAUUUUACGACAUAGAGUACGGAUAGGAAAAAAAUUGAUAAUUAGGCUUAUUGAACAUUAUAAGUAAAUAUUUAAAACUAAUGAUGGGUGCAAAGAGUGGUAUAAAUUAAUAACUUAGUUUGCAAAAAUAAAUUUAAAUGAGUUUACAAAAAGUUAAAAUAAAUAGGUUAUAAAUGGGUAAUUGGGUUACCCAAUUCAUUUUUUGACUUACUCAUUUAUACCCAUCUAAUUAAAUGAAUAUAAAUGGGUUGAUUCACUUAUACCCAUUACCCAUUUUAUCCAACCGAAACCUGCCCAAGUCACUCAUUUUGACACCUCUAGUUUCAGGUAGGGACAAGAGAGAAAGAAAGGUAACAUUGGAGAUCAUAAUGCCAAAUAGCUCUAACUAUUGUUAGCCAAAUCGUUUGAUUUAUUGGAUUCUUUAAUUCAUUUAGUUAAUCAAAUUGUUGCUUACCAUUCAUGAGGCAACCAGUUAAAACUCUUGAUCCCUGACUGCUAAGAUCAGGCUAAUCACGGCUUUAAAUUUCAAACAUUGGUUUAAGUUAGGGAUGAGAGAGAAAGAAAGGUCGAAAGACAGUUUGUGUAUUUAAUUUGCAUGUAGGUCAUAAUGUCAAAUAGCUCGAACCAUUAUUAGCCAAAUAGCUCAAGUUAUAGUAUUCAAUUUAGUUAAUCAAAUUGUUGCCCACACCUACUGAGCAACUAGUUGAAACUCUUAAUCUCUAACUCCUAAGUUCGGUCGAAUAAUAGUUCAAAUUUUGAAACACUAGUUUAGGAUAGAGAUUUAGAAAGAAGGCGACAAGGUGAUUUGUAUUUUUAAUGUGGAUGUAGAUCAUAAGGCCGAGCUAUUCAGAAAAUCCGAGAAUAUAGAUUAUCAUUCUGCCAACCUAAAAAUUCAGGCAAAUCUUCAACUUCGAAUGCAUGAAUGCAUUCCUGAAUAAAAUGAUCUUUUGACUAAUGAAUAUAUAUAUAUAUAUAUAUAUAUAUAUAUAUAUAUAUAUAUAUAUAUAGUCUCCAGGGUCAUUUACCUCCAAGUUUAAGUAAGUUCAUUUCUUAUUUCACAUUAUACUUCAUCUUAUAAUGAAUAUUAUCUUUGUUUUAUAAUGUUCUUGUAUUGGUUCUCAUUCUAUUGGUAAAUAUAUAGACCUACCCCUCAAUUUGUCAAAACAUCAAAGACUUUCUCUCCACUUUAAAAAAUCAAUUGAGGUACCCAAUGCUCUGUAUCACAAAUAUAUUCAUGUACAACUCACUACAGUUGGAAAAAAAAAAUUGAUCGCACAGUAAACAAAUCAAGUUUAACUAUAAGAUUAAAUUUGUUUAGUAAUCAAGUGGAACUCGAAUUUGCCUGUGAAUAGAUCUAAUAUAUUAGUAAACAUAUGCAUUUGAUACACACACAUACAUGCAUAUAUAUGUGUGUGUGUGUGUGUGUCUGUUGAGAUAUGCCAACUUUUCCUACAGAUUUUAUCAGAUUGGGUUUGAUAUCAAAAUAAUUUAGUUAUUAGAAAAUAAGGAUAUUUGUUAACCAAAGAUUAUGUUGGUUUGUUAACAAAUAUAUUAGCUAAGAUUUGCUAGUAGUAGAAGAUUAUAUUUUGUUGAGAUUUUUAGAAUAAUUGUUAGUUGGAUAUUUUGCUAGUUUGUUUCAUGUAACCACUAUAAAUAAUGAGUUGAUGAAUAUAGAACACAAGCUCAUUUUCUACCAUCAAUACAAGUUUCUUAUAAGUUUUUUUUUUUUUUUUUUACAACACUAAAGUGUUGUUUCUUAGUUUAUACCUCAAAAAACCAACAAAGUGGUAUCAAAGCCUAAAUCUUAAGGGACUGUUUCUUUGAGAGUGAGUGAAUUUGGUGAAAAUUCCUUUUUUACACUUAAGCCCUCAACAUCAAAAUGCCAGGAAACAAUUUCUUGUCAAAUCCUCCAAGUUUCACUAGUGAAAAUUACCAAAUCUGGGCCGUCAAAAUGAAGUCCUAUUUGGAUGCUAAUGAUCUUUGGGAUGUGGUAGAGGCAGAUCCUGAUCCUGAAUUGCCGGAAGAUCCAACUAUUGCAGAGAUGAGAGCCCAUAGAGAUGCAGUCAAAAGGAGAUCAAAAGCCAUGACUUGCAUUCAUUCAGCAGUUUCCGAUGCAGUAUUCACAAAAAUUAUCACUUGUGAAACUGCAAAAGAAGCUUGGGAUGCUCUCAAAGUGGCUUUUCAAGGCAAUAACAGAACAAGAUAGAUGCAAGUUUUGAACCUUAGGAGAGAAUUUGAACUCCUUAGGAUGAAAGACAAAGAAAACAUUAAAGAGUAUUCUGACAGACUCUUAAAUAUUGUGAACAAAAUCAGAUUGAUUGGAGAACAACUUCCAGAUAGCAGAGUUGUGGAGAAAGUCUUGGUGAGUUUAUCAGAAAGGUUUGAAGCCAAAAUUUUCUCUUUUGAAAAUUCAAGAGAUCUCUCUCGGAUGACCUUGUCAGAAUUGAUCAAUGCUUUAGAGGCAUAAGAACAAAGACGAGCCAUAAGAACUAAAUGAGUCAUUGAAGGUGCUUUUCGAGCAAUAAAUGAGGAUCAAAUUCGACAAGGUGGUAGAAAUGACCAAGAGAAAAAUAGUCAAGAUGAGAAGAAAAAUGGCAAAAAUCCUCCGUGUUCACACUGUAAGAAAACCUCACAUCUUUCAAUAUAUUGUUGGUUUAGACCUAACAUUCAAUGUAGGGUUUUUAAGCAAAUGGGACAUAUGGAGAGAGUUUGCAAAAAUAAAGGAAAAAGAAAACAUCACGCUCAGAUGGUUGAUGAACAAGAUGAGGAGCAACUUUUCAUGGCCACAUGUUUUGCAAGCAAUAAUUCCAAUACUAAAACUUGACUAAUAGACAGUGGUUGCACUCAUCACAUGGCAUAUGAUGAAUCUAUAUUUAGGAAACUUGAUAAAUCGCAAAUCUCCAAAGUCAGAAUUGGAAAUGGAGAUUAUAUUGAGGUGAAAGGCAAAAGUAAUGUUGCUAUUAAUUAUGGUUCAGGUACCAAAAUUAUUUCUAAUGUUUUGUAUGUACCUAAAAUUAAUCAAAAUCUAUUAAGUGUUGGACAGUUAUUAGAGAAGAAUUAUUCUGUCAUCUUCAAAAAUAGGACCUGUGUUAUACAUGAUCCAGUUGGAAAUGAGCUUUUCUCAGUGAAAAUGAGAGGCAAAAAUUUUGCUUUGAAUUUGUCAGAAAUUGACAAUUCUAAGAUGCAGUAUGGUGAACCAAAAAAUUCAGAUGUUGCUAAAAUUCAGGAUGAGAUCACUGAUGAGGCAAUUGAAGGAGGUUACAUCGUGAAAAUUCAUGAAAUGCUACCCAAGGAUGAUGGUGGUGACAUAGCUGAUAAAAGGCCAUACAAAAAUUUGAAGGAUUGUUUUAUGUCUCUCAUAGCAAUCAUUUUUUGUAUUGUGAAUUUCUUCUUCAGGUUCAUCUAUUACGUAUGGGAGUUCCACUUUCAAGUUGCAAAGAAGUUGAAUACAUCGGAAAAUUUGGUAUUGAUUUUGAAGUUUGGCUCAAGAAACAUUGCAAGACUGAUGGCCAGAUUGCAGACAUUUUUAUGAAAGCCUUGUCCAAAACAAGGUUCAAAGAUUUGAGAAGGCAAUUGAAAAUCUGCAGCAAAAGUGGUAAGGAGGAGUGUUGAGAUAUGCCAACUUUUCCUACAGAUUUUAUCAGAUUGGGUUUGAUAUCAAACUAAUUUAGUUAUUAGAAAAUAAGGAUAUUUGUUAACCAAAGAUCAUGUUGGUUUGUUAACAAAUAUAUUAGCUAAGAUUUGCUAGUAGUAGAAGAUUAUAUUUUGUUGAGAUUUUUAGGAUACUUGUUAGUUGGAUAUUUUGCUAGUUUGUUUCAUGUAAUCACUAUAAAUAGUGAGUUGAUGAAUGUAAAACACAAACUUAUUUUCUACCUUUAAUACAAGUCUCUUAUAAGUUUUUUUUUGCAACAUUAAGGUGUUAUUUCUUAGUUUAUGCCCCAAAAAACCAACAAUAUCCAUCUAUCCUAUGCAUAUAUAUGCUACAAAAAAUUAGAUCCUCAAACCUCUGAUUCUCUAGCCGCCGCUCAAACCUCAAAAGCCCUUUGUUGUCAUCCUGUGGCUUAGUCUUCCACUCAAGUACAUCCACAUCCCCACGCCUCAAAACCCUCAUUCUCAUCCUCAAAACCUUUCUACUCUCUUAAACUCCCUUAGAUCCUUGCACCGCAGGUAGGUGGAUGUUUACCCUUUUUUCCUACUCAUUGUUCUUAACAUCCCAAUCUUUAGCCUUUAUUUUCUUGUUAUCUCUAUCGUGCAUAUGGAGGCAACAAGGCCAGAUUUUUUUUAUUUGCCCUCCCCCCCCCCACCCAAAACAAAACCCUUCCAUUCUUAUAAGUCUCCUAACUAUCACUCUUAAAUUUUCUUCAAAUUAGUUCAGUCCUUUAUUCUUCAAAAAAAAAAAAAAGUUUAGCCUUUUUAAACUUUAAAGAGCCAAAUACUCUUACAAUGUUAACCAAUUGAGUUCAAACAAUCCCUUGUGCUCGUUUAAUAAUCAAUAAACUCUAACCUUCGUUUGCAUAACACUCGAACUGAACAUACUAUACGAUGUGUUAUUAAAGCAAACUUAUAUAACUGGCAACACUCACAAAACACAAAAAACAUGUAAACUAGAAAGCAUGCCAUGAGGAUAUUCGUGUCCAAGGAAAGAAAAUAAGUAAAUAAAGAACACAAACACUAGUUACAACAUACAUUGAACCCAUGUUCCGAGUUAAAGGGCUAACAUUUACUCUGAUAAAGCAAGUAAAAACUACAUGCGCCUGUGUCCCUUAAAGGGCUCACAUUGAUCGUCUAAUAGCAAGUAAUAGGUACAUCAAGCCUUGGUCUCAAAGGGCUCACAUCCUGCCAUGAUAGCAAGUGAACAUACGAGGCUAACUCCAACUGUGGGGAUCAUAAGAAAAUGCAGCGAAAACUUUAAGCAAAUAAUUCAAGAUAACUAAAUCAAUCACAUAUUCAUUGUCGCGCCCCAUUUUUUGAAAUAAAAGAGAAAUGGUGUUUACAAAUGAACAGUAAUUGAGUUGAAAUUAACAAGAAUUUGGUGUCUACAUUCAUAUCAAUCAGAAGGUAAUCAACACGUUGAAUCAGUCUUACAGGUCAAGUAAUUACCAUAUUCCAAGGAUACAAGGUUUCAGGUAUGGUCACCGAGCCUAGGAUUGGGCUAGAAAAGGCCUAGAAUAUCAAAGAAAGUCUAAACUUGCAUCGCAUCGAAGAGGAUUGGAUAAGGAAACUCUCUGUUUUCACUAUUUCCUGCGUCUGACUCAUUAUUGUCUUGUAUAUCAAGAUUGAAAGUCUGAGCGACACCAAGCGUAAAAAAAUGAGACAAGGAAGGGAAGAAAAGAGAAAGGAAAAGGCCAUCUGAAAACUACACAUACAUGGUUAACAAAACUGUGAACUACAUAUCGCGUCGAAAACUAAAUAUCCCUGUUGCUCUUUCUCCCCAUUCAAAAACAUAAAUGCAUACACACAUAUGAUUAUAGACGUAAACUUAGCUUUGGAAAUGUACGGAAGAAGGUAUAUGCAAUGACUGAAUAAGGGUGAAUUGGACAAAGAGGGUUGGCAAUGAGAAGAUAGUUACGAGGCGGUUAAUACAAUGGCAGUUGGGCAAAUUCUGUUAGUUGCUGCAACUGGUAAAUUUAGUUUAGGAGCAGUUACUUACCCAACUCAGGCAUGUACGGGAAUAGGCAAUUGGUGAUUUGUUGCAAUUUCUCAUUUCUCCCAUCAAUUCAACCAGUACAAUUCUCCCUAAUUUCUUUCUGAUCCUUUCUCUUAUUCCUUUCUUUCCCUUCUCUUUCCUUCUUCUUUUCUGGUUCUGGUUCUUUACUUAGAUCAUUACAAUAUAGCUAUAUAGCGUUGUAGCCAUUGUUUAACGUUGGCAGAACAGUAUAGAAGCAGCAGUAGCUUUCUUAGUUGACAAUGCCUUUUUACCCAAAAAAAAUGCUUUCCUUAAAUCCCUUGCUGCUGUAUAAAAAUAUCUACUUAUUUGUCCAGAGUUAACUAGUGAAAAAUAAGAUAACACAGAAUUUUGACACAAGCAAAAUCACCCGAAGUAUGACAUAAGCAAUAUAUUUCUUCCCAUUUUUUCUGUUCCUCAUAAACAAACGAAACUAUCUCAAUAACUAAAUAGCUUCCCCUGAAGAAAAUCACCUGAAAUAAUGUAACCAGCUUAACUCAGCACAAAAUCAUCUGAUAAUAUGCAACCCCAAGUUCUAAGAAUAUACAUUCAAAUACAAACCACAAAUAACAGUUUUCCUUUUAGACCAAUAAAGGUAAAAGAGACUACAUAUCUCAAAACUCCUAUAUUGCCCCAUGAAGAUUGCAAGUUACAGAGAACACCAUAUCUUUGAAGACCUGUUUAAAUUGAUCCCCUACCCUCUUUUCGGAUAUAAUUGACAAAAGCACCUGAAAGACCACUGGGCUAUAACAAAAGAACCGCAGCGUAAAAGGGCAAUUGAGAUAUUAAAUGACAACAUCAGGCAUCCAAUUCAAGCUAAAUUUUCAGCAAAAUAUCAAAUUCCAUUUGUUCUGUAAUACAAAAUGAAGAAAACAACAGGUUCACCGUCGAGUACACAAUAGUGUAGCACAGUUAGUCAACUUCAGGGGCACAAUAUAUCAGCAACUGUCAUAAAAUCCUAAAGAAUCGAUCGAUACAUCAUUUUCACCGCUCGAUAGAUGAUUUGAUAAGCCACAUGGAUGGGCAAUCACUACAAGGCAUCUAAAUAAUUUCACAUAUUCUUUUUUAUUUUACCCUUUUACUAAAUAAUUCCACAUAUUCAAGUAGAAGAUAAUCCAUGAGGAAAAGCAAACUACCAAAAGGCAUUGGUUUCUGAUAUUUCCACCAUCUACCAGCACGGAAGGGUAUAUUUUAAGGAAGAUUGUUUGGAGGGGAAGACAGAAAACAAUGUGAAAGUAGCUUCAUUCUUCUAAGGAGCAAGUAUUGAAUAUCAUAGUUUUCACAUGUUAUAGACAACUGAAAAAGUUCAAUCACCAAUAACUACACUCUUCAACAGUAAGCAUACAACAUAAACAUGAGAUCAACAUUAACAACUCUCCUAAUGCUUGUUUAAACUAUUUGGCAGGAUAAGGCCACCACUGUUUAGUGUCAUCUGUCCUCAAGUAUCAAUGCACAAAAUCUUAUUGCUAUUACAUUGUCCUAUCAACUAAAACUAGCUACAGAUAAAUGAUGCUUACAAAAUGCCUCUGUAAAAAAGAACCGGUAGAUGGAUUCCAGGGUUGCAAUGCUACAUCAUGCAGUUAGAUACAAAAAAGAAUGAAUCUACCCUUAGAAAUCAGGUACCAGCAUCCAUAAACUGUUCUAGCUGUUGUUGUAGGCGAAAACUGGAAGAACGGGAUUUAACUUCCUUCCUUUUUGUUCCCAAUAUAUUAUCAUGAUCUGUAUUCUCAAUCUUCAUCCACGAAUGUAAUUGUUCAAUAAAAAUGCAUAACUCAUUAGAUAACGGAUCAUGUUUAUCUCCUGCAACAAACCUGUAUGCCCUAUUGUUCACAUGAAGCAAACUGUACCCAGCGAGUACCUUGGCCCCACUUUUCUUGCCCAACAAUCUCAUAUUGGCAGCAUCAUACCAUAAACCACCAGACGCAUACAUGUUAGAUGCCAGCAAAUAUCCAUCACUACUAGAUGGCUCCAAUUCAAGAAUAUGAGCUAAAGCACCAGCCCCAACCUCCCUAUUACCAGAGUUCCUACAACCGCUCAAGAUUGCACUCCAUGCACUAGCGCUAGGCUUUACUGUACAAGGUAUUUUGUUGAUAAAAUCCAUUGCACUAUCAAACUUUCCAGAUCGAGCCAACAAGUCCACAAGACACGAAUAAUGUUCCACCCCAAUUUCAACACCAUAUUCUUGUAUCACAUUCUCAAAGACAGACAAGCCCUCAUCAACCAAUCCCCCAUGGCUACAUGCAGAUAACAGAGAAAGGCUUGUUACUAAGUUGGGCUUGAGACCCUGAGAUUCCAUUUUGGCAUGUAAAGCUAAAGCAUCACGAGGAAGGCCAUUCAUACCAUAUGCUGCAAUCAUAGCACCCCAUGACACAAUGUUUUUUUGGGGCAUGUAUUCAAAAGCUUUUCUUGAAGCCUGUAUCGCCCCACAUUUGGAAUACAUAUCCAAAACAGCAGUUCCAACUGCAACCUCAAAAGCUAAGCCAUGUCGAAUAGCAAUACCAUGAGCAGACUUUGAUAUGUUCAGAUCUGCAAAAAGAGAGCAGGCUUCAAUAAGAUUCAACAUGGUAACUGUGUUAAGAUUUUCUUCAAUCAGCUUCAUCUCUCGGAAAAGAGCAAUUGCUUCACCAGGCAUGUCCCAGUAAGUGAAUGCUGCAAUCAUUGUGCUCCAAGUGACCGCAUCUCGGUGCUUCAUCUGACUAAACUGCUUCCAUGCAAGACUAAUGCAAUUGCAUUUUGCAUAUGUAUCAAUUAAAGAAUUUUUGACCAACUCAUUUGAUUCAUAACCUUGUCUAAGUACUUUGGAAUGAAUCAACUUGCAUUGAUAUGGUAACAUAAGAUAUUUGCAUACUUGAAGCAGAUUGACAAGGGUUACUUCAUCAGCUUCAACUCCUGCCCUUCUCAUUGAAUCAAAUAACAACAGGGCUUCAGAAUGCUUCUCACUUUGAACAUAUCCAGAUAGUAGAGAAUUCCAUGAUACCACAUUCUUUUGACUCAUCUCGCUGAAGGCUUUAAAAGCAGAUUCAACAUCAUCACACUUGGAAUAGAAAUCAACCAACGAGUUUCCUACAAACAAGUCACAUUUCAGGCCUCUCGAAAUCGCAAAGCCGUGGACCAAAUUUCCCAUUUCAAUGUUCUGUAAAUUGGUGCAUGCUUUGAGUAUAGUUACAGUUAUAGGCCCAUCCACUUCAAUGUGAAACUCAGAUACCAUUUGCCGGAACAACUCUAAAGCAACUCUGGCUUCACUGUUUUGCACAUACCAGCCAAUUAUUACGCUCCAAGAGAUUACAUCUCUAUGAUGCAUUUCAUUGAAGAGCUUCCGAGCAAACUCCAUCCUGAUGUCUGCAUACAUACAUAAAAGGGAGUUUUGAACUGAAGAGAUGGCCAAAAACCCACUACGAAUAAUAUACCCAUGAAGUAUUUGCCCAUCAUCAAACAACUGGCGCUCACGACAUGCACAAAUCACAAGCACCAAAGUGGAUAUGUUAGGUUUGAAUCCUGUAAUUUUGGCCUGGAAAAACAAGCCUAACCCCUGCUCAAAAGCACAUUGAUCAAGGUGUCCAUGAAUGAUUAUGUUCCAAGAAACUGAAUCUCUGUUCCUCAUGCAAUCAAAAACAUCAUUUGCACAACCCAGGGUUCCAGAUUUCACGUAAAAGUCAAUAAUAGAAUUGCCCAAGGAAGUGAAUGAAUCAAGUCCCUGUUUAAGCAAAGAUGCAUGAAUGGACUUGCCAUAAUCAAAAGAUAUGGCAGAACAUGCUUUGAGAAUGGGAGGGAAGACAGAAGGAUCAGUCAAUUGAACUCCCGCCUCCCUCAAUUCACAGUGACAGGAAAGAACCUCUUGCCAUCUCCCAGUAGCUGCUAAGUUCUUGAUCUUUGAAAAACAGCUGGGGAGUCUUGAAACUGAUGAAAUGCUUGGCAAGCGCACAGCCAUGAAUCACUUGCAUUAUAAGGGCUGCAGGCUCAAUAGCUAAAAGAUUCAAUAGAAAAGUAACUCUACUCCUUCCAGCCAAUAGCAAAACAUCACAAAUCUACGGUAGCAUUGGACCUCAUAAGUCCUUGCUUUCCACAAUGAAACAACCGAUAUGUGCAUUCUUGGUGACCUCCUGAAACGCAAUUUGGCAUCCUUUAUUUGCAAAUGUUACAGCUUCCAGAAAUGGCUACACUAAAUCCAGAUUCAGACACAAAAAAAAAUAAGAAGAUAGUUAACAGCAUAUAACAAGGGCCCUACAAGUUGUCAACACCAUAAAAAGCCCAGCAGAUAUUAAAAAAAAUUCAUAAAUUGCUUGUGAAAUACAUGAAACUUAGAAGAAAUCCAUUAAGGAAAACAAAAAUCAUAAAAAUCCAAACGAAAUCACAAGACAAUUUCCUUUCUGUUUUUGCUCUUUCCCCCCUGUUUUGUGUACAUUUCCUACAAACCAAGCCCACUAAGGCAUGACCUUUGGACAUUUCCUACAAAUACAGAACUAAUCACAUUGAAAAAAACAACCCCCUUAAUCUAAAGGACAAUUUUUGCAGUAUAUAACUUCCCAAAUUCCACUACCAAUAUACAAUACCGAAAAAAAAAAUCCAAUGAAACAAAAUACAAAGAAAAAGAAUAAACCCAAUGAAAAUUUUGGCAUAAACAAUUACAAAGAGAACCCAGUUUCACACUACUCUGCUUCUGUUACCAGAGAGAAGGAAAAAAACCCAAUAGAGAUAGUUAUCCAGCAGCUAUCAUUCACUUCAGUUCUCUACUUUACAAGAAAAAAAAAGUCGUUUUUCUCGGACCACACAAACAAACCAUAUGAAGUUGAGAAGGAAACAAAGAAAACAAUGAAAUUUUGCUAGAGGGGUUUUACCGGCGACGGAGGCCUCUUCCUGGGAAAGGGUCGCAGUAACUCAGAAGAAAGAGCGCCGGCAGUGGCUGUUAUAAGAAGCGGCUAGUAAUCCCACUUUGAAAUUACGAUGAUUACUUUUGUUAUUGUUAUUAUUAUUGUUAUUGUUAUUGUUAUUAUUUUGGGUGACGGUACUGAGGUUGAAGGUUUUCUAUUGAAAUGGGCUUUCUGGAUAAGAAAUUCAUGAGGAAAAUUUUGAAGCACUUGGUGACAUUGGGGAAUUUCUUUUCUUUUCAAAUACUCAAAAUCAAGUUUUUUACUAUGAAGUGGUCUGUCAAUUUUGAUAAAAUAAAUUGUGUCUAUGUUUAGUACUAGAUAGUCUGGCUAAUUCCUUAGCUUAGAUUAUGGAUGAGAAAAAAAUGCACAAAUAUUAUUUGAUACGUAAUUUCCUUCCCUUGCUUACAAAUGUGAGAAUUUUUUUUUUUUUUUUUAAUGUUGCUUGCUGCCGGGCUGACAGCAGCGGAGGUGUUUGGAUAAUAAAUUAUUUGAAAUUACUUUUUAAAAAAUAAUACUAUAGCAAUUUUUUCGUGUGAUAUAUAUAAAAUAAAAAAAUUAUUUAAAAAUAUAUUUAUAAUGUAAAUAAAUAAAUUUAUGCAAAUAUCCCUACUCAACAAAAAUAACCAAGCUCAAUGCAAGCAUAAAGAAACCUAUAUCAAUCAACAGUACGUAACUUCAAAAAAAAUCAACAAUACGUAACUAUUUCAUUGCUACUAGCCAUAUUUACAAGAACUUGCGUUAUAAGGGAAGGAAUGUAAGAACAAGUUUCUAAGUUAUGCCAAUGAAACGCUACAACAACUUAAAAAUAUGCUCUCUCCUAUCCUAUGAAUAUGCCUGACUAAUACAAGACAUAAAUGGAAUCUGAUCCAGUUCAAAGAGGACAACAAUGCAGAGACGACCCAACUGGUGGAACUCAGGAAAGUCAACCCCUUCUGUUUAACCAAAUAGGGAUGGAAUUAUACCACGAAAUGAGUAACAGCUGCAAGAAGCUCUUCCCAAGGCUAGAUUAAAAUUAACCAUGCCACUGCAAGGCAAAAAUGGCAGCACCACAGUAGCAAUAAUAGCCAGAGAUUCCCAAAUUUAGCCACAAACACUUCUAUGUGUGCCAAAGCUGCUGCACAGCUACUGCGUUCUGCCAAAACAUCCCCAAUUGGUUUCAAUGAAAGAACUAAUCGGAAUUCUGCUUUAUGUCUACUGUCCCAACAUUACACAGAUUUCGCUGUAUUUCUGUGCUGGCUUUCUAUUGCAAAUGUUUCCCCAAACGAUCUAGCUUAUUUGUUCAUCCUCAUAUCCAGAUGCCUUCCCUGUUCUACCGAUUAAAAACGGCUCUGGAAAAGAGUCACUGCUAUGGAUUUCAAGACCUUGAUAUGAUCGAGCUGCAAAAAACUCAGCUCCAGAUUUGGCAUCUCUUCUUGAUAACAGCUCAGUCUCCUUGUUCUGCAGCAGCAAAGCCUUCUCUGUGACAUUUACCAGGGAAAGAACUGCAUCCUUUUCCUCCUUCCCCUCUGAUAGGACCAAAAAUUCAAAGGGACCAUUAAAUGAGCACAGCCAAGAAAGAAGCGAGACAUUUCAAAUUAACAGUCAACAGAAUAAAGCUACAUUUGUCCAUUAACGGAUCAAAUGAGGAAAAAAAAAAUCUGGUUUCCAGAAUAAACAUAUCAGCUCAACUUUAUAGGAAUGACUUAUCAUAUUAUGAACCAUUACAUGACUUUAAGUUAUGAACAGUCACACAAAGAGGGCUAAUAGACUAAUUCAAUCCAAAUCGUAUACUUUAGAAAAUAACCCAUCAUGAAUGAUGAGAUUUAAAAAACAAUGCUGAACAGGAAACAAAAAAGCAAACAUGACGACAAAGAGAAUUAUAUAUGUUUGUGUGUAUACAUAUAUAUACACACAGAACAUCGCAAGCACAUUGAUGAUUACUCAAGUACAUCAUCAAUAACUAUCAACACACAAGCAUGGAAUAGAAGCAUAGCCUUAAAGACUUUAGGUAGUUCACCAAUUGGCUUAUGUGACCUAUAUGAUAACACAAGCCUUAAUUCUGUGUCAUCUCCCAUCAAGCAUCCAUGCAAAACACAAGGACCUUGUUUUUAUUGUUAAUUAAAUGAGCCUCAAAAGAUGUCUUGAACACCACCCUAGAAUGGGGAUAAAACUGGGUUCAUCAGUGCAAAUAUUAUAUCAUGGAACUAUGCAAGAAAGAGAGACACCUAUUCUCUAAAUUGGAAUUGCAAUACAAGUAAAUCAAAUUCUUAUUUGGUUGUCUAGCUUCACCAAGAGGGCUAAUUCCUCUGAUUGGUACCAGUAGAAUAUUCAAUGAGCUCAGAGCUAAUGAAGUUGCAUAAAUUCUAUAUAAUGGUGCACAUAAGGUCAUAAGGUCAGCUGAACAAGAAAUUGCCUCACUUGUCAUUGUUUAAGAUUUAGAAGAGCUCUAUAGCCUAAAACAAAUACCUGGUUCCAAUGUUUUUAAAGGAGAUUUUUUGAGACCUCAAGAUAACGGAAGAUACCUUGCAAUUUAAAAUCUUCAACAUAUCCACCCUGAAAGAAAGAAAAACGUGAUUCUGUCUCAUCUUCUACUUCGGCAGGCUGGGAAGCAAUCACAUCCUGAAAUUCCAUUGAGUAAGCUCCGGUCCACUGACUGCCCCUGCAAUAGCGGUUUAACAAGAAUUGAUCAUCUAGUAUUUAUAACAAGUUCAAAGGAUAAUAUUAUCAUUAUCAAUUCCCAAGCCUGUCGAAUUGGUAGAGUCUAGGCUCGAAUAAUCACCAAAUCCAAUACCAAAAAGGCAUUUGAUUUACUUACAGCAGGACUAUUUAGAGUGUAAAGGAAGACUUCCAGACCUCAGCCGAAUGAUCUAUUACUAUCUCCUGCCCUGAGGUCUGGAUAAAUUUACUUUAUUCAAAAAUUAAAUAAACUUCGAAUCAUAUAGCAGUGUAUCAAAACCAUGACAACUGAAUGUGAAUCAACAUAUAAUCUUAACAACGUCUGCAGACAAAUGAGGACAGAAUUAAGAUGAGUCGAUACAAUAUUCACAGUUCAGGCACUGAAUAAUCUAAACUUAAGAAGAGGAAAAAAAAAAAAGACAAAGUGGAUGGCAAGAGACAAGGACUAAAAUAGAAACACAAGGGAACUCUAGCUUGCAAAGAGGUUAUAGAUCAACCAAUCAAGGAUCUGAAAAAUACUACCACAUUUCAUCAACAGGUUUACGUGUAUUCCUCUUACAAAGUACUACUAGUUAUUUUUCAGGUUUUCUGCUCCUAUGACAAAGCUAAUUCAAUUCAAUAUUGCCUUUCAGCAUAUAUUGUAACAGAGAAAUGAAACUUGAUGAUCUUAUAGCCCCAAACUCAAUAUCUGAAAAUAGAUAAUUGCAAAGCUCAACAAUAUCCAUGACAAUAACAUUAGAAACUUGAAGAUUCAUGAAUAAUGUGGGUAAUAAAAGCAGCAUUAGAACCAAAACUAGGCUGAUGAAAUGUAGCAAGGUAAGCAUAGAUAACAAAAGCAGCAUUAGAACCAUAAAAUCUUCAAUGCAUGUGAACCAAACACAUCUGAACUUCUAAGUAGGUCUAAGGGAGUCCAAUUGCUUCUAAGUAAAAGCAAGGCACUUUUGAAAAGCUCCAAGUUUGAGCUUCAGGUAGAGUUACCAUUAGCCAAAAAUCUUUUUAAUAUAAACACUUUUAUCAGGACAUUACCAGGUACUUUAUCACUGCAAAAAGAACUUUACCAAAUCUUUUACACAACAUGGACACUUUGUGCAACCAGAAAUCAAUGUAAAACUUAAAGCUAGUUCAAAAUUUUCCUGAUAACUAAUUUCCGAACCUCAGAAGAGGUUAGACACUAUUAUUAUUCUGAUAGAGGAGUAAUAUCACACACAGUUUUCGAAAAAUGACUUCCCUUCAUUUAUUUAGCUACCUUGCAUACCUCUUGGACAUCAAAUUGCAUAGUACUACUGAUUAUAACAGUAUACCACUAAAGGAAUUAAAAUGAAGCCUAUAAUCACUAUUGAUCCCUGCAUGAAUUUAUUCCAGCAAAGUUGUUGAACCUCUAACAUGCAGCACAAUUCCUAAUUGCUCAGGAAAAGAAAAUGUAAUAAAAAAAAAAGUAUAAAGACAAAAUCCAUUUCUGCAACCUGCAUUAUUUCCAUGAAAUGCAAAACCACCCAUUAGUGAAUAGUCAUCAAACGAAAUUGAUAAUGCCAUGCAAUUUAUAUAAGAUAUCCACUUAGAUGUGCUUUAGGUACAAUCAGGAAAUUAUAGACCAUCCACAAAUUUCAACCACAUAAAAAACUUUACACUCAUAGUUAAAAUGGUAUUUACCUGUUGAAAGCUAUCAAAGCUUCAAAAGGAGUGAUUAUAGGAGCUAAAAACUCCUUGCUAUCCAAAAGAGCCGUUUGAGCGCAGGAUACAUAGAUGAAAACAUCACACUGCAUAUGCACCAGAGAUUUGAAAAAUUCUCAAAAGUUAAAAGUUGUAAAGAAAAUCUGUCCACAGAAACAAUGUUUACCUCAGGAAAAUUAGCUAAUUUUGCAGGAUUUGGCUUUCCCAUAAGAAAGGUAUAUGCCUUUUUCCCAGCUCUAGUCACGAGUUCUGUCAUUUGAUGAAUCAUAUCUAGAUAACCAGCUGCAUCAAUAAUUUUACCAGAAAAACUUCAGUCUGUAUCUUAAACAUGACGACAAACUAAAAAGGUCAAACAAAAUGAUGUGCAUUGGCAAUACAUUCUAUCAAGCCUGAAGAGAAUAUUUAUUAUCUAACCAUAAGCUCAGCAAAUGUUCAAUAAACUACUAAUUUUCAGAAGAUUUCAAUUGAUUUGCAAAUGCAUAAGACCAAAUUGGCUUUCAAUAUGAAUUACGGAGCAACAUUUGUGGUCUUUACUCAGAGCAGAUAACACUAUUGCAUAUGAAUUAUAAUUCUACAUAUUUAGAACAAAAAAGUCUAACUACGGCAAAAGUCAGAAAAGCAUUGAUUCGUGAUGGAAGAGGGCAAGUGCAUAUUAAUAAAACUGUUGCACAAGAACUUACCAACUCCAAGAGUUCCAACCAAGAUCCCAACCAUGUUUGCAUCCUUCGCUUUUUCAACUAGAUAAUACCUAAUUAUUCAUGCAGUUGGUUGCACAUGGGACAAAAGAAUGAUUUUAAUACGUCAAUGCAUAUCACAUCUUAUAUAUAAAAGUUACUAAUUUGCUGAAAUAAAUUAGCAUCAUUAUGUGCUUGACAAGUAUAAUACCUGCGCUUAAGAAUUUUUGCCUGCUGAGAUACAUCAGUCUUCAAGCAACCUUCAAUUGCAUCAUAUCUGACUAGAAACAACAGGUGAGAAAUCAACAAACAUUAUUGCAUAGCCAAGUGAAAGAGCAUGAGAAAGCAAAAGCGGGUAGCUGAAAAGAACAAAACAAGGAAAAUCAAUUGACAAUGUCAAACCAAUUUGAAUUGGCGAGCUUCAUGCUUAUAACAAAACUAAGACAACGAGCAACACAGAAGAGAAUGGCAAUGCCAAAAAUUGCACCCCUCACUUACCUAUUUCACAACUAUUAAAUGUUAAUAUGAAGUUUGAGAAAGCCGAGUUGUCUAAACCAAUCCAGAACAGCAAAUAAUCCUCCGUCCUGUGUCCCUCAGGUAAACUCCAACCCAAACCACCUAGUCUAAAUUUUGUAUCAGUCUUCUGAGAAGAAUCUUCAUUGUUAUCCUGCUCGCCAUUCAACAUUAAAUGUCGAUUUUCCAAUUUCAUAGAUGCGGAUGGAGUUAUAACUGAAUUAGUAACAUUAGCAAAAUGUAUCUGAAAUCCUGAGUUGGAGUCAUGAAACCUCAUUGCUUCAACAUUUAGUGCCUCUUUUAUAUCCGGCAUUCCAUGAGCAUAUUCUAACCCAAAAAGAACCUGCAAUAUCAGCGAUAUUCAAGUCAGCAAUUAUGUAACUUAGACAAUAUGUGUUACAAGCCAAAAUAAAACUAUCACCUAGAGCCCUGGAGUGAGAAAAUUGCAAACAAAAAUUUGUGUAAAAAAAGGCAAAAACAACCACAUGAUAGUAUAUGCAGUACUUUCCAACUUACCAGAACAGGCUUGCCACUUUUUACGCCAUAAUUGUAUAAACUUUCAGCACAGUUAGAUGCCUUAAGAGGAGCCUUGCCGAAAACACAAAAAGCUGGAAUUGUGGUUGUCCUGCCAAAACAUAUUAUAGAAACCCAAAAAUUAGAAACAAAUGGAAGAAAAAUUUUGUUUCCCACCAAAUUUUCUACUUGCAAACUCAACAAGGCAAUUUAAAACCAGAAAACUUGAUACCAAAACAUGUUCAAACUUAUACAUGACAGUAUGUAUGCAUCAUCAUUGAUACUUGUUUCCUUGAAUCAAGUACAUAGCAGCCUCAAAGAAUCAGGAACCACUUGGGAUAUUCUGUACUUGAAAUAAAUCUAUAGGUACAUAAAUUGCAAAAAAAAAAAUGGAAAUGAGGCCUCAAGGGUUCAUCAAAAAGCAAGUUUCCAACACAUUUGCAAAUGUGAUUGCUCCAUUUUUAAGCCUGAGAGUAAUUGGGACCAAGGAAAAAAAGGAGGUAAAUACUACAAGACAUAAUGUGUAACAUUUACUGUUCAAAUGCACGUUAACAGACAAACUGACACACCAAGAUACUCCCCGACUUCCAUUUCAGCACUGGUUGAGGCCUGUUUCUUCACAUUCAACAACAUAAUACAUGCGAAAGAAGCAAUAAGAGCGUUUCACCAUGGAAGCUAGGACCAAUUGACUCCCUACAACUUCAAAAAACCAAAAGAAAAAAAAAAUACAGAGAGUACACUUUUACCAAAUUCUACUAGUUCAUGUAGCAACCAACUCCAAAACCGAAAAGGCCAAAUUUCCAAAACUUUCAAAAGCAGCAAUAACAAGUAACAAUAACCCUUAAUGCACUAUCUUCAAAUUAAUUAGUACCUCAUACACUAAAGGUUGUACCCUUCCGACCAUUUCCUCAAACUAAACCAAAUUAAUUAACACUAAACAGCUCCUUAAUCAAAAUUACGAACAUAGUUACUAUUAAACACAUAAUAAACAAACUCACGGGCUGAGGCAACUGUGGCCGUAAUGAAUAAUGCAAUCAGCUUUCACAUGAGCAGCUCCGACCUCGUCCACGCAGCAGCUGCCGUAGGUGGUGUCGGCCAUCACGUACAACUUAGCGGUUGCACGUGACUCGUCGGAAUUCUGAAGAGGCCGGUGGAGCUCUUGCCGGAGAGCACUCACGACUUUCCUUGAAUCUUUCAGGAGCUCAUCUGGAAACUACAAAUAAAAUAAAUAUAUAAAAUCUCAAUUAAUAAUUUUAGGAAUUAUUUAUUAGUUUUUUUACCAUUUUUAUUGUUAAUAAACCUGUAAGGCGACUCUGGAGAAGUUAUGGGCGAUAAUGAAGUCGGCGACGAGGGAAAUUUCGUAAUAAUUUUCAAAAUCCAUGACUGAAGAAUGCGGAGGCGCAGUGCGGAGGCGGAGGCGGAGGCGAAGCGAUGGCCUAUAUGGAGACGAGGGGAAUGAAGAGCAUAAUUGAGUGGGCCGAUUGAUGACGGGAAACGUGUUGUGUUAUUGGGUUGGCCCAAAUUACCGUUCUGGACUUUAAUGUUUCAAGAGGUGGUCUAAUCUAUAUGUCUAACAUCUAUCUAUCUAUAUCUAUAUCUACAAUCUAUAGGGUCCGUUUGGAUUAGGUGUUUUUGGGGUUGUUUUUCAAAAACAGCACUGUAGCAUUUCAUUUUUCAAAUACAAGUCCGUUUGGAUUAGUUAUUUUUUGGGUUAUUUUUCAAAAAUUAUAUAAAAAACUUUUACUGUAGAUGUUUUAUGGAUUAUUUUUAGAUGUAUUUUUAAAACAUAUUUUCGAGUAUUUUUAUAAUUUAUAAUUUUUAUAUUUUUAUAACAAUAUAUAAUUAUACAUUUAUAAAUAUUUAUAAAUAAAUAAAUUUAUAUAAAAAUAUAUAAAUGUAUUAUAUUAUAUAUAAUACAUAAUAUAAAUAUAUUUAUAAAUGUAUAAAUUAUAAAUGAAUAUUAUAUAAAUGUAUAAAUUAUAAAUUUUAUAUUUUUAUAUUUAUAUACAUUUAUGCAUUUAUAAUACAUUUAUUAAUAUUUAUAAAUAAAUAUAUUUGUACUUUUAUAAAUAAAUAUAUUCAUAUAUUUAUAUAUAAAUGUAUUAUAUUAUAUAUAAUACAUAAUAUAAAUAUAUUUAUAAAUGUUUAAAUGUAUAUUACUAUAAAUAUUUAAAUUAUAAAUGAAUAUUAUAUAAAUGUAUAUUAUAAUUUAUAAUUUAUAAUUUUUAUGUUUUUAUAUUUAUAUGCAUUUAUAAUACAAUUAUAAAUAUUUAUAAAUAAAUAUAUUUAUAUGUUUAUGAAUAAAUAUAUUUAUAUAUUUAUGAAUAAAUAUAUUUAUAUAUUAUACUAAAUAAGUAAGCGUAUUAUAUUUAUAAAUAAAUUUAUAUAUUAUAUAUAAAUAAAUAAGUGUAUUAUAUUUAUUGAUUUAUUAUAUAUUAUAUUUAUAAAUAAAUAUAUAAAUGUAUUAUAAGUGUAUUAUAUUAUUUAUAAUACAUAAUAUAAAUAUAUUUGUAAAUGUAUAAAUGUAUAUUAUUAUAAAUGUGUAUAAAUUAUAAAUGAAUAUUAUAUAAAUGUAUAUUAUAAUUUAUAAUUUAUAAUUUUUAUGUUUUUAUAUUUAUAUACAUUUAUGCAUUUAUAAUACAAUUAUAAAUAUUUAUAAAUAAAUAUAUUUAUAUAUUAUGUAUAAAUAAAUAAGUAUAUUAUAUUUAUAAAUAAAUUUAUAUAUUUUAUAUAAAUAAAUAAGUGUAUUAUAUUUAUUUAUUAUAUAUUAUAUUUAUAAAUAAAUAUAUAAAUGUAUUAUAAGUGUAUUAUAUUAUAUAUAAUACAUAAUAUAAAUAUAUUUAUAAAUAUAUAAAUGUAUAUUAUUAUAAAUGUGUAUAAAUUAUAAAUGAAUAUUAUAUAAAUGUAUAAAUUAAUAUAUUAUAAAUAUAUAUUAAUACUAUGUAUAAAUGUAUUAAUGUAAUAAAUGUAAAUGUAUACAUUUAUUAAUAUUAUGUAUAAAUGUGUAAUUAAUAUUAUGUAUAUUAAUAUAAAUGUAUAAAUGUAUUAUAUUAUAUAUAAUACAUAAUAUAAAUGUAUAUUAUAAAUAUACAUAAAUAUAUAUAUUAUGUUUAAAUGUACAUUUAUAUAAAUGUUCAAUAUAUAUAAUAUAUAUUAUGUAUAUAUUAAAUAUAUAUAAUAUAUAACAUUUAUAUAAACGUAUAAUAACAUAUUUAUAAUAUAUAUAAUUUAUAUAAUAUAUAAUAUUUAUAUAAAUAUAUAAAAAUAUAUUUUAUAUAAAGUAAAAUAUUUAUAAUAUGUAUAAAUAAAUAUAUUUAAAUUAAUAUAAUAUAUAUAUCCUAUACAUAAUUGAAAUAUAUAAGUUGAAAUAAACAUAUUAAAUAUGUAUUUGGAGUUGUUUUUGAUAUAUUGUUUGGAUAUUGGUGUUUUUGGAGUUGUUUUUGAAAUACACAUUUACUGUAGCAUUUGGAUCGUGAAAAACAGUUUUUAAAAAACAGGCCCUAAAACAAGAAUCCAAACGGAUCGUAUAUAUAACAAUUGAAAAGGGAGAGUUGGGUGAAUGAACAGUAAAAGAGUGUCUUCGUCGGUUAUGUCAGUAUUCCUUGAAAUGUUGAGGUUAUUGUGGUCCAUUUACGUUGGUCUCUUGCCUUCUCGGUUGUUCAAGUGAUUAGGAUUAGUCUUAGUAGUCAUUCAUUUUUCGGCUAUGCCAUUUUUUUAUUCCUCUUUUACUUUUACUCGGCACAUGGUUUUUUUGUAAUUUCUAUGUUCUUUGUUCCUCUUUUAUUUGUGUCUUUCUUGCAUCUACUGAUCCACAGACAUGGCUCACGUACACAUUUAUGACUAUUACUUGAGGCUUGGGUAUCUCUUAUUUUUCUAUUAUGUCAUUCAUUGUUUCUUUAGUUUAGCAUGUAUGAUUUAGUUGCUUGGUUCCUUUGUAAUUUUAUUGGUUUUUUACCCUCAUUUUUGUUUGCUCAUUGUUAUCCUAUGUGGACCAUAUGAAUGGGCGGUUUUUUGUACCAUGUUUCCGCCAACGUUUGCUGUCAUUUAAUGGAAAAUUCCCCUUUUUAUUCUGCCUUUUUUUUGUUUCCUGCUACUGUUGUUUUUUCCCAAGCACUAACAUUAAAUGUUGAAUGCCCUUUCAAGCACUGCUUGUUUCUAAAGUACCUACUCUUCUGUACUUUUGAUUUGCUUUUGUCAUUCCUAGACUCAUGACAGAUAUGACCAUCCAUACAUUUUCCUCCUCGUUAAUCAUGAUAUUAUUGCUUUUUUGUGUCCUUUUUUCAUAUUUUUUACUAGAUACCGAAUUCCUUUUGCGUUCUUUUCUGCCUUCGACCUUUGCAUUCGUAUUGCUUUCUGUUUUACCGUGUUUCUUCCUCCUGCAACUUUCUUUUCUUUCCAGAAGUUUGUUGUUGAGGUCAAUUGCAUUUUCGUUGUACAUGUAUUACGGUUAUUCCUUUGCAUUUUUCCUUCUUUUAUUCAUGAUUUGCCACUGUCAUUUUUUCCUUUUCCUCUACCCUUUCUGUUUCAUGUUCCUCUGUCCUUUCUCUUUCAUGUCUUACAUUCUCUAUGCCUAUGUUUAUGCUUUUUCGUAUGCCCAUGUUUACACUUUUUGCUCUAUAUUUUUUAUUUGCUCGUCCAAUGGAAAAUAGGUGUUGUAAUUAAGUGUUUUAGGAUUGCACAAUUUUGUUGAGAUUUUUGUCGUUGAUGAUGCUAUCAAAAUUUACCAUGUGAUGUGCCCUUAAUGUCAGACAGUUACCUGUGCCUUAUAUUUACAUAUGUUUUGCGGGUUGUUAACACUACAAUCCCCUUUUUUUUAGGUUGUGUAUUGUGUUGCUGCUUUUGCUCUUAUUAGGCUUGCUGCUUUGCACAAGUAAUGCACUUUCUUUUAUUCUUUUUUUAGCCAGUUACAGUGUUACAUGUUUUUACCAUAGUCCUUUUUUUAACUUAACCGCUCACAUAGUAUGCAUAUGUUGCUCAUUUUUAUGCUUUUGAUUUUUAUGUGCUAUGAAUGUAAUCACUUUAUUUGAAUACAUUUUUGAAAAAUUAAACAUAUUUUGCGGUUGAUGGUAUUUGCAUGCUUUGCUUGUCUUAUUUUUGCCCAUUUUUAGCAUUCAUGGGUCGCAAAAGAAAGUCCUUCUCUGAUGAUGAUUGUCGAUUACACAAAAAUCGUCGCGCAAGAGAAAUAUAUGCAGCAUUAUCUGAGACCAAAAAAGCUGAAAUUGCAGCUAAAAAACGCGAAACACGCCUUAAAUCUAAAUUAGCUGCUUUAUCGUCACCUUCAAACCUCAUUGAGGACAUGGAAUUGAACGCGAUCAUUGCUGAGUCUAUAGUCCAGUCGAACGCAUUUAUUCUGGAUACUACUGCUUCUGUUUUAGAAACUCAUCAAAACGUUGACCAAGGUGCUGCUUUGCAUGCCAUUUGUGCAUUUUCUUGCUUAUAUAUAUAUAUAUAUAUAUAUAUAUAUAUAUAUAUAUAUAUAUAUAUAUAUAUAUCAUGAAUACAAUUUUAGUCUUAUUUAAAUGCCUUCUUGUAUCAGCUUCUUCAUCUGUUUUAAAUGUCCUAUCGAAUAGCAAAGCCUUGCCUAAUACUGAAUCAGGUAAUGUCCUAUAUCUUAUAUACCAUAAUAUGAAUAUAUAUAUAUAUAUAUAUGUAUAUAUAAAAUAGUUAUUUUCUUUUUACGAUUAAUUAUCUAUAUCUAUAAAUCUUUUCUAUAAGUCUCGAUAUUUUGUUUUCAUAUUUGCAGACUAUAUAGCUAAUAUGAGGCCGCCAACUAAAAUGCAUGAUGUGCUAAACAUGGAAUCAAGAAUUGUUGGUAGUAUUUCUAAAAGGAUGACAUUCAAUCAUUAUACAGUUUUUUGUGAUUAAACAGUCCUAUAUAUUACUUAUCCUUAUAAUGUCUUUUUCCUUCCUCUACAUUUCAUUUAAAAUUUGCAUAAUCUAUAGCUUAUACCGCACCAACAACUACAGCAGAAACUUUCUCACAUACCAUCUCACUUCCUAUUGGUAUUAGUCCUUCUGCAAUGCUACUCAUCUAUUAUGUACCUGUUUAGAAUUUUUUUUUAAUUAAUUAUAUCUUCUUUUAACAUCAAUAGGUCAUCGUCGUAGGCAACAAAAUAAAUCCCACAUAAUAGACCAAAUACCUACUGAACCAAAUAUUUUAUCCAAAGUUAAUGAUUGUGUAUACUGCGGUGCAAAGCGUUCUAUUUAGAACCCCUUAGAUUUGGUUGUUGUGCUAAUGAAGUUCAAUCGGCAGCUACUGAAAUGCCUUCAGAAUUAGUCAAAUUAUACAGAAGUAAUAAUGAAGAGGCAUGUGAAUUUCGUCAAUGUGUUAGAAGUUAUAACAACAUGUUUGCAUUUACAUCUCUUGGAGUGCAUUACGACAAAGAACUCAGCAGAAGAAAUAGAGAAAUUUAUACAUUCAGAGUUCAAGGUCAGAUGUACCAUUUUAUGAAUCCAUUGAGUCCUUCACAUGGCCAGCCUCCUUCGAAUGUUCAACUAUAUUUCUUUGAUACAGAUCAUGAAACAAGCAACCGUAUGGCCAUUUCUCCUAAAUUUAAGAAGACUAUUAUAGAGCAGAUUCAGAGAAUACUAGAUUGCAAUCCAUAUUCUGCAUUAUUUCGCCGCUUAGCAGAUGUUCCGAAUGUCGAUGAGUAUAAAAUAUUUUUAAGGUCAGAUCCAGCUGUGGAUCAAAGAGUAUUCAAUGCACCUACAGUAUUGCAGGUAGCUGUAGUUUGGUUUGAGAAUGAUAAUAAUAUUGGAGACACAUCUCGUCAUAUAUAAGUUUAUCCAAAGUCAGGCAAUGUGCAAAUUAUGAAGCACUAUUUUGGCUGUUUUGAUACUUUGCAAUAUCCGCUUAUAUUUGCAAAUGGAGAGACAAGAUGGCAUGAAGGAAUACAGAGAUUUAUAAAAGGUGUUGAUGACGUUGCUGGUCAUGCCACAAGUAUUGGUGAAAAUAUGAGUUUUCAUACUUGUGAAAAUGCAUACCAACUUUUUAUGGCAGAGGAUAAAGGUUAAUUCUUAUACAAUUCUUUUAAUUUGUAUUUGCAAAUUUUAUUCUAUAUUUUAUACUUCAAUAUGCAAAUAUUGAGAUUUUACUGCUUCAUUUUUCUGUGCAGCAUUAAAACAAAAGAAGACCAAAAAGCAAACAAUAGUUUCUUGCCAAGAGUAUUAUGCGUAUAAAUUCCAGAUGCGACAAUCUGACAGAUCUUUUUUGCUUGAUGUCGCAAGAUUAUUUCAGCCAUUUGUAGUGGAUACAUAUGUUAAGAUAGAAUCAGCUUGUUUGGAUUUUCAUCGAAACAAACAGCGAUACAUUCGAACAGAAUUAUACCAAGGAAUCCUAGACAGUAUCGCAGUUGGUGAGACAUCAGCCUCAAAUAUAGGAAAAUGAAUUGUAUUGCCGGCAUCAUUCAUCGGAGGUCCUAGACAACGCCUUUUUACCCAAAAAAAUGCUUUCCUUAAAUCCCUUGCAGCUGUGUAAAAAUAUCUACUUAUUUGUCCAGAGUUAACUGGUGAAAAAUAAGAGAACACAGAAUUUUGAUACAAGCAAAAUCACCAGAAGUAUGACAUAAGCAACAUAUUUCUUCCCAUUUUUUCUGUUCCUCAUAAACAAACGAAACUAUCUUAAUAACUAAAUAGCUUCCCCGGAAGAAAAUCACCUGAAAUAAAGUAACCAGCUUAACUCAGCACAAAAUCAGCUGAUAUUAUUUGGACAGCAAGCACAGAUAUGCAACCCCAAGUUCAAAGAAUAUAUAUUCAAAUACAAACUACAAAUAACAGUUUUCCUUUUAGACUAAUAAAGGUAAAAGAGACUACAUAUCUCGAAACUCCUAUAUUGUUCCAUGAAGAUUGCAAGUUACAGAGAACACACCAUAUCUUUAAAGACCUGUUUAAAUUGAUCCCCUACCCUCUUUUCAGAUAUAAUUGCCAAAAGCACCUGAAAGACCACUAGGCUAUAACAAAAGAACCGCAGUGUAAAAGGGCAAUUGAGAUAUGACAACAUCAGGCAUCCAAUUCAAGCUAAAUUUUCAGUAAAAUAUCAAAUUCCAUUUGUUCUGUAAUACAAACUGAAGAAAACAAAGGUUCACCAUCGAGUACACAAUACUGUCACACAAUUAGUCAACUUCAAGGGCGCAAUAUAUCAGCAACUGUCAUAAAAUCCUAAAGAAUCGAUCGAUACAUCAUUUUCACCGCUCGAUAGAUGAUUUGAUAAGCCACAUGGAUGGGCAAUCACUACAAGGCAUCUAAAUAAUUUCACAUAUUCUUUUUCAUUUUACCCUUUUACUAAAUAAUUCCACAUAUUCAAGUAGAAGAUAAUCCAUGAGGAAAAGCAAACUACCAAAAGGCAUUGGUUUCUGAUAUUUCCAGCAUCUACCAGCAUGGAAGGGUAUAUUUUUAAGGAAGAUUGUUUGGAGGGGAAGACAGAAAACAAUGUGAAAGUAGCUUCAUUCUUCUAAGGAGCAAGUAUUGAAUAUCAUAGUUUUCACAUGUUAUAGACAACUGAAAAAGUUCAAUCACCAAUAACUACACUCUUCAACAGUAAGCAUACAACAUAAACAUGAGAUCAACAUUAACAACUCUCCUAAUGCUUGUUUAAACUAUUUGGCAGGAUAAGGCCACCACUGUUUAGUGUCAUCUGUCCUCAAGUAUCAAUGCACAAAAUCUUAUUGCUAUUACAUUGUCCUAUCAACUAAAACUAGCUACAAAUAAAUGAUGCUUACAAAAUGCCUCUGUAAAAAAGAACCGGUAGAUGGAUUCCAGGGUUGCAAUGCUACAUCAUGCAGUUAGAUACAAAAAAGAAUGAAUCUACCCUUAGAAAUCAGGUACCAGCAUCCAUAAACUGUUCUAGCUGUUGUUGUAGGCGAAAACUGGAAGAACGGGAUUUAACUUCCUUCCUUUUUGUUCCCAAUAUAUUAUCAUGAUCUGUAUUCUCAAUCUUCAUCCACGAAUGUAAUUGUUCAAUAAAAAUGCAUAACUCAUUAGAUAACGGAUCAUGUUUAUCUCCUGCAACAAACCUGUAUGCCCUAUUGUUCACAUGAAGCAAACUGUACCCAGCGAGUACCUUGGCCCCACUUUUCUUGCCCAACAAUCUCAUAUUGGCAGCAUCAUACCAUAAACCACCAGACGCAUACAUGUUAGAUGCCAGCAAAUAUCCAUCACUACUAGAUGGCUCCAAUUCAAGAAUAUGAGCUAAAGCACCAGCCCCAACCUCCCUAUUACCAGAGUUCCUACAACCGCUCAAGAUUGCACUCCAUGCACUAGCGCUAGGCUUUACUGUACAAGGUAUUUUGUUGAUAAAAUCCAUUGCACUAUCAAACUUUCCAGAUCGAGCCAACAAGUCCACAAGACACGAAUAAUGUUCCACCCCAAUUUCAACACCAUAUUCUUGUAUCACAUUCUCAAAGACAGACAAGCCCUCAUCAACCAAUCCCCCAUGGCUACAUGCAGAUAACAGAGAAAGGCUUGUUACUAAGUUGGGCUUGAGACCCUGAGAUUCCAUUUUGGCAUGUAAAGCUAAAGCAUCACGAGGAAGGCCAUUCAUACCAUAUGCUGCAAUCAUAGCACCCCAUGACACAAUGUUUUUUUGGGGCAUGUAUUCAAAAGCUUUUCUUGAAGCCUGUAUCGCCCCACAUUUGGAAUACAUAUCCAAAACAGCAGUUCCAACUGCAACCUCAAAAGCUAAGCCAUGUCGAAUAGCAAUACCAUGAGCAGACUUUGAUAUGUUCAGAUCUGCAAAAAGAGAGCAGGCUUCAAUAAGAUUCAACAUGGUAACUGUGUUAAGAUUUUCUUCAAUCAGCUUCAUCUCUCGGAAAAGAGCAAUUGCUUCACCAGGCAUGUCCCAGUAAGUGAAUGCUGCAAUCAUUGUGCUCCAAGUGACCGCAUCUCGGUGCUUCAUCUGACUAAACUGCUUCCAUGCAAGACUAAUGCAAUUGCAUUUUGCAUAUGUAUCAAUUAAAGAAUUUUUGACCAACUCAUUUGAUUCAUAACCUUGUCUAAGUACUUUGGAAUGAAUCAACUUGCAUUGAUAUGGUAACAUAAGAUAUUUGCAUACUUGAAGCAGAUUGACAAGGGUUACUUCAUCAGCUUCAACUCCUGCCCUUCUCAUUGAAUCAAAUAACAACAGGGCUUCAGAAUGCUUCUCACUUUGAACAUAUCCAGAUAGUAGAGCAUUCCAUGAUACCACAUUCUUUUGACUCAUCUCGCUGAAGGCUUUAAAAGCAGAUUCAACAUCAUCACACUUGGAAUAGAAAUCAACCAACGAGUUACCUACAAACACAUCACAUUUCAGGCCUCUCGAAAUCGCAAAGCCAUGGACCAAAUUUCCCAUUUCAAUGUUCUGUAAAUUGGUGCAUGCUUUGAGUAUAGUUACAGUUAUAGGCCCAUCCACUUCAAUGUGAAACUCAGAUACCAUUUGCCGGAAGAACUCUAAAGCAACUCUGGCUUCACCAUUUUGCACAUACCAGCCAAUUAUUACGCUCCAAGAGAUUACAUCUCUAUGAUGCAUUUCAUUGAAGAGCUUCCGAGCAAGCUCCAUCCUGAUGUCUGCAUACAUACAUAAAAGGGAGUUCUGAACUGAAGAGAUGGCCCAAAACCCGCUACGAACAAUAUACCCAUGAAGUAUUUGCCCAUCAUCAAAUAACUGGCGUUCACGACAUGCACAAAUCACAAGCACCAAAGUGGAUAUGUUAGGUUUGAAUCCUGUAAUUUUGGCCUGGAAAAACAAGCCUAACCCCUGCUCAAAAGCACAUUGAUCAAGGUGUCCAUGAAUGAUUAUGUUCCAAGAAACUGAAUCUCUGUUCCUCAUGCAAUCAAAAACAUCAUUUGCACAACCCAGGGUUCCAGAUUUCACGUAAAAAUCAAUAAUAGAAUUGCCCAAGGAAGUGAAUGAAUCAAGUCCCUGUUUAAGCAAAGAUGCAUGAAAGGACUUGCCAUAAUCAAAAGAUAUCGCAGAACAUGCUUUGAGAAUGGGAGGGAAGACAGAAGGAUCAGUCAAUUGAACUCCUGCCUCCCUCAAUUCACGGUGACAGGAAAGAACCUCUUGCCAUCUCCCAGUAGCUGCUAAGUUCUUGAUCUUUGAAAAACAGCUGGGGAGUCUUGAAACUGAUGAAAUGCGCACAGCCAUGAAUCACUUGCAUUAUAAGGGCUGCAGGCUCAAUAGCUAAAAGAUUCAAUAGUUAGGUAACUCUACUCCUUCCAGCCAAUAGCAAAACAUCACAAAUCUAUGGUAGCAUUGGACCUCAUAAGUCCUCGCUUUCCACAAUGAAGCAACCGAUAUGUGCAUUCUUGGUGACCUCCUGAAACGCAAUCUGGCAUCCUUUAUUUGCAAAUGUUACAGCUUCCAGAAAUGGCUACACUAAAUCCAGAUUCAGAAAAAAAAAAAAAAAAAAAGUUAACAGCAUAUAACAAGAAGGGCCCUACAAGUUGUCAACAUCUUAAAAAGCCCAGCAGAUAUAAAAAAAAUUCAUAAAUUGCUUGUAAAAUACAUGAAACUAAGAAGAAAUCCAUUAAGGUAAACAAAAAUCAUAAAAAUUCCAAACGAGAUCACAAAACAAUUUCCUUUCUGUUUUUGAUAUUUCCUUCCGGUUUUGUGCACAUUUCCUACAAAUCAAGCCCACUAAUGGCAUGACCUUUGAAUAUUUAUCCAAAUUCAGGUAAAUACAGAACUAAUCACAUUGGAAAAAACAACCCCCUUAAUCUAAAGAACAAUUUCUGUAGUAUAUCACUUCCUAAAUUCCACUACCAAUAUACAAUACCAAAAAAAAAUCCAAUGAAACAAAAUACAAAAAAAAUAAAGAAUAAACCCAAUGAGAAUUUUGGCAUAAACAAUUACAAAGAGAACCCAGUUUCAUACUACUCUGCUUCUGUUACCAGAGAGAAAGAAAAAAACCCAAUAGAGAUAGUUAUCCAGCAGCUAUCAUUCAUUUCAGUUCUCUACUUUACAAGAAAAAAGAGUUGUUUUUCUCGGACCAAACAAACAAACCAUGUGAACUUGAGAAGGAAACAAAGAAAACAAUGAAAUUUUACUAGAGGGGUUUUACCGGCGACGGAGGCCUCUUCCUGGGAAAUGGUCGUAACUCAGAAGAAAGAGCGCCGGCAGUGGCUGUUAUAAGAAGCGGCCAGUAACGCCGCUUUGAAAUUACGAUGACUACUAUUUUUUUUUUUUUUUGGUGACGGUACUGUGGUUGAAGGUUUCCUAUUAAAAUAGGCUUUCUGGAUAAGAAAUUCAUGUGGAAAAUUUGAAGCACUUGGUGAUAUUGGGGAAUUUCUUUUCUUUUCAAAUACUCAAAAUCAAGUUUUUUUACUAUGAAGUGGUCUGUCAAUUUUGAUAAAAUAAGUUGUGUUUAUGAUUAGUAAGUACUAGGUAAUCUGGCUAAUUCCUUAUAUAAGAUUAUGGAUGAAAAGAGAAAUCAUAAAUGUUGUCUGAUAAAUAGUUUCCUUCACAUAUGACGUGAGAUUUUUUUUUUUUUAAACGUUGCCCGCCGGAUUAACAACAACAAAUGUGUUUAGAUUAUAGAUCAUUUGGAAUUUUUUUGUUUUUUGAAAAAAUCUUAUAACAAUUUUUUUAUAUAAUAUAUGUGAAAUAAAAAAAGUAGUUCAAAAAUAUAUUUAUAAUGCAAGUAAAUAAAAUUGUGCAAAUAUCCCUACUCAACAAAAAUAAUCAAGCUGAAUGCAAGCAUAAAGAAACGUAAAUCAAUCAACAACACGUAACCAUUCAAUUGCUGCUGGCCAUAUUUACAAGAACUCACAUUAUAAGGGAAGGAAUGUAAUAACAGGUUCUAAGUUAUGCCAAUGAAACAUUACAACAGCUUACAAAUAUGCUCUCUCCUAUCCUAUGAAUAUGCCUGACUAAUACAAGACAUAAAUGGAAUCUGAUCCAGUUCAAAGAGGAAAAAAAUGCAGAGACGACCCCAACUGGUGGAACUUAGGAAAGUCAACCCCUUCUGUUUAACCGAAUAGGGAUGAAAGUAUACCACGAAAUGGGUAAUAGCUGCAAGAAGCUCUUCCCAAGGCUAGAUUAAAAUUAACCAUGCCAAUGCAAGGCAAAAAUGCCAGCACCACAGUAGCAAUAAUAGCCGGAGAUUCCCAAAUUUAGCCACAAACACUUCUAUGGGUGCCAAAGCUGCUGCACAACUACUGCGUUCUGCCAAAAUACCCCCAAUUGGUUUCAAUGGAAGAACUACUGGGAAUUCUGCUUUAUGUCUACUGUCCAAACAUUACACAGAUUUCGCUGUAUUUCUGCGCUGGCUUUCUAUUGCAAAUGUUUCCCCAAACGAUCUAGCUUAGUGCACCAUCAGUUGGAUACUCUCUUCCUUUCUCUUUGCUUAUUUUCAGAGCAGUAGAAUAAAAUCACAUAUCGUGUCAUUUGCUUUGUUCAUCCUCAUAUCCAGAUGUCUUCCCUGCUCUACCGAUUAAAAACAGCUCUGGAAAAGAGUCACUGCUAUGGAUUUCAAGACCUUGAUAUGAUCGAGCUGCAAAAAACUCAGCUCCAGAUUUAGCAUCUCUUCUUGACAACAGCUCAGAGUCCUUGUUUUGGAGCAGCAAAGCCUUCUCUGUGACAUUUACCAGGGAGAGAACUGCAUCCUUUUCCUCCUUCCCCUCUGAUAGGACCAAAAAUUCAAAGGGACCAUUAAAUGAGCACAGCCAAGAAAGAAGCGAGACAUUUCAAAUUAACAGUCACCAGAAUAAAGCUACAUUUGUCCAUUGACUGAUCAAAUGAGGAAAAAAAAAUCUGGUUUCCAGAAUAAACAUAUCAGCUCAACUUUAUAGGAACGACUUAUCAUAUUAUGAACCAUUACAUGACUUUAAGUUAUGAACAGUCACACAAAGAGGGCUAAUAGACUAAUUCGAUCCAAAUCGUAUACUUUAGAAAAUAACCCAUCAUGAAUGAUGAGAUUUAAAAAACAAUGCUGAACAGGAAACAAAAAAGCAAACAUGACGACAAAGAGAAUUAUAUAUGUUUGUGUGUGUACACAUAUAUAUACACACAGAACAUCGCAAGCACAUUGAUGAUUACUCAAGUACAUCAUCAAUAACUAUCAACACACAAGCAUGGAAAUAGAAGCAUAGCCUUAAAGACUUUAGGUAGUUCACCAAUUGGCUUAUGUGACCCAUAUGAUAACACAAGCCUUAAUUCUGUGUCAUCUCCCAUCAAGCAUCCAUGCAUAACACAAGUACCUUGUUUUUAUUGUUAAUUAAACGAGCCUCAAAAGAUGUCUUGAACAUCACCCUAGAAUGGAAAUAAAACCGGGUUCAUCGGCGCAAUAUUAUAUCAUGGAACUAUGCAAGAAAGAGAGACUCCGAUUCUCUAAAUUGGAAUUGCAAUGAAAGUAAAUCAAAUUCUCAUUUGGUUGUCUAGCUUCACAAGAGGGCUAAUUCCUCUCAUUGGUGCCAGUAGAAUAUUCAGUGAGUUCAGAGCUAAUGAAGUUGCGUAAAUUCUAUAUAAUGGUGCACAUAAGGUCAGCUGAACAAGAAAUUGCCUCACUUGUCAUUGUUAAGUAUGAAUUUGGAAGAACUCUAUAGCCUAAAACAAAUACCUGGUUCCAAUGUUUUUAAAGGAGUUUUUUUUGAGACCUCAAGAUAACAGAAGAUACCUUGCAAUUUAAAAUCUUCAACAUAUCCACCCUGAAAGAAAGAAAAACGUGAUCCUGCCUCAUCUUCUACUUCUGCAGGCUGGGAAGCAACCACAUCCUGAAAUUCCAUUGAGUAAGCUCCGGUCCACUGACUGCCCCUGCAAUAGUGGUUUAACAAGAGUUGAUCAUCUAGUAUUUACAACAAGUUCAAAGGAUAAUAUUAUCAUUAUCAAUUCCCAAGCCCGUCGAAUUGGUAGAGUCUAGGCUGGAAUAAUCACCAAAUCCAAUACCAAAAAGGGAUUUUAUUUACUUACAGCAAGACUAUUUAGAGUGUAAAGGAGGACUUCCAGACCUCAGCCGAAUGAUCUAUUACUAUCUCCUGCCCUGAGGUCUGGAUAAAUUUACUUUAUUCAAAACUUAAAUAAACUUCGAAUCAUAUAGCAGCGUAUCAAAACCAUGACGACUGAAUGUGAAUCAACAUAUAAUCUUAACAAUGUCUGCAGACAAAUGAGGACAGAAUUAAGAUGAGACGAUACAAUAUUCACAGUUCAGACACUGAAUAAUCUAAACUUGAGAAGAGGAAAAAAAAAAAAGACAAAGUGGAUGGCAAGAGACAAGGACUAAAAUAGAAACACAAGGGAACUCUAGCUUGCAAAGAGGUUAUAGAUCAACCAGGUUAUAGAUCAACCAAUCAAGGAUCUGAAAAAUACAACCACAUUUCAGCAACAGGUUUACGUGUAUUCCUCUUACAAAGUACUACUAGUUAUUUUUCAGGUUUUCUGCUCCUAUGACAAAGCUAAUUCAAUUCAAUAUUGCCUUUCAGCAUAUAUUGUAACAGAGAAAUGACUUGAUGAUCUUAUAGCCCCAAACUCAAUAUCUGAAAACAGAUAAUUGCAAAGCUCAACAAUAUCCAUGACAAUAACAUUAGAAACUUGAAGAUUCAUGAAUAAUGUGGGUAAUAAAAGCAGCAUUAGAACCAAAACUAGGCUGAUGAAAUGUAGCAAGGUAAGCAUGGAUAACAAAAGCAGCAUCAGAACCAUAAAAUCUUCAAUGCAUGUGAACCAAACACAUCUGAACUUCUAAGUAGGUCUAAGGGAGUCCAAUUGCUUCUAAGUAAAAGCAAGGCACUUUUUGAAAAGCUCCAAGUUUGAGCUUCAGGUAGAGUUACCAUUAGCCAAAAAUCUUUUUAAUAUAAACACUUUUAUCAGGACAUUACCAGGUACUUUAUCACUACAAAAAGAACUUUACCAAAUCUUUUACACAACAUGGACACUUUGUGCAACCAGAAAUCAAUGUAAAACUUAAAGCUAGUUCAAAAUUUUCCUAAUAACUAAUUUCCGAACCUCAGACGAGGUUAGACACUGUAAUUAUUAUGAUAGAGGAGUAAUAUCACACAUAGUUUUCGAAAAAUGACUCCCCUUCAUUUAUUUAGCUACCUUGCAUACCUCUUGGACAUCAAAUUGCAUAGUACUACUGUGACAGCCCCACCUCACCCUAAGGCGAACCAAAGGGUUCGGCGAACCGCCUGCCCAACUCUCGCCAGGACUCAGUCAUUCACUACAGUCCUCAAAUAAAUUAUAAGAUAAAUCUCAAAUAUACAUCAAAUGUGUCACAAUUUAGAUCUUAGGCCGGGUUCAUCAUUCUUAGUGAUCCCUAACACAUCAUAUAAAGUUCCGUAGAAUCAGAUUUCUAAUGCGCCCAAAUCAUUUCUAUCCUAGGCUUUCAUCCAUUUUCGUACUCGGGCGCAAGAAUCCAAAAUAAGAUAAUUCACCACUCGAGCUGGCCAGUUCCAAAAGUAAAUCAUCUACAUUUGUAAUUCCUACCUGACAUACGUAUCUAUGGUUCUCAGAUACCAUGAGGAAGAUUUAAGGCCUAUACAUUUAUGGUUCAUAGCUUACGCUCAAGCGAGCACUUAGUCCUUCAAACUUAUUCACCACUUGGCCCAAGCUCACUCCGCGCAGAGGCCACGCGAAGCAGGCUCUGAUACCAACUUGAAAGAAUCGCGUAGCUCUAAAAUUUUGGGCAGCAUACCCUCUGUAUUUACCUAUUUUCCAGCCAUUUAUGGCUUCAUUGUUUUCCUCAAUCAAUCCCAAAACCACACACAAAAUAAUCUCAUUUCAAUAGCCAUUCAAUAAGCUCCAAGUGGUACAAGUACAAAUUCAAGCUAGGACAAUGUCCGGAAAUAAAGUUGAUGCCCUAAAACCAAAAGACAGUUUUGACGUCAUUUAGCGAAACGGACACAACUGGAGCUACACUUAUCGGAUUGAGGUGCAAUUUAAACCGUUUCGAAACUAAGACAAAGGGCUACAACUUUGAUGAAGAUCACUUAGUCCAGUUAGUCCAGUUUGCAAUGUAUCUAGGUCAAAUUUACCAAAACAAUUUCAAAUUUUCCAGUUCGAAGUUUAUUAUGAAAUGCAACCAACAGUCCUGAUUCAUUCAAUCAUAUCUCAGUACAUACAACUCCAAUUCAAGUGAUUCCAAAGCCAUCUGAAAGCUAAGAUACCAGGCUAUAAAUGUUAAGAAGACAUCGACAACCAAAUCAGUAGUAUUCCCAGUCAAACUAACCAAUUACCAAAGCUGAUUAUCAGUUUCGGACAGAAACAGGACAGCAGGGGUAUUUCAGUCUUUUCACAGGCUACGUUGCUCCGAUUGGGCUGAAAUUUUGCAGGCAACUAUAAAACAUCAUUCUCUACAACUUUCAUGUUUUAACCUAAUACUAAUUCGGCUUCUAACUAGGCCCAACAGUACUGGGCAGAACAGGAAAAAAUUGAAACCCUAAUCUGGAAUUUUCCGCACAAAGUGAAAAUUUUCCGCAAUUCGCUACAAUUUACGCACUAUAGAUUCAUUCUAGACUAUCCUAAGCCAUCGUCCAUGGCCACACACCAUCAAACAUAUAAAAACAGAAAAAAUCAAGAUUAAAUAUAAAAUUCACCAAACUCAACUAAAAGUCAUGAAAUAUCACCUAAAUCCAUCUCUUUAACUCAUACAAACCACAAAUUUAGCAUUAUCAAGAACAAAAGAGAGGUUCCUUAGCUACUCACCUUGUAACUCAAGAGAAGAAGCAACUAAGCACCUUGGUCUUCCAAACCACUUCACAACCAACCUUAAUACCACUAAACUAAGAGGUUUUAUGGUGGAAAUCCAAGUUUAAUCGGUUAGAUUUGAAGAUUGAACAAGAUUGGAUGUAAGAAAGUUGGGAGUUUUCUCUUCUUUUCUCUUGAGGUUGGCCGGCCAAGAAGCUUCAAAAUAAGGAUAAUUUUGGGUCAAUUUUUGGUUAAAUUGGUAAAGUAAGAAAUUGGUCAAAAUCCAAAGGUUAACCACUAAGUGACACUUGUCACUUUCAUUAAUGCAUGGCUAUCACACCAAUUUGUCCCUCUCACACCAAUUCAUCUAGUAACCUCUAGUUAUCUCUUAACACCUACUAAAUUAAUCCCGGUAUACAAAACGUAACCCAAUCGGCCAAAUUUCAUCGAAUUUACUGCACUAGUGGGUCCCACAUUCGAUAUACAUUCUUAAAACCUCAUGAACUAAUUUAUACUAGAAAAAUUAUUUUAAAAACCCUAUUUGCUCAUACCAAUUAUCUGAAAAAAUUUUCUAAUAAAGAAAAGGUAUAAAAGGCGUGCAAUUAAAUAAAAUAAAGCCUAGAAAAUUGAAAAAUUUACGGGUUCUCACACUCUCUCCUCCUUAAAAGAAUUUCGUCCUCGAAAUUUCUUAUCAUCGCCUUCUUUGGAAUACAAAAUUUUACUGCUUCCUUCUCACGGUUAAAUUGAGCAUCAUACUUAGCUAACCAACCUGUUUCCCCUUCACUGGCCAGAUCAUUGAAUUCUUUGGUAUAAUUUCUUCUUCCUUCCCAAAGUGUAAUUCUUAUACACCAUUCUAGUGGUCAAACGGUGGAAUACCAGAAUCUUACCUUCCACGUCUUCAAACGAAUCAGGGACUUGAUGUUGCUCUAGGGCAUAUGUCCGAGCCGACACCUUUGGUCCAUUCUUCUCCCCCUUCGACUGGUCAGGGUUGGUCGUGGUUGGUUGUUGGUUCCUACUCCCUUCUCGAGAUCGGCCUGGGCAGUUUGCGAUUUGAUGAUCUGCGCUCCCACAACGCAGACAUUUUCUUCCUUUCUUCCAACAGACCUCUUCUGUGUGAUUCGGCUUCCCACAGUACCCGCAGGGACCAUGAGAAGCGGAGACCGAGCCUCUUCGUGAGGCACCACUUGACAUCCCUAGUAGUUGUACUCUCCCGUUGCCCCUUCCAAUCUUAGGAAACGUACCCUUAUCCCCUUGCUCUGAACUACUUCCAGGAAAUCCCCUUUUCUUGGUUUGGAAGUUCUUGACUUGUAACCUCGCAUUUUCAACUCGUUGAACUUUUUCCACAGCAUCACUAAAGGUACUGAGUUGGGCUACAGCCAGGUCUUUCUGAAUCUCAAUAUUUAAUCCCUGGACAAAACGUCUUAUCCUCCUUUGCUCAGUCAUAAUUAGUUCGGGAGCGAAUUUAGACAACCUGGUGAACUGGCUCUCAUAUUCGGCGACAGUUUGAGUUCCCUGCCGAAACCUAAUGAAUUCAUCUUCUUUCUUUUCCUGGAUCAGAGGUGGAAAAUACUUCGUGUUGAACUCUCUCAUGAAAUUCACCCAUGUCCUUGGGGUUUGUUCUCUUUCCCAUUUCAGUCUUAUGAUAUUCCACCAAGAUCGGGCCGCUUCCUCCAGUUAGAAGACGGCAAGUCACAUGUCGCUCCUCAGUGUAGUGUAACGCGGCAAAGAUAUCAAUCAUCUUUUCUAGCCACCCCUCGGCCACGUCAGGGUCUCGUCCUCCAAGGAAUUUCGGUGGCGAGAACUUUUGAAAUCGUUCAAGAGAUUUAUCCUCACCCUCGAUAUGAUUACCAGGAUUUUCCGGCUGAGUAAUAGAAUUUUGGCCUUGCUGUUCCCCUACGUGAGCCAAAAGGUCGGUCAUACGUUGGAUAGCGGUAACUACCUAAAUGUUAGGGUCCAGUCCAGGUUCAAGGUUGGGUUCAGGCAUUGGUUCCCGAUUUUCCCCUUCAUCCAAGGGUUGCCUACGUCCACGGUCCCGGCCUCGUCCACUACGUGUUCCUUCCAUUGGAUUAACUAAUCUAGACUCGAGGCGCGAAUACAAGAUACAAACUAGCGAGAUCAGUAAGUCAGAUAUAUAUAAUACGUCCGAAUCAAUUCAAAAGCAAAUAUGUAUAUAACUCGACUAUAUCAAACAAUUCACACAGUAACAGUCAGUCAGAUACAAGCAAAAAAAAUCCUAUGGAAGUGAGGGGGGGUCAUUAGCAACUAACGAAAAGCUUCCUCUUUCGUACUAGUAGUUAAUCUGAAAAGGCAUACGACAUGUAGUCGAGCCUUAUUUAUACAUUCCAUUUACUGGAUUUAUAACUGUGGGAUCCAUAAUUGCUUACUCUGGUUAUUCUAGGGUUUCUUGGUGAUUAGAGCCCUACUUUGAUUGAAACUUUUGACGUAUCCUUGUUUCACUGGUGAGUGCACUACUCCCCUGAAUCAAUGCUAAAUUGGUUUUCUGUAUUUGCAAUUUGCUAUUUGAAUGUCUUUCCUGACUGUUUAUCCUGUAUAAGACGAGGAUGUACUUUAUCACACUCGUUCUCUUGCCUGUACUGAACGAACUGGAAUAUAUUACUUGUACUUGUUAUGUACUUGAAUUUGUUACUUGCACUUGUUAUGAUGUCGUUCGAAAGUGUAUCCAACGACCUUCCUGUUAAACCUGAGCUCAAAUUCAUGGGGAGUUAAUUGAAUUGAGCCAGCAAGGGCUUGGUCGUGAAAAUUUACAAUCCAUGGAUACCUGCUCCUGGGGAAUCUAUGGGUAUUGGAAACUCUGAAUUUCCAGUAUACUCGAGUAUUACCAUUCCUGUUCCUGUUUGGCGUUCGGGUCCGGUAAGGGGUAUGUUUGGUGAAUGGGGUUUUGGCGUUAAAACAGUAUUCUACUGGAUUGGUUCCUGUAUUUGAACGUUGACGGAGGGUCAACGAGGCUGGAUCAAGUAUAGCAACGGGGAUUUGGCUCCUGAGAGCCACCUGUAUCCUUUACAUUGUGAUGUUCAUUCUUUUCUCGUAUUUGAUGUGAAUGUAUGCCUCCAAAGUGCUUCCUCAUGAAUUCUACUAUUUAUACUGUUGGUACCUCAUUGACCUUUUAGUUCACCCCAUUCCAUUAUUCUUGUUUUCCUUAAUGGUAAGAGAUAACUAGAGGUUACUAGAUGAAUUGGUGUGGGAGGGACAAAAGGAUAGCCAUGCAAUAAUGAAAAUGACAAGUGUCACUUAGUGGUUAACCUUUGGACUUUGACCAAUUUCUUACUUUACCAAUUUAAGCAAAAAUUGACCCAAAAUUAUCCUUAUUUUGAAGCUUCUUGGCCGGCCAACCUCAAGAGAAAAGAAGAGAAAACUCCCAACUUUCUUACCUCCAAUCUUGUUCAAUCUUCAAAUCUAACCGAUUAAACUUGGAUUUCUACCAUAAAACCUCUUAGUUUAGUGGUAUUAAGGUUGGUUGUGAAGUGGUUUGGAAGACCAAGGUGUUUAGUUGCUUCUUCUCUUGAGUUACAAGGUGAGUAGCUAAGGAACCUCUCUUUUGUUCUUGAUAAUGUUAAAUUUGUGGCUUGUAUGAGUUAAAGAGAUGGAUUUAGGUGGUAUUUCAUGACUUUUAGUUGAGUUUGGUGAAUUUUAUAUUUAAUCUUAAUUUUUUCUGUUUUUAUAUGUUUGAUGGUGCGUGGCCAUGGAUGAUAACUUGGAAUAGUCUAGAAUGAAACUAUAGUGCGUAAAUUGUAACGAAUUGCGAAAAAUUUCCACUUUGUGCGGAAAAUUCCAGAUUAGGGUUUCAAUUUUUUCCUGUUCUGCCCGGUACUGUUGGACCUAGUUAGAGACCGAAUUAGCCUUAGGUUAAAACAUGAAAGUUGUAGAGAAUAAUGUUUUAUAGUUGUCUGGAAAAUUUCAGCCCAAUCGGAGCAAUGUAGCUUGUAAAAAGACUGAAAUACCACUGCUACCAUGUUUCUGUCCGAAACUGAUAAUCAGUUUUGGUAAUUGGUUAGUUUGACUGGGAAUACUACUGAUUUGGUUGUCAAUGUCUUCUUAACAUUUAUAGUCUGGUAUCUUAACUUUCAGAUGGCUUUGAAAUCACUUGAAUUGAAGUUGUAUGUGCUGAGAUAUGAUUGAAUGAAUCAGGACUGCUGGUUGCAUUUCAUAGUAAACUUCAAACUGAAAAAUCUGGAGUUGUUUUGGUAAAGUUGACCUAGAUACAUUGCAAACUGGACUGAGUGGUCUUCAUCAAAGUUGUAGCCCUUUGUCUUAGCUUCGAAACAGUUUAAAUUGCACCUCAAUCCGAUAAGUGUAGCUCCAGUUGUGUCCGUUCCGCUAAAUGACGUCAAAACUGUCUUUUGGUUUUAGGACAUCAACUUCAUUUCCGGACAUUGUCCUCGCUUGAACUUGUACUUGUACCACUUGGAGCCUAUUGAACGGCUAUUGAAAUGAGAUUAUUUUGUGUGUGGUUUUGGAAUUGAUUGAGGAAAAUAAUGAAUCCAUAAAUGGUUGGAAAAUAAGUAAAUACAGAGGGUAUGCUGCCCAAAAUUUUAGAGCUACGCGAUUCUUUCAAGUUGGUAUCAGAGCCUGCUUCGCGUGGUCUCUGCGCGGAGUGAGUUUGGGCCAAGUGGUGAAUAAGUUUGAAGGACUAAGUGCUCGCUUGAGCGUAAGCUAUAAACCAUAAAUGUAUAGGCCUUAAAUCUUCCUCAUGGUAUCUGAGAACCAUAGAUACGUAUGUCAGGUAGGAAUUACAAAUGUAGAUGAUUUACUCUUGGGACUGGCCAACUUGAGUGGUGAAUUAUCUUAUUUUGGAUUCUUGUACCCGAGUACGAAAAGGGAUGAAAGCCUAGGGUAGAAAUGAUUUGGGCGCAUUAGAAAUCUGAUUCUACGGAACUUUAUAUGAUGUGUUAGAGAUCACUAAAAAUGAUGAACCCGGCCUAAGAUCUAAAUUGUGGCACAUUUGAUGUAUAUUUGAGAUUUAUCUUGUAAUUUAUUUGAGAACUGUAGUGAACGACUGAGUCCCGGCGAGAGUUGGGCAGGCAAUCCGUCGAACCCUUUGGUUCGCCUUAGGAUGAGGUGGGGCUGUCACAACUACUGAUUAUAACAGUAUACCACUAAAGGAAUUAAAAUGAAGCCUAUAAUCACUAUUGAUCCCUGCAUGAAUUUAUUCCAGCAAAGUUGUUGAACCUCUAACAUGCAGCACAAUUCCUAAUUGCUCAGGAAAAGAAAAUGUAAUAAAAAAAAGUAUAAAGACAAAAUCCAUUUCUGCAACCUGCAUUAUUUCCAUGAAAUGCAAAACCACCCAUUAGUGAAUAGUCAUCAAACGAAAUUGAUAAUGCCAUGCAAUUUAUAUAAGAUAUCCACUUAGAUGUGCUUUAGGUACAAUCAGGAAAUUAAAGAGCAUCCACAAAUUUCAACCACAUAAAAAACUUUACACUCAUAGUUAAAAUGGUAUUUACCUGUUGAAAGCUAUCAAAGCUUCAAAAGGAGUGAUUAUAGGAGCUAAAAACUCCUUGCUAUCCAAAAGAGCCGUUUGAGCGCAGGAUACAUAGAUGAAAACAUCACACUGCAUAUGCACCAGAGAUUUGAAAAAUUCUCAAAAGUUAAAAGUUGUAAAGAAAAUCUGUCCACAGAAACAAUGUUUACCUCAGGAAAAUUAGCUAAUUUUGCAGGAUUUGGCUUUCCCAUAAGAAAGGUAUAUGCCUUUUUCCCAGCUCUAGUCACGAGUUCUGUCAUUUGAUGAAUCAUAUCUAGAUAACCAGCUGCAUCAAUAAUUUUACCAGAAAAACUUCAGUCUGUAUCUUAAACAUGACGACAAACUAAAAAGGUCAAACAAAAUGAUGUGCAUUGGCAAUACAUUCUAUCAAGCCUGAAGACAAUAUUUAUUAUCUAACCAUAAGCUCAGCAAAUGUUCAAUAAAUUUUCAGAAGAUUUCAAUUGAUUUGCAAAUGCAUAAGACCAAAUUGGCUUUCAAUAUGAAUUAAGGAGCAACAUUUGUGGUCUUUACUCAGAGCAGAUAACACUAUUGCAUAUGAAUUAUAAUUCUACAUAUUUAGAACAAAAAAGUCUAACUACGGCAAAAGUCAGAAAAGCAUUGAUCCAUGAUGGAAGAGGGCAAGUGCAUAUUAAUAAAACUGUUGCACAAGAACUUACCAACUCCAAGAGUUCCAACCAAGAUCCCAACCAUGUUUGCAUCCUUCGCUUUUUCAACUAGAUAAUACCUAAUUAUUCAUGCAGUUGGUUGCACAUGGGACAAAAGAAUGAUUUUAAUACGUCAAUGCAUAUCACAUCUUAUAUAUAAAAGUUACUAAUUUGCUGAAAUAAAUUAGCAUCAUUAUGUGCUUGACAAGUAUAAUACCUGCGCUUAAGAAUUUUUGCCUGCUGAGAUACAUCAGUCUUCAAGCAACCUUCAAUUGCAUCAUAUCUGACUAGAAACAACAGGUGAGAAAUCAACAAACAUUAUUGCAUAGCCAAGUGAAAGAGCAUGAGAAAGCAAAAGCGGGUAGCUGAAAAGAACAAAACAAGGAAAAUCAAUUGACAAUGUCAAACCAAUUUGAAUUGGCGAGCUUCAUGCUUAUAACAAAACUAAGACAACGAGCAACACAGAAGAGAACGGCAAUGCCAAAAAUUGCACCCCUGCACUUACCUAUUUCACAACUAUUAAAUGUUAAUAUGAAGUUUGUGAAAGCCGAGUUGUCUAAACCAAUCCAGAACAGCAAAUAAUCCUCCAUCCUGUGUCCCUCAGGUAAACUCCAACCCAAACCACCUAGUCUAAAUUUUGUAUCAGCCUUCUGAGAAGAAUCUUCAUUGUUAUCCUGCUCGCCAUUCAACAUUAAAUGUCGAUUUUCCAAUUUCAUAGAUGUGGAUGGAGUUAUAACUGAAUUCGUAACAUUAGCAAAAUGUAUCUGAAAUCCUGAGUUGGAGUCAUGAAACCUCGUUGCUUCAACAUUUAGUGCCUCUUUUAUAUCCGGCAUUCCAUGAGCAUAUUCUAACCCAAAAAGAACCUGCAAUAUCAGCGAUAUUCAAGUCAGCAAUUAUGUAACUUAGACAAUAUGUGUUACAAGCCAAAAUAAAACUAUCACCUAGAGCCCUGGAGUGAGAAAAUUGCAAACAAAAAUUUGUGUAAAAAAAGGCAAAAACAACCACAUGAUAGUAUAUGCAGUACUUUCCAACUUACCAGAACAGGCUUGCCACUUUUUACGCCAUAAUUGUAUAAACUUUCAGCACAAUUAGAUGCCUUAAGAGGAGCCUUGCCGAAAACACAAAAAGCUGGAAUUGUGGUUGUCCUGCCAAAACAUAUUAUAGAAACCCAAAAAUUAGAAACAAAUGGAAGAAAAAUUUUGUUUCCCACCAAAUUUUCUACUUGCAAACUCAACAAGGCAAUUUAAAACCAGAAAACUUGAUACCAAAACAUGUUCAAACUUAUACAUGACAGUAUGUAUGCAUCAUCGUUGAUACUUGUUUCCUUGAAUCAAGUACAUAGCAGCCUCAAAGAAUUAGGAACCACUUGGGAUAUUCUGUACUUGAAAUAAAUCUAUAGGUACAUAAAUUGCAAAAAAAAAAAUGGAAAUGAGGCCUCAAGGGUUCAUCAAAAAGCAAGUUUCCAACACAUUUGCAAAUGUGAUUGCUCCAUUUUUAAGCCUGAGAGUAAUUGGGACCAACGAAAAAAAGGAGGUAAAUACUACAAGACAUAAUGUGUAACAUUUAUUGUUCAAAUGCACGUUAACAGAAAAAUUGACACAGCAAGAUACUCCCCGACUUCCAUUUCAGCACUGGUUGAGGCCUGUUUCUUCACAUUCAACAACAUAAUACAUGAGAAAGAAGCAAUAAGAGCGUUUCACCAUGGAAGCUAGGACCAAUUGACUCCCUACAACUUCAAAAAACCAAAAGAAAAAAAAAAUACAGAGAGUACACUUUUACCAAAUUCUACUAGUUCAUAUAGCAACCAACUCCAAAACCGAAAAGGCCAAAUUUCCAAAACUUUCAAAAGCAGCAAUAACAAAUAACAAUAACCCUUAAUACACUGGAUACGUUUGGACUGCAUAAUUUGUUUUGCUUAAUUUAGUGUGCAAAUUUUAAUUUGAAAUCUUUGGACACGUAAUUUUUUGCAAAUGUUUUCCACAAGGGGAUGCUAAGUUAUACCACCAAACUAACAGACAAAAGGGGCCUUGGAGUCAGGGUUCACGUGGUGCAAGGACCCACCAUGUUUUAUUCACUUCUCCCCAACACCUUUACUACCUCCGUACAUUAUGCAAAAUGUAUCCGUUGUAAGAAAGGGGUAGUGGAAAAAGAGAACAGUCCAGAGAGCAUUGAGGAUUGUAGGAGCUUCCGUUUUUGGUUCAGAGAUAAACUCCAGCCACCUCUCUGCAAUUUCUAUACCCUUUUUGCCAAGAAAAAGGUUUCAUCCAAAACGACAUCCGCUCUGUGCUUUUUUUCCCCAGUUGACGUCAAUUACAGUGCCGCGCUUGGCACCAGUCGACGCACAAAUAGAGAUCCAGAUCUGAGGUAAUUAACUUGCAAGUGCGCAGCUGAAUACCAGCUUUACUUUCCGGGUUAUCAAGGGUAAAGAGCUUGAGCUUUCUAACUGGAGCUUGUGAGAAGGAAAUUGAAAGUUGUCAUUUGAAACAAUUGAGAACCAGGUCAGGUGCGGUUCUUUUUUUUAUAUAAGUUUUUCACACAUUUCCCCAAUUUAUGAGUCAGCCCUAAUUCGAAUAGGAACGAUUGAAUCAUAAAUUUUACGCAUUCUGAAAUUGCAAUAAUGUUGCUGCCGGCGUAAUAUACUUCAGAGUUGGGCGUAAUUGCAGUGUAUAGGCACCUGUAGACACGAUAUUUGUGAGUUAGGAUGAAAUUCGCUGUUUUAUUUUAAAUCGUGUUAAGGCAUGAUUAGGACUGGCCUGAAAGUUAAUAAAUGCCUGCUGAAACUUAAUUGGACUGAUUGGUAGAGUAAUCUUGACUGUCGGAGAUCUUCUAUUUUUUUAGGUCUGUUUUGCAUCGAAAGUCCAUAAACGGAAUUUGUAUGUUGCUGAAGUAUAGCUGCUAUUUCAAAAAUAUAACCGAAUUUCUGAGGUUUAGAAAUAUGAUGAAGUAGGCAUAACUUGUUUACAUGUUGAAGUUUAAAAAUAUCUAAGUAUGCUGAAAUAGGAUUCAAACUGUUAUUUCCCUCUCCGGUGAAGUAUAAACACAUGCCUGCUCUUGUUUGAAAAAGAUGUACAAGUCUAAGUCCAUUAACUGAUAUACAUGUCUAAGUCCUCAAAACUUAUUAUAAGUCUAUGUUGUAAUGCUAUUUUAGCGUUGCUUUUUGAAGAACUGGGUAGAGAAUGAAAAAGUGAAUGCUGGCUGUUUUUACAGAUAAAGACCAUAGGCAAGUUCCCCAGACGGUCGUUCAUCUCCCUCUCCCAUCCAAUAACGAAGAUUGAGAAUAGAAGAAAACUUGGAACCAAAGCGUUUUUUAAACUACUUCAUUCAAGUGGAUUUUACUCAUGAGUUGCAUCCUAUUAACACACCCUUACGUGGAGUAAAUGUCCAACAAGCGCAGGCUAUCAUUGUCCGGUCCAACAACCCCCGCCCGUGCAUCCGAGGCUACUUCCGUCCACUCAUUCACAGCCUCAAACAACUACAUCGAGUCCUUAGUUAACUACUUCAAGGUAAGGCCAUCCUAAAAUAUAAUACACUGCCCAAAAACAAGACUUGCGCUAUGGAUUUUCAUGCUGCUGCCCUGUUUAGCCACCUUCAUACAUCCAGUUAAUUAAUAUUCUUCGGUGUAUUUGUUGAAUUUGGCUAAUCAAUUAUUGAAUGUGUGCCUAUUUACUCCAUUCAAUUUUUAUGCUAGCACCUGCUAAUCACAAAAUGUUAGAGGUACAUCUUGGGUUCAAACAAAUAAGUAUUUCUAGAAAUGAGGACAAUACUUAUUGGAGUUCUUCCACAUAUUGAGUCAGCCUUAAGUUUGCCACUGCUGCAUUGUAAUUAGAACUUAGUAGCUAAGUUUUGAGUCACAAAGAUAUAUUUAUCUAAAAUCUGUAAAUGUUUGACAGUUUCAUAUUCGUUUGCCAGUACUACAAACUGAUAUACACUUCUACUGAUAUACCACUGCAAAAGAUUAUUGGGAUGAAAACAUGGAGAUGCACUUCUGUAUGACAUAUGUCGAGUGGAAAAAAAGUGGGGAGUGGAAUCCAAACAUGUCCACCGAGGCAAACUGGAUGAAACUAACUGUCCAUCUUAAUUCCAGUUGGGGUAAGCAGUAUAUGUGGACUGUCUACCAUUCGAAGUACACGCGUUUGAAGAGGAUUUGGCGUUCAUUUGCCAAAUUAAAAGGUUUGCGACUCUCGGCCGAAACUGGAAUUGGGUGGGACGAGAAUAGGAGAUGCUUUAUGGCCGAUGAAUUUCAGUGGAGGAAUCUGCAAAUGGUAAUCUACCAUCCAAAUCAAGUUAAAAUUUUGGCAACAGAAUUUCAUGUUUACAAAUUUCAUUCCUUUGAUGCUUAAUUCGUAACUGCCGGGCUGAGUUGUGACUUGUUACCUUACUGGCAAUUGAUGAAUUAAUUUUAAGACUCGAUUAGUUCUUGGCUACUAUGGUAGAAUAUGAUGAACAAGUACUCGUGUGCUAACAAAUAGGUGUGUCUUGACUUUAUUACAUGAUUUGUAUUUGAGACUUAAAGGAUAAUUUUCAUUAUUGGACAGGAGAAUAAAGACUAUAACCAGUUCAGAUACUUCCAGUGCGUUGACAAAUAUACGAUACUAUCCGAGGUCUUUGAAGGAGAAACCGCAACUGGAAGCCAAGCAACUUCCUCCUUUGCAUCUCCAUCUUCGCGUGUGCCUCGACAAAUGCCGGCUACUCAUUUGGGAGGGCAAUCAAGUUCACAUUUUGGCGAUGAAAUGCUCACCGGUGACCCAGAUAUCACAUGCUACGAUACAGCUCCUACCGUUGGAAGAAAGAGAGGCUCGGCCAGCGUAGGGGCUACAAACUCGGGUUAUGGAUCUCGCCAGAGCAAGUCGAGCAAAAGUUCUGAUAAUCCAUUCGUUGAGUGUGCCAACUCCCUCAACAACCUAGCCUCAACGAAACUGCAAAUUAAGGAGCGCCGCGCUAAAGACUUUGAGAAAUAUGAUGUCACAAUGGCAACUCAGGUUAUCGAGUCGUUCGAAGGCCUGUCCAAAGGAAGGAGAGUCACGGCUCUUUUACAACUCCAAGAUGACAAAUGGCGUAAAACUUUUCUGACUAUGUCACGUGAUCUUCAGGAGUACUGGAUUAACAAACUACAGGUUCCCGAUGAGAGGGGGCCAGAUGAUGAGAAGGGGCCAGAUGAAGAUUAGUUGGCAGUUUAAAAAAUGAUUAGUUGGCAGUUUCAAAAAAGAUUAGUUGAUUAAUUGCUGCUUUAAUUUCCAAUGUACUUUGAAUGAAUUACUUGCGGAUUGUGGUCAAGUGGGCUGAAUUUCUAUUGUUAUAUUUGUAUUAGUGGUGCAACAUGGUGCUUGGCUAUUGUGAGUGCUACAUUUACAUCAAUUAGUGUGCCCAGGCACUUAGAAUUAUCAUUCUUGCUUUCCUCAUUUCUGCCAAAAAAUUUUGAGGACCUCAUAAUAUGCUUCUGAUGUGGUUAUCACAUUAUAAUUCCUACAAGUAUUAAUAUGCCAGCAGUUAAUAUGCUUCUGAUGUGGUUAUCACAUAUUAUAAUUCCUACAAGUAUUAAUAUCUAAACCCAGGUGGCUGCGCAAUAUCAAAACUAAGUUUGAUCAGGGUAAAACAUGAGAUCAUUCAGGAUUUGGGAUCCGUUAGCCUAAACACAACAAACUCAAUAUGGUAAAAAAAAAAUGCACGUUCACUGUAUCAUUUACUUCAAUGAAAUAUGUCAUUAAGGCAAAAUGAAAAUCAAAACUGCAUAUAAAAACCUUCAUCUCUACGUUUCUCCUCCUCAAACAUACAAAAAGAGAGGGCUUUGGUAUUAUAUAGGGUGAGCAGCUUGCUGUCCUCGCAAAAAUCCAAAUUUGGUAUUAUAUUAAGAAAUUGGUCAAGUACUCUGUCUAGGAGGUAUCAUUGGUGUUGAAAUUCCUACAAGAAAUUUUCCUACUAUUUGUGAUCUCAUAUAAGAUUUUUAUGUACGGGCUGAUAUGAAGGGACUUCACGUACCCAGAUACUUCCACAUGAGUUUUGCUUUCUCACAUGCAUUUUUGCAGACUACACAUCUUCAAGGAUGUCCUAGUUGGACAGGCGAACUGACACAGCUUCAAAUAAUUAUGGCCUCAAUUCUUACCACCGAAUGCUUUUAUAAGCAUGCACUGGCAAUAUAUACCAAUUGCGGAUGGCCAUCAAAUUCAAAAUUGAUAGAGAAUUGCUUCCCACAGCAAAUAACCUACUUUUACUUUUCCCUCAUUUUAUAUAGUACUCCCUUUUACGUGCAUAACUUCAACAUGUAUGGAGGUGCAUCCAGUUCGUCCUCAGAUGAAGACGAUAUUCUAUUUGCCGCCGGUGCGGCCCUAUUGUUCGGUCCAGAUGCAGAACCAUUCGGAGGUCCUAUCCGGAAGGUUCCAUGCAGGACAUCAGCUUUAACUGGCAGACAAUGGGUUGAAGAGGUGAUGUCAGGGCACCACACCCGAAUUAUGAACGCAACAAGAUUAACCGUUGAUUCAUUUAUGAGAUUGUGUAAUAUAUUGGCCGACUGUGGAUUUGUUCCCCAGCAUCAUCAAAAAAGGGUGACAAUAGAGAAGGCACUGGCGAUGACUUUAGUUAUGAUGAGUCAUAAUAUGCGGAUGCGCAUGAUUGCGGACCGAUUCAACCACUCGCUUGAGACAGUGCAUCGAAAUAUUCAUGAAGUUAUCAAAGGUCUAUGUACAUUUGUGCAAUUCAUCAUCACUCCAAGGCGGCAGGAUGAAAUCCAUCCAAAAAUUAUGAAUGAUCCCAGAUUUUAUCCAUGGUUUGAGGUAUAUGUGAGGCUGCAACUAAUCCUAUAACUGAUUCAUCUUGUAAACUUCUAAUUGGUUGGUUUGAGGUGGAAUAUAUCUGUGUAGCCUAAAUUACACCUGAGUCUUUGUUUGCUGACUCGUGCUAUUGUUGUUUAAAGGCAUUAGUGGCACUUUAAGUCUUUAGCUAAUUAAAAAUGCUAGACUAAUUCACUAAUUGCGUGUAUGCGUAUUACUUAUAUCUUAUAUCUAUGAGUUGACUUAUAUUAAACUUAUCCAUAUAACAUCAAGUAAAAUAAGAAAAUUGGUAUUAAUGGAAUUGUUAUAUGAACUUGUUAAAGAAAAAAAAAUCAAAGAAAGAUUAUUUUAGGAUGAAAUUAAAAAUCCAAGAAACACCUCUAUAAUUUGAAUGAUUUUCUACUAACGUACCAAUUAACAUCACAAUUAUUCUAUAUAUAUAUAUAUAUGUGAAACCUUAAUUCAUAUUUAUAUUAGUUUGUAUAGUAAUUGAUAAUAAUAGGAUUUGUAGAGCAACAUCGAAAAAAGGGUGGUAGAUCCAUUUGUAGAGCUGUAAACCCGGUCCGUGGCCAUUAUUUGCAAAACCCCUUGUUGGUUUAGAAGCGGACUGUGGAUUUUUGGAAGUCCAUUAGAGGAAAGGGAUAGUAAUGGGCUUUUGUGACAUCAUGAAAUAGGCAAAUACAAAAGCUUGCACCAAUGAAGCAAAGAUGUAUAAAAGAAACAUCGCAGGCCUCAAAAUUGAUGAAGUAUGCACCUGGUCCUGAAGUGAUUAAUGAACAAUUUCAUCAGUUGCUUUUAGUGGUGCAAUUAAUGGGGGUUUCAUUGUAGUGAUUUCAUCAUUACAAUUUUUUAAUUAAUUAAUAUACGGGGGUUUUAAUUAAACCCGAUGAUAAGGUAUAUUGAGGGUUUUAAUUUAUUGUUGCAUACAUCUGUUUAAUUAAAACCCCCACUAAUCAACAAGAUGAAAAAUUUCGCUCAUUAAGUAAUAUAUUUUAAUAAUAUUGUAAUCAUAGUUCGUCAUCUUGUUUGCUCAUUAAUUAACCUGUUUACCUAAUUUUUUUUAAGCAAAUUUAGUUUGUGGGAAAAAACUAAUAAUACACCUAAUUUUGUGGGUAAUUGCCUUAAUUCAUUAAAUUCGUCAAAAUUUCCACCUUAACUUUUUUGUUUUUUUGUAAAGGACGCAGUUGGGGCCAUUGACGGGACACAUAUACCCGCUUCUGUUCCGAGUGGACAGCAGGUGGCAUACACAAAUAGACACGGAGUGCAAUCACAAAAUGUGUUGGCUGUAUGUGAUCAUGAUAUGAGAUUCGUAUACGUGUAUGCAGGUUGGGAGGGAAGUGCCCAUGAUGCUCGUGUUUUAGAUGGGCCUCUAACGGGCCCAAAUCAUUUCCCAAUGCCCCCCCCAGGUAUGCGAGUUAAACCAUUUCUUCACUCUAUUUAGCAUAAUUUCACAUUACUAAUGGCUAUCAUUUUUGAUAAUACGUUUGGAAUAGGCAAAUACUACUUGGUUGAUUCCGCAUACCGAAACUUACCCGGUUUCUUACCACCCUAUAGAGGACGCCAAGCGGAUGUUAGUGGUCGUAGAAUGGGGAGAUUUGCCACGGCCAAGGAACUUUUUAAUUACAGACAUUUUAUGCUCCGCAAUGUCAUUGAGCGAACAUUUGGUGUUCUUAAAAGGAGAUUUGCUAUCUUGCGGGGCGCCAUACCCCACUACAUGAUGACUACUCAGAUAAACGUUGUUAUUGCCUACUGUGAUGUGCACAAUUUCAUUAGAGAUCAACAACCGGAUGACUAUUACUUCGCCAAUCCCGAUAUAGGAGAUCUAGACACAAAUGGUGCAAUUCCUCCCUAUCCGGAGAUACAGCCACUACAUUCCCCUCCCGAAGUGAUUAACCAAUGGAUCGGUAUGAGAGAUGCAAUGGCCAAUCAUAUGUUCAAUACCUAUAGAAAUACACGCCAGCGUUAAUUCAAUUAUGGGUGAAUUUAUAUUAAUCUUUUUUUAGCUGCUAAGUUAACAAAAAACCUUUUUUUAGUAGCGUCGGUUUAUGCUAUCUUUGGAGAAAGGGCUAUGUUGUGCCUGACUAUUAUGAACAUUUGAUAUCGUUUGAUUCCCAUAAUCCUUGCGUUUGAGUUAUUUUUCACCUACUUAUAUAGCUGUAACCUCCUGUAAGCACUCGGUAGGUAUACCUUCAAACCUGUAUUUUCAUCAUGCAAACGGAGGCACAAAGAAGAAAACAUGCGCAUGCUUGUUUACUACUACCACCGCGUUGCUUUAUUAUUUGUUCUAUGUUCUGUGCGUACAUCAGGAUUUCAAAUCGAAAUCCUAACUAAUUUUCAAAGUGAAGGCCCCACUCGCAUUGACCAGGUAAGCAAUUUGGGGGAAUGAAGUAUUUCAGCUUCGAAUGGGUCUCGUUUGACUAGGCAAAAAAAAAAGUACUUCAGCCUCGAAUGACCAAAUUGUCCAUCAAAAUAGCACCACCCGCCACUUACUCCUUUCUGCCAGCUUUUUGUAAUCAUAAAUGCAUGUCAUUUCACAAUAAAUGAGUCCCUUAUGUUCCAAUAAACUAAAUCAUGCAAGUAAAAAAUCUGAGGUAAAUUAUGUAAAUUUGGCCAGUCCAAACGUAUCCACUAUCUUCAAAUUAAUUAGUACCUCAUACACUAAAGGUUGUACCCUUCCGACCAUUUCCUCAAACUAAACUAAAUUAAUUAACACUAAACAGCUCCUUAAUCAAAAUUACAAACAUAGUUACUAUUAAACACAUAAUCAACAAACUCACGGGCUGAGGCAACUGUGGCCGUAAUGAAUAACGCAAUCAGCUUUCACAUGAGCAGCUCCGACCUCGUCCACGCAGCAGCCGCCGUAGGUGGUGUUGGCCAUCACGUACAACUUAGCGGUUGCACGUGACUCGUCGGAAUUCUUAAGAAGACGGUGGAGCUCUUGCCGGAGAGCACUCACGACUUUCCUUGAAUCUUUCAGGAGCUCAUCUGGAAACUACAAAUAAAAUAAAUAGAUAAAAUCUCAAUUAAUAAUUUUAGGAAUUAUUCAUUAGUUUUUUUACCAUUUUUAUUGUUAAUAAACCUGUAAGGCGACUCUGGAGAAGUUAUGGGCGUUAAUGAAGUCCGCGACGAGGGAAAUUUCGUAAUAAUUUUCAAAAUCCAUGACUAAAGAAUACGGUACGGAUGCGGAGGCGGAAGCGAUGGCCUAUACGUACGUCGCCGUUCUGAAGAAAUUAUGGAGACGAGGGAAAUGGAAGAACAUAAUUGAGUGGGCCGAGUGAUGACAAUUGAACCGCGAAAAGUGUUGAGUUAUUGGGUUGGCCCAAAUUACCGUUCUGGACUUUACUGUUUGAAGAGGUGGCCUAAAGGCCUAAUCUAUAUGUCUAACAUCUAUCUAUCUAUCUAUCUAUCUAACAAUUGAAAAGCGAGAGUUGCGUGAAUGAAUAGUAAGAGAGUGGGUCUAUUUGGAUUGAAAUGUUUUGAAAUAAAAUAAUUUGUUUCACAAAUUUCAAUCACCUUUUUAUCUUCCAAUCAUUUUUUUAUCUCACAUAUAUUACAUCAUAAAAAGUGCUAUAGUAAUUAUUUCAAAUAAAUCAUCCAAAUAAAUUCCUAUCCAAACAAACCCACUGUCUCCAUUGGUUAUUUCGAUAUAGGUUGAAAUGUUCAGGUUAUUGUGGUCCAUUUGCAUUAGUCUCUUGCCAGUUCUUCAUGUCAUUAGAAUUAGCCUUAGUAGUAGUUCAUUUUUCGGUGAUGGCUUUUCAAGUGAUUUUCAAGAGCAAGAUGGAGGAGAAAAUGGAGAGCUCCUAAUUCUCUCUCUCUCUCUCUCUCUCUCUCUAAUUUCGGAUGGCUUAAGGAGGAAGAAAGAAAAUGAGCUCUCAAGUCUAGUUUCUUCCUUUAAAGUGUAGUAGGUGAACCACCUCACCUACUCGCUUAUUUGUCGCGCCCUCAUGCAACAUUUUAUCCUUAACUAGAUGUCUCUCAACCAACAUCCUAUCAUUUUUCUAUUUCUUUAAAGUCUCUACAUGCUCUAGACUUAAUCUUAAGACUAAAUUCUACGUCACCACUCCAAAGUUUCAUACUUAAUGCUAGCCAAACGAUAAUCGGGCAAUAAUAAUAAUAAUUUAAACUAAGUUGUAAAAUGACAUUUUAAUAGAUGAGAAUGCCAAAAAUUUGACUAAAUCAUAUAAUAUCAAUAUUUUCAUCAUUAUUUCAAAAAUAGUAAAAAUUUUAGAACCCUCACAAGUAUCAUCUUCCUGAUCAUCAAUUUGUGAUAUUUAAUGAUAAUAAUCAUCUUUAUGACAUUCUUGAUUAUGAUCACAUACAUGACACAAUGCUGACGAAAUGGUUUGAAAUAAAUCAGAGUAAUGUUUCAGUUAGAAACUUGACUUUUGUGGAGUUUCCGAGUAAGUGGACUUGGAAGCAAAAUAGACAACAAUGGGAGUUCAGAUUGCAAGGUAGGUGUAUUGGAAGGCUACCAUAUGCACAUGCUCACUCUGGUGAGCGAUACUAUUUGAGAACGUUGCUGCAUAAAAUUCGUGGUGCACGAAGUUAUGAACAUUUGAAAACUAUUAAUGGAACUGUACAUCCAACAUUCAAAGCUGCAUAUGCAGUACUUGGUCUUCUAAAUGAUGAUAAUGAGUGGAAUGAAGCUUUAGCUGAAGCAUCUACAUGGGCAUUUGCAAAAAAUUAUGAAACAUGUAUUGUACACUACUUAUACAUUCUAAGGUAACUAACCCUUUUGAUAUAUGGCAGCGCCACUGGAAAAGUAUAACAAAUGAUUUGCAAUAUCAGAUCAGAAGGGAUAUGGGAAACCCUAUGCAUUGAUGAUGAUGAGUUACAAAUUUUGGGAUUAGUUGAAUUUGAACACAUUUUGAAUAAAAAUGGUCGCUCUUUGCGAGAUUUUCCAUUGAUGCCAUUGUCGUCCUUUGAAAAUGCUCAAUUUUCUAUGAAUAGACUUAUAAGAGAAGAGCUUGAUUACGAUUUUACAUCAGAACAGCAAUUAUUUGAUAAUUUAUAUGCUAAUUUGAAUGAGGAUCAAUUGAAAGCACAUGAUCUUAUUAUGGAAUCAUACACACAUAAGGGGGUAGGGUUGGGUUGGGUGGUACGGGGGGGAAGGAGUGUAAGUAAGAGGUCUCGGGUUCGAGUCCUCCAACUUACACUAAAAAAAAAUACACACAUAAUUGUGGAGGACUAUUUUUUGUGUAUGGAAGUGAUGAGACGGGUAAAACUUAUUUAUGGAGAACAUUGAUUGCUCGAAUUGGAUCGCAAAUUCCUAUUAAUUUGAAUGAGUCAUCAAGUUGUUCAAUCAAUAAAAAUUAUGACUUAGCCAAAUUAAUUAGAGAGACAUCUUUGAUAAUUUGGGACGAAACUCCAAUGACACAUCGGCAUGGAUUUGAAGCGGUGGAUAGAACUUUAAAGGAUAUCUUAAAGUUUAGUGAAAAUGAUUCUGAGGAUCGUAUUUUCGGAGGAAAAUUAGUUGUUUUGGGUGGUAAUUUUCGACAAACAUUACCGAUUGUUUCUAAAGGUAGGAGAGCAGCAAUAGUAUCGGUUACAAUAAAAGAAUCAACGAUUUUGGAUCACUGUAGAGUACUGCAUCUUAAAAUAAAUAUGCAUGUAAUGAAUUUGCAUCUUUCUGAAAAUACGCGUCAGCAAUUGACAGAUUCUUCAAAUUGGUUGCUAUCUGUUGGUGAAGGAAAGGUUUCAACAAUUUCACUUACUGAAUUCGGGGAAUCAAAUUGGAUUCGGAUGCCAUCGCAAUUUCUCAUAAAAAAUGAAAGUUAAUUUUUGAUGCGGUUAAUAGAUUCUGUCUAUCUAAAUUUGAGAAAUUCAUACAAAAAUAGUACUUACCUCAAGGAACAUGCUAUUUUGGCUCCAAAAAUGGGUGAUGUUCACAAAUUGAAUAAUAAGAUGCUAUCAAUGCUUCCUGAUCAAUCACGUGCUUACAUGAGUGUUGAUACUUUUUGCAAUACUGAAAGUGACAAUGUUGAAAAUAUGAAUCCUCCUAAAAUGUUGCACUCUUUGAAUUUUCCUGAACUUUCAAAUCAUUUUUUGGAACUUAAAGAAGGAACUCCUAUAAUUCUUUUCAGAAAUCUCAAUCAAUCAGAAGGUCAUUGCAAUGGAACACGACUUGUUGUCACCAGAAUGGGGGAUAAAGUUCUUAAGACAGAAGUCAUAACAAGAUCUAAUAUUGGAGAUUUAGUGCUCAUACCUCGGAUCUCUUUAAUGUCACAAAGCUCACGGACUCCUUUUCCAAUUAAAAGGAGACAAUUUCCUAUGAAAGUGGCAUUUGCAAUGACUAUCAACAAAAGUCAAGGCCAAACAUUGAAAAAUGUUGGCGUUUACCUUCCUAAACCUGUGUUUUCACAUGGUCAACUUUAUGUUGCUCUUUCUUGUGCUACUUCACCAGUUGGAUUGAAAAUACUAAUUGUUAAUAGAGAUAAUGAUCCAUGGGAUUACACAAAAAAUAUUGUGUAUCAUGAGAUUUUUGACUCCCUUUGAUAAAUUGUGGACAUCACUUUGUUUAAAAAAUAUAUAUAUAAAGUAUAUGUACUAUACACAAUUUGACAAUUUUUUUGUACUUCUUUCAAUUUGUGUUACUUACUAUCUCAACUAUAGUGUUUAAAUAAUUAACUUCAUGCUAUAUCAUAAUAAUUUACAGAUAUCCGAUAUACACCUUUACUCUAUUUGGACCCUUAUGGAUACAGUUGGAAUGUAAAGGUUAGAUUGUUUCGAUUAAUAGAUAUGACCAUAUCUGGAGUGCUCCAACGUUCGGGAUGUAUCAAGAUGCUUUUUGUAGAUGAUCAAGUAAUAAUUAAGAGCGUAUGUUAUUUAUUAUAUUGAACAUUGAAUAUUUACUAAUCUCUUGAAAACUAUCAGAAACUUGUCAUGCAGGGAGUUAUAAGAGGUAGUGAUAUGAUAAACAUUUUCGCAGAUCAUCUUCAUGAAGACAAGGUAUACUAGUUUCAAAAUAUCCAUGUAAUUUCGGCAGAUCUUAAAUAUCGGCUUGCACCACAUCAGUAUCAAUUAUCAUUUGGAAACGAUACGAAGAUAGUGAAUAUUUUAGAUGAUUGUGGAACCAUAUUCCGUUUCAAGUUUAAUCUAGUCAAACUAAGAGAUACAGAACAGUACAUGGACAAUGAUUUGCAAUUGAUAGGUAUUUCAUUCAUAAUUAACCAUACUUCUAUUUAAGUUGUAUAUUUGAACUAGUAUUACUUAUACUUUUUGAUCUUUUGCAGAUAUAAUUGGUUUAGUUGUAUCUGUAGGUUCACGCUAUCAAACAUCUAUCAAUGAUAAAACUAGGUGUGACAUUCUUUUACUUGACAAAAGGUUAGUUAUUCAAUAUCUUCAAAACAUUUUAUAUUCUACAAAUUUUGAUUUAUACUUACCAAAAUUCUCUAAAUGAAGCUUGACUGUAGUUCAGUUGACUUUAUGUGAUAAAUUUGCAACUGAUGAUGGUGAACGCUUGCAUCAAACUGUUACAAAAAAUAAUGUUUUACUAGCCUGUGGUAUUUGUGUGAGAAAUUAUAAAGGUAAUUCAAUUUCUUUUCACUUUAUUUAAUUUAAUUUUUAUAGUUUAUCAAUAAAUAUAGCACAUUGUGCAGGACUGUCACUUUAUACUAUUCGAGCAAGCAAAUUUCAUGUCAAUCACUACUUGGAUUUUGCUCAAUACCUACAUAGUCGGUAAGUUUUACAAAUACCAAAAUAUUAAAUUAUUAAUAAUAUUUCAUACCCUUACGAAUAUGUAUUUGAAAAAUUUGCAGGUUUGAGAAUGAUAAAUGUGCUCAGAAAUUAGUGACGUGGUUGCAGUCAUGCAAUUUUACAAUGUUCCAGGCAUUGUUGAUAUCAAAUGCUAAGAGAAUACGGAUAUGCGAAUAUGUAGUUACACCUACAAUACAAUUCCUCUCAAUUAAUUAAGUAAUGAACAAGUAUCUACAUGUAGUUUCCAAUUAAUAAUUGUAAUCUAUACAUUCUUUGGAUGGUUUUAGGUUAAAUAUUUUCGGAUACUUGCUUACAUUCAGAGCAUCAACAUAGACAAUAUGUUCCAUGAAUUAUGAAAAAAUUGUGGACAACCAUGCCAAUCUCCUUUUGCAAAAAUGGUAUGUAUCCAUUUUAAUGACGCAGUCAACACUAUUGUCAGGUAAUUAUUAUUAUUAUUUUUUUAGUGUAAGUAGGAGGACUCGAACUCGAGACCUCUCACUUACACUUCCUCCCCCCGUACCACCCAACCCAACCCAACUCUCCCCCCUAUUAUUUUCAUAUAUUUUUAAUUUUAAUAUAAUUUUUUGUAUCGUACAUCACAAUUUUUUCUUAACAGAUACAAUGUUAACAUACAAAUUAGAGAUUCCAGUGGUAACCUAUACCCCACUCUUCAAGACAGGCAUGCACGAUUCAUGUUUAGCUGUGAUGCUUCUUAUCUUAGAGAUUUAAAAAAAAAGGUAUAUAUUAUUUAUAUAUAUAUAUUAUACAAUAUUAUUUACAAAUUUUCUAAAACAAAAGAUAAUUUUGAAUUAUGUAUGCUUUUAAUUGUCAGAAAAAUGGAGGUACAUUGUUCGACCAACAUAUUAAUUCAUGAAAAAAUGGUACAUUCUCAUUUAUAGUACGAACUCCACAAAAUUUAAUAGAAUUAAUUAAACCCCCAAUACUGGCGUUUGUACUCAUAGUUGAUUGGUGUGAAGAAUGUUCACACCUUCGUAGAAGAUUAUCAAAUCAAAGGCAAAAUGUUUGUAAGUAUUUCAUUUACUUAACAAAUUAAAUAUUCAAUUAUAUUUAAUUGGACCCUUAUGUCGCUCAAUUUAUGAUAAAGAUUUCUACUUUUUUUUCAGGAUCCAAUCUUCAUCAAAGUGAUAGUUUAUAAAUAAUAGAGAUAUUUUUAUCAUAUAUUGAACUAUUGUUACAAAGUUUCAUUUUUUUAAAUAUACUUUCAUGUGCCCUUGAUUAUAAUUUUUUACUCUUUUUAAAUUCCUCCAUAGAUUGUAAUUUUUUUAAAAAUGUAAUUUACUGUGUUUAGCACAGGUUUUUAUACUAGUAUAUAUAUAUAUAUAUAUAUAUAUAUAUAUAUAUAUAUAUAUAUAUGAAAGUAACUAUUUUAAUUAUAGUGUUUCUCACUCCUAUGUGGUAUGCUUAAUUGAAGAGAAUUAACGGGUUAUGGAUCACUUGAAUUUUUUCCAUUUUGAAUCCUAUUUGGAUUAUAUUAUGUGUUUAAAAAUUAUCUCUAAUUUUAAAAUAAUUUUAAAAAUAACUAAUCUUAUCUUAACAAUAUCUGCUUUCUAUCAAAUAAUUACAAUAAUUAUAUUAUAUGUUUAAAAAUUAUCUUUAAUUUUAAAAUAACUUUAAAAAUUAACUAAUCUUAUCUUAAUGAUAUCUGCUUUCUACCAAAUUAUUACAUAGAAGUAUAAUAAUACCUUUUCAAAUCACAAUUAUUAAAAUCUUAUUGAAAUCUUACAUAUCUCAUGAAUUAUUUCCUUUCACUACCAUAUCAUUAAUUAGUAUUCAAAUUGUCCAUCAUCUCUUCUUAUUUUUGAAUUAAUUUAGUGUAAAAAAGAGAAUUAACUGUUACACUGAUAGAUUUAUCAAUAUUAUUAAAAAUUGAAUAUUUAUUGAUGAAGAAAAAUGGAUUAAUGGAUCAUUUUCUACUUAAUUAAGUAUGAAUAUAUAAUUCUAAAUUUAUGGUCAUUAUAAAAAUUUAAAUUAUUUAAAAGAAUAUUUUUAAAUAAGAAUAUCUACCAAGUUUUGGAUAUGGGGUACAUUAUUUAAUGUAUACUAUCAUAUUAUAGUGAAAGUAUGUAAACAAAUUUUUAAAAUUUAGUAAAUAAUUGAAUAUUUAAAAUACAUUAAUUUUUUAAAAUUAAUAUGAAUGAACAUGUAGAACUAUUGUCAAUUUUUCCAUUUAAAUUAUUGAUAUUUGUAUAAAUUCACAAUAAAUAAAAAAAAGACCGUGCUAAGGCAUGGGUAAAAUUCUAGUUAGCCCUUAAAAUAUCAGAUUUUAGAUAAAAUUUAGGGUUAAUUACACUUUGCCCCCUUGAACUUGGGACCUUGUAACACUUUGCUCCCAUAAACUCCAAAUAUAUGCACUUUACACCUUUUGGUCAACUUUUGGAUGGGGUGAAAAUGAAGUUAAAUUUUUCAUGACCAAAAUAUCCCUGACUAAUUCUUAAACACACAUAAUAAUUGUAACAUAAUAAAUACAUAUUUCUUUAAUAGUUGCUAAAUGCAUCUAAAGACAAUUACUCUAUGCAUUUCAAACUUUUAAUCCUAAAAUGAAUUAGAUAAUUCACAAAAAAAUGUAUAAGCAAUUCAAUGUAUUUGUUUCAAAUCCAAUAGUAGUGCUUAUUUGAAAUGAAAUAAAAUUAAUUAGUGCGUUUGAGAUAAAAGUUAUUCGCUUAUAUUUUUUAUUGUAGCACUUUUUAAUGUGUUUUUUAUAAGAUAAAAACAUGAUUAAAAAUAAAUAUGUACUGAAAAACAUAUUUAGAAAAUUUUGAGUUUUUUUACAACUCAAACAAAAUACAAAACAAGGUAUGAAUGCGGUAUAAAAUUACUGAAUAGCAUCUUAUUGACUCGUAAAAAUCUUGUGAAAGGUGCAAGCUAAAUAAAAAUUAUUAAAAUCAAUCCAUCUACAAUUUAGAGGAAAAAAGAUAAGCGAUGGAAAACUUAUGCAGAUGUUUUAAGACUUUUUAAAUUCUUUUUUCUCCAUAAUACAAUUUUUCAAUUCUUCGGUAUCUUUAUUUUUUAAUUUUUUAAAUCUUGUGACUUUGUGUUUUUUUCCUAAUAAGAUGUUUCAUAUUCCAAUUAAAAAUAUAAUAUUAUUCUAGAACUAUUGUGUAAGGGCAUUAAUGUCAUUUUGUUAAAAUUUUGGAUGAAGAAUUCAUCAUUAAUGUUUGAGUAAUCAAUGAAGGGGUAAAGUAUAUAUAUAUAUAUAUAUAUAUAUAUAUAUAUAUAUAUAUAUAUAUAUAUAUAAGUUUAGGGAGGCAAAGUAUUACAAUGGCUCAAGUUCAGAGAGGAAAACUAUAAUUAACCCUAAAAUUCAACGAAGUAAAAGGCAAAAGUUAUGUGAUCAUUAGCAAAAAUAACAAAGCAAAAGCAAUUACAAGGAAAAAGAAGGGUUAAAUGGAAAAUGCACCUCAAACUAUGUUCAAUUAGCAACUUGCCCCUUACAAUAUUAAUUAUAGCAAUUUACUAUCUUAUACUAUGAAUUUUCGGCACAUUGCUUCAACUAAAUUAAUGUGACAGGUAAUUUUUUAUUGAAAGGACAACAAUAACCACUUGAAUAGUGUAUUACCUAGAAUACCCGUUUCUUUAAUUUAUUUUUUCUUUUUUUGUUCAUAUUUAUUUCAAUCAUGAACAAUCUUACACCUUCCGCCAUUACCACUACACUAAAAUUCCUUGCAUUGAAUCACCAAAAUAGAAGAAGAAAAAGUCAAGACUAGAUUACAUAAAACUAGAGCAAAAUCAAAGCUUUGUAUCAAGGCUAGAAACAUAGGAGCAACCCAAGCAAAAAAUUGAAGCCUCAUAAAUCUAUAAUAUAUUUUUAAAUAGCAAAACCCAUAACAUAAUCUUAUCAUAUAUAGAACCACUCACACACUAUGGCUUUCAAUAUGCAGCAAAGAAAAUAAAUACACCCAAUAACAUGGACAAUUAUAGAAAUUAGAAGGAUAGGAAAUGAUGAGAUUUGGGUCUCUUGAAUUAAAAAAUGCUGGGAGAUUGGCUAGUAGUAAUAAGGGUUGGUAAAUUUGAAACGGGUUGUAAUUUAAGAACUUGAGUAACGAGGAAAAUUCAAAGAGAAGACACUCAAGAGAGGGAGGUGAUAAUGAGAUUGUGAGCUCAGGAGUUUGAAGAGGUUGAUUUGAGUAAGAAAGAUGGAGAGAGAUCAUAUUAGGAAGUUUGAUGUGGAGGAUGGGAUGGAUACUAACUUGGUGGUAUAGUUUAGAAAAGGAGGACGAGGAGAGUUACUGGUGAGUUUAGAGGAGAAAGAAAGAGGAGAGAUGUGGGCAAUUUGAAUAGUUGGUCAUUUAAUUAGGACAAAUUUAUCACAUCACUUUAUUUUAAGUAAUCUGCAAUGAAAUUGGUAGUCCAUAAACAACAUACUCGUAGCUUGUCUAGGCCUCCAGAUUGCAUAUAAGAAUUGGCAUUGAAAGAAUAAAAAAUUUCAUUCGAUUGUCUAGACCGCAUAACAAAUAUUCAACUCGAUCUCUCAACACUCCCACUUGCUAUAGAUGAUCCAGAUUAGGCCUAAAAAAAACUAUAUCUAAAUAUCCAGAUUAGGCCUAAAAAAAAAUAUAUAUAUAUAUAUAUAUAUAUAUAUAUAUAUAUAUAUAUAAAUGAAUUAUCUAAAUUUUGGUUAAGGGUGGCAAUUUUUGACACGACCUGAAAACACGACACGAACCUAACACGAAAUUAAUGGGUUUGGGUUGAAGUUUCGGGAAUUCGGGUCAGAAUCGGGUUGGACCCGAUGAACCCGAAAAGAAAACAGAUCGAUUUCGGGUCAACCCGUGAUGACCCGAUAUGACCCGUUUACGAAUUAAAAAAUAAUUUAAUAAACAUAAAAAUAAUUCUAUCUAACUAAACUAAGUUAUUCUUUUUUUCAAAGGCAUUAAUUACUUAAUCCUAAAUGAAUUUAUUUAAUUUGUGUGAAGUUGAAAUUAUUAUAUUUGGACAAAUAAUAUAUUAUAUUAUUUUUUACUUUUAUACUAUUUUAAUUUAUUUUAUAUUUUGUUUGGGAUAAAACACUUUUAUGGUGUUUAAUUUAUUUUAGAUUUGGUUUGGAAUUCUUUAUUUAAAUUUUUAUUACUUGAUUAUGUAAUUAGUUUUGUGAGAAAUCGAUUUUAUUAGAAAUUACAGUGAUAAAUUAAUAAAUUAAAAUUAAUUUUCGGGUCAUUUCGGGUCGACCCCGCCAACCCGAAAUUUUCGGGUUCGGGUCAGCGUACCUGACCCGUCACGGGUUGGCGGGUCGGGUUCGGGUCAACAGAUUUUCUGACGGGUUGACCCGAACCCGACCCGCCAACCUGAUUUGGACCCGAAUUGCUACCCCUAAUUUUGGUGUCUACAUUUUGCAUAAAAAAAUAGUAAGAUUUGUUAAUAAAGUCAUGAGUUUUACCUAAAAAUAGUAGUAAAUUUUGUAUUAAAAAAUGGUAAAUUUUGCUUCAAAGUUAGUUGAAUUUAUUAAUUAUGCAUGAAGUUUUACUAAAAAAAAAGUGGUAAAAUUUGUCAAUGAAAUCAUAAAUUUUUCUUGAAAAAAUAGUAUGUUUUGUAUAAAAGUGGUAAAUUUUGAAGAAAAAGUGGUAAGUUUUGCUAAAAAUUUAGUAAGAUUUGUUACAUAAAAAAUAACUUGCACAAAUUAUAACACUUACUUGUUUUAUAAGAAACUUACUAUCACUUGUAACAAAUAUACCGACACAAAUUUGUUCCUAAUGAACCCUAUAAUAUUAGGUUAAAACCUAUACAUGGCAUUACAUGAACCACUCAUUUAUGAGUUGUGGUGACUCUUUGUCACUUCAGAAUUUUUCAUAAUUUUUUAUGGAUUAUCAAAUAUUUUUGUGUAUGUCAAAUAAUUUUUUUAAAAAUUUUUUUUAUAAGUAGGAGUAAAGAUGUGAUUUAAGAAGUGCGGGGGAAAGGAAAAUUGAAUCAAAGAUUUUUAAUUCCUAAUGUCUCAAUAUAAUUUUUUUCCAAUAGCCACCUAGGCGUGACUUUUUCAAAGUUAAACAGAAUUACACCUUAAUAUUUUCUUCCAGCCCUCCCCUGAUCAGCAAUCAUUACCGAAAAGUAAAAACCAUAAACUUGAAUCACACCUUAAUAUUUUCUUCCACCCCUCCCCUGAUCGACAAUCAUUACCGAAAAGUUAAAACCAUAAACUCUUAAGCAAUAAUGACAUCUCCUACUUCAUUAUUAUUAUGGGCGUAUUUAAUAAGGGUAAAACACAAAGUGCCUUCACGUAUCCAUUUUAGAAGGCGUUAUCUCAAACUCAUAAGAAAGUCCACGUCUUGAGAUUUAUGCCCUUAAGGGCGUGAAUUUUGGGAAGAACCUUUUUUUUUGUUUUUUAUAGCAUAAGUGAGAGAUUUUAAAUCCCGAACGUCUUGCUUCACAAUCCCUCCCUCCUGCCUUCACAUACCCCAAAACUCAAGGACUUUUGCGGCCGUGAAAGUCAUAACAGAAGCCCUCCAGGAAAAACUCAGAACAGAGGGACUAACAUUAACAUCUGAAGUCCCUGAGUUUCAAGUCUUUUUUAAUGACCAUAUAUCUAAUGAUUUCAACACACUUUUUGCUUCACUUCCACAAGAGAGACACUACCUUGCAGCUGGAGCGCCUGGUGAUUUCCACAAGGUUUUGCUCCCAAAGGCAUCCCUUCAUUUUGCUUACUUGUCUUGCGCGCUUCACUCCCUUUCAGACGUGCCAAAAAAGGUUGCAGACAUCAUGUCCCCCGCAUGGAACAAAGGAAAGAAUCACCAUAGAGGUGCCAAGAUGGAAGUUUUUUGAGGCUUAUGCGUCUCAAUUUGCCAAGGACGUGGAGUCAUUUACAUGAGCUGAUCGAUGGAGGGUUGAUGGCCCUUCUACCCCUGAUGCUGUCCGUGAAUCUCAGACAACUACCAUCACAGAGGUAGAACUAGAAGGUCCACUAAAUUUGUUUCAUGUUCUCAUAUUUCGCUUGAGAAGGACAAAAAUAACAACCAUAUCCUGAUUCUCAGGGUUAAAGAGAGAGGAAGACUCUGCAAGUUUCUGCGUAAACAGUUCAAACAAUUCAUCCAUGAUAUCACUUCCAAAUUGUUUCUCUAGAAGUCCCUCUAAUGCAGCUCUGAGGUACAAAGCAAUUCCACUAGGGUUGGAGAAAACCACAUGCUUUCCUGGAAUGCUUAAUAUCUCCAGUCUCUGAACAUUUAGAUGUUCAUUUGCCUUCAUCAGGGUCUUUAUCUCAUUAGGAGAUGGGAGAUAUAGUGGCAAGUUGAACAUAUCCACUUUCAAUUCAUCGACCAAUCCCUAUUGCAAUAGGUGCAUCUUAGUAUUUAAAGUACUUUUUUUUUGUUAGCCAAAACCUAUAGUCGAAAUUCGAAGAUAAACUUUAAUCAAAACUCAUUCUUAUACAGUAUAUGGAAAAAAAAAAAAAAAGAAAUUGUAAAAUAAAAAAUUCCUACUCAUGGAUUUGCAACUGCUAUUUUUAAGCUGAAGACAUGUUUCAGAAAUUAUGGAACAUAGUUAAUAGCUUACUCGUGACCAAGGAGGUAUUCCAUUCAUUCUCUGCCAUUGGUAUAUUAUACCUGAUUUGGUUGAUUUCCUGUAUCCAUUUUGUUUCAUCCUGGAUAUUUUUAUUAAUCAGAAGAAAUGUUGGAAAAAGAGAUUGGUGCCUUGUUGUGACGCUUUUGGGCCAGCAUUAAUUAUCCGGUAUGAUUUCUAUUCUGUCCAUCUUAUGGAACGUAUGAAGCUCACUUCCAUCCAAUACUUUGUACCUUUUUAUUUGAGCGAAAUAAGUACAUAAGUUUAGAGGGAAAGGACUUAAUAUCAAAAUAAUGUCUUAUAUUUGCAAAUAGGAAUGAAAAACGAACGAAACUAUAUAUUAUACUUGAAUUGAUGUUGAAAUAGUAAAAGCUAAUCUGCGCUUAGUUCACCAAUUAAUCAAACCAAACACAAACAAUAUUUUGUAUCCAAUAAAAUUUCAAAUUUGAAAUCGAGCUUGGUUGACUUAACAUAGCAUAUGAAAUUUAUAUGUGAAAAAUUUAAUUGAGUUUGACUUGAUAAAAGCUCAUCUAAAUUCAGCGUAAUAAAUAAAUGAAUUAAAUUUAAAUACAAUUUUAAACUCUUUAGAAUAGAUAGACAAGUUUGACAACUUGAGUGCUUGGCUCAAUUAGCUUCAUUCAUAACCCUAUUAAUUUGCAAGUAAAAGUUUUGAAAUUUUUUGUGGGGCAAAUAAAAAAUGUCAAAAAUAUUUCCACAGAAUACCAGAUUCUCAAUUCUCAUGCUUGGGGAGAAGGGUAAUUUCUUAAGGCUAAUUAUAAUACAAAUACACCUUUUAAAAUUCAUAAGAGGGCAAAUGAAAAUUUUGAAAUUCUUGAGGGGGUGGCUGCCCCUCCCUGCAAAGAUCCGAUCCAACAAAACCCCUGUCCCGCAGGUUCAUAGAAGUGUUAAAAAAGAAUUCCAAAUGUCAUUUGAAUUCAAAAAUGAAUAAUUUAACUAUCUAAAACUAUCUAGGAUAUAUUAGAUCAUAAUUCAAAUUUAAUAUUAUUCAAGUGACAAAGAAAAUCAAAAUUCUAUGUUGCAUCCCUGCAUUGAGAUGUAUUCGCAUAGAGUUCUUAGUUGAAGAAGAUCUGAAACUAAUGAAAUCUAACCUUCUUAGCCAAGUCCAUGAGGCAAUAUCCUAGAACUUCCAAUUCUUUCUCUGUGACUAUAGUUGUCUGAGAUUCACGGAUGGCAUCAAGGACAGCAGGAAUAACAAGGGCCAUCAGUCCUCCAUCGACGAGCUCGUGUGCCCUUGCAUUCAGAAAUGACUCCAAGUCCUUGGCAAAUUGAGAUGCAUAAACCUCAAGAACUUCCUUUUUGGCCCCUCCGUAGUGAAUCUUGCCUUUGUUCCAUGCAGGGGACGUGUUGUCUGUAACCUCAUUUGGCACAUCUGAAAGCCAGUGAAGCGUGCAAGACGAGUGAGCAAAAUGAAGGGAUGCCUUUGGGAGCAAAACCUUGUGGAAAUCACCAGGCACUCCAGCCGCAAGGUAGUGUCUCUCUGGUGGAAGUGAAGCAAAAAGUGUGUUGAAAUCAUUAGAUAUAUGGUCAUUAAAAAAGACUUGAAACUCAGGGACUUAGUCCCUCUUUUCUGAGUUUUUCCUCCAGGGCUUCUCUUAUCACUUUCAUGGCCACAAAUGUAUUUGGUCCUGUAGAGCAGCCAAAAUCUGCUAUGCGAAAUGGAUGCACAGAGGUUGAAGAAAGUUGCUUGACAUCAAGUUCUUUGUCAAUCUCUUCUUUGAUAAGUUCUUUUGCAACCUCUACUGCUCCUCUCUGCCACAGAAAAAAAAAAUCUUACCUUAGACAUUUAUAAUGAGGUAACUGCAGUUUAAACUAGCAACCUGAAAGGAUGAGUUUUGGUUAUAGCUUUGAGGUCCAUUUCCUCCAUUCAUGGCAUAUACUUGAGGCAUUUUUUCUAUCCCCCGGCUGCUAGGAGAUUUUUCAUAAGAAUAAAAAUGCUCCCAAUUUUUUAUUCUCCAAGUUAGAAUGAGAAACAAUUUAGAUAGAUAAAAGGAAGGCAGACGAAAGGCUGCCUUAUCAACCAGCAGCCCCUUUGGGCUAGUGGCCACCACUAAGCUAUUAAAGGUUUGGUGGGGUGGAAGGCAAGGGUUCAAAUCUUACCUCUCAUCAAUUAUCACAUUAAGUGGCUUAUUAAAAAAUUCAGACAGGUGUGUACUCGUUUGGUGCGGUGAUGAUUCAAUUUCCACUGGUCUGCCCUAAAUUCAAUUGGGUCUCUCCUUUACAUUAGGAUAGUAUAGGAUACUGUAGAUAAAGUGACGAUUGACCAAAAAAAAAAAAAAGAAGAAGAAGAAGAAGAAAGAAAGGCUGCCUUAUCGUCAUUAUGAGCCACACAAUUUUUUAGCUGUAGCAAUUAUAAAAUAGAAAGAAUCCUAUUAUUGUUGGCAAUGUGGAUGUCUCAGCCAAAAAUGGAACUUGCAUGGAUUGCGUGUAGCGAGAUCGAGGAUUUGAUGCCAUAUAUGUAUAUUCUCUUGUCUUGAUAUCUCUGUCUAGAUGGUCUAAUUUAUACUAGGCAGAGGCUCAGGCUCAAGUGUUGUCUUUUAGCCCUUUACACCACAGGCAUUUCUAUUAAUAAAUAUGGGAAAAAAAGAGAUACACACAUGGUAAAAUAUCUCUCAAACAUAUGUUAUGGAUCAUUUUGUGCAUAAAUUGAAUUUAAUUUAAAUUAUACAAUUUGUGCAUGUAAAAUAUCACCAUUCUUUCCUGGAAUGCUUAUUAUCUCCAUUCUCUAAAGAUUUUAGAUGUUCAUUUGUCCUCAUCUGGGUCUCUAUCUCAUUAGGAGAUGGGAAAUAUAGUGGCGUGUUGAACAUAUCCACUUUCAAUUCAUCGACCAGUCCCUGCAAUAGGUGCAUCUUAGUAUUUAAAGUAAUUUUUUUUUAAAACCAAAACCUGCAGUCAAAAUUGGAAGAAACACUUUGACCAAAACUCAUUCUUAUACGGUAUAUGAAAAUUAGAGGAACUGUAAAAUAAAAAAUUCCUACUUGUGGAUUUGCAACUGCUAUUUUUAAGCUGAAGACAUGUUUCAGAAAUUAUGGAACAUAGUUAAUAGCUUGUUCAUGACCAAGGAGGCAUUCCAUUCAUUCUCUGCCAUUGGUAUAUUAUGCCUGCAGAUUUGGUUGAUUUUGAUAUUAAUCAGAGGAAAUGUUGGAAAAAGAAAUUAAUAAGAAGAAAUGUUGUAUUAAUUUUCUGAUAUGAUUUUCUAUUCUGUCCAUGUCUGUUACAAGUAGUAAACUUGACAUAUGAAGCCCAUCCAUUACUUUGUACGGUUUUUUUCAGCGAAAUAAGUAACAUAAGUUAGAGGGUAAGGACUUAAUAUCAAAAUAAUAUUUUAUAUUUGCAAAUAGGAAUGAAAAAUGAACGAGACUAUGCUAUACUCUAAAUGAGGUUGAAUUAGUAAAUGCUAAUUUGUGCUUAGUUCACCAAUUAAUUAAACCAAACAUGAACAACAUUUUGUAUCCAAUAAAAUUUCAAAUCUGAAAUCGAGCUUGGCUGACUUAACAUGGUAUAUGAAAUUUAUAUGUGAAAAAUUCAAUCAAGUUCGACUGGGUAAAAGCUCAUCUAAAUUCAUCGCAAUAACUAAAUUAAUUAAAUUUAAAUACAAUUUUAAACUCUUUAGAAUAGAUAGACAAGGUUGAAUUAGGAAUCGGAAUACGAACUAAAUAUAGGUUAUACUGUUAUGGUAGUUAUGAAAAAAAGUGUUCAUGAUAUAUUUAUAACUAUAUUGUUUUUCUAUUUUUGAUUUGCAAUUACUGAUGUUAUUCCUAUAGAGAAUUUGAUUGAUUUUGAACUCUAUGCCAUUGGAGUAUAUAUAUUUUGAUAUUAGUAGUGAUGGCUUAAAUUAUUUUGUAUUAUAAAAAAGUGGUAGCCAUGGAAUUGAAAUUUAAUGAUAUUCAUGAAUAUUGUUGUGUAUUAAGUAAAAUUUGAUAUUGAUAUGAGAUUGGAGGUAAGCUUUCGGGUAUAUGAUGUAGCGUUAAUAGUUUGAUACAAUGGUAUGCAUCAUAAACUUUUAGGUAAAAGAGAAAUAUUAGAAUAAAUAUAAGUGUUUAUUUAGCAGUGAUUUGGAUUUUGAUGGAAAGGCACUACUGAUAGCAUGUGAGGAUGAAUGAGAUAGAGACUAUGAACCUUUUUUUUUUCUUUUUAUUUUUAGUGUGAAUUAUAACUGAAGGGCAUUGUAGGAUUUUUGAAAAAAAAAAAAGCCUAGACUUUUGGACCUACAAUGUUACUUAAACAAUGAAAAUAUAGGAGGUAGGUGUAAUGUUUAGAACUUAAGGGGAGCAUCCUGAAAUUAGGAAAAAACUCAAGAUAAGAAAUCUAAAAUGAGGUGAAAAACAAAUAUCUUAAGAGAAAAGUGAUGAAAUUGCAACUAGUAUGCCACUUUGCUAAGUUAAAUUGGCGAUUGAAAAGGAAAAAUCCUUUAGUGGCCAAAAAGUGCAAGUUGAAUGGAUUAGUGGUCAAUAAAAUUUGUUCUCCAAUCAUUGGAUGAAAUUGCUUUUGAUUUGGCACGGUGAAUGCACAUGGAACUCAUUCUAUUGAUACUAAGAGCAAUAUUUAAUAAAAUGACCAAAAGUAUACUGAUUUAAGAGUUUAGUGAUUAUAUUAAAAAAAAAAAAAACUUGAGCGGCCAAAAGUGUACGAGCGUACGAGCGGAAUAGUUUAGUACCUGCUGGGGUUUUUCGCCCUUUCAUGCAAUAUAUUGGGCUUGUGAAAUAAUAUUGACUUUAUGUGUUAUACAAAAAUAAUUCACAAAAAACAAACUUAUUCUAAAAAUUUUCAUACAUUAUACUGACAAUUGUCCCUUCUGUGCUGAAGGCAUAAUUAUAGACCAAAUGUAGAUGGAACAAGGACGUUAGUACCUUGGAAUUAGACCUAAAAUUGAACUUAGAUAAGAAUUUCACUAAAUUGUACCAUCCAACUAGCAUUUUAAAUAUCUGCAAACAAAGCAUUUUUUCAUAUGGUAUGAGAAUACUAAAAAUAGAAAAUUUUAAAUACAUUACCCUUACUUGAAUUAACAAUGUGUUAACAUGUGUGAAAUUAACUUGUUAUUUGCAUGCGUAACUAAGUUGAAAAUUAUUACGACUACAUGAUACCCCUUCUAAUUUCAAAUCUCCAUGUAAGGUGUAAUUAUCAUUUUUUAAUCUGUCUUUGAAACAAAAAAAAAAAAAAAAGAAUCUACGUUGUUAUUCACUAGAACGUUACAUGCAUUUAAUCUUCAAAAAAAUUCGUGGAGGAGAGCUUGGUGUGAACCCAGUGAGUUUUUACUAAUAAAUCGUACCAUGCCUUCUAACUAUUAAUUCUUGAAUUGUUUCUUAUCAUAAAAGCACAUUAUCUAUCAGUAUUUUCUUGAUGACAAUGAUAAAUAAUUCAAAGAAUAGUAUUAUGAAGGCAAUUUAUUGAUAUUUCACAAAAGAAAAGUUGUUAAUUAACUCUUUAUAUACUAUAAGGGCCCCAAUGUCUUAUUAGUGUUUAGGAUGUGUAUCUAGGAUUGGAGGGUAUGGAUUUAACUCCUUCCUUUUAUGAAUUAUUUAAUUCCAUUGAUUUCUUCCUAGCAAGAAUUUUCCUCUUCCAUGUUCUCUUAUUUAGUUGUCAUCAAUCAACAAAGAAUAUAAUCUUAUUGGUAGGUAAAUUUCAGAUUCUAGCAUACCUAAUAUGCCCUAUAGUACAUACAUGCAAUUCCUUUUUUUUUUUUUUUUUAUUGUUAGGACAUAUGCAUCAUUGGUUGGAAGGAGUAAAGGUAUAGGAAACAAAAAGUCAUAGAUACUACUACUAUUUUAUAUUUAUUCCAAAGAGAAGUCAAAUGAAAUCCUUCUUCAAAAUUACUAAAGAACAAUAAGGAGGCAAGAAAAAAGGAUAGACAGCAAAGCAAAGCAAAAUCAAAGUUCAAACUUUCUUUAAAAAAAAAAAAAAAAAAAAAUUCCCCAAAUGCCCAAUGCCUAAAAUGCAUUAUUUGGGCCGAGUUAAGUAAAGACAAACUAACUCUGGCGGUGGACUAAUCCCCAAGUGAUCCAGCAGCCCCACUCUGGCCUCCCCCUUCCAAUGUUCCUAUUGCAUUUUUUUGCUUUUGGGGGUAACUCCUUGUCUUGUUGAUCAUUGUUUCGCUCCAUCGUCUUUGAUCUUUCCCAUGUCUAGUCUUUCUCAUGCAAUUUUCCAUUCAAUUAACGAAUUCCGGUAAAAGGAAAAACUUUGCAGCACAAGGAAAAUUAUGAAACGUCAAAAUGGUGAAUCAUUCAUUAGUCGCUAAAAAGGAAAUUCGCAAUUUUUUCUCCACUACCUUGGCCUUACAUAAAAGAAGACAUCAGUUAAUCCUUUACCUUUUUCAAUCUGGGCUCAUUAAGUAAAAGUCGGUACCAAAACAAAACCCUCAUGAGUAGAAUAGUAUUGCAGUACAUGAAUUCAAAUGACAUUUCAAGAAUUUUAAAAAUUUCACUCGCAUUCUUGUGAAUUCUAAAAAGUUAAUUUGUAUUAUGAAUUUGGCCUUAAGAAAUUAUUCUGAUAUCAGCUACUUGCCCCUCUUCCCAAGCUUGAGAAUUUGGUAUUCUGUUGAAAUAUUUUUGACAUUUUACUUUUGCCCCACAAAAACUUCAAACCUUCUAUUUCCAAACAUCGAAGUAAAUGAGCCUAAUUAAAUCAAGCACUCGAGUCUUCAAACUUGUCUGUAAAUUCUAAAUAAUUUAAAAUUGUGUUUAAAUUUGGCUUCUUUAUUCAUUGUUUUGAGUUCACGUGAGCUUUUAUCGAAUUUUUCACAUACAAAUUUGUCACUUAAAUUAGUGAGAAAAUAUUUAAUCAAAUCAUUAGAAAUAUCAUAUGUGGUUAUUUAGGCCACACAAAAUAUAUAUUCUAACAUGAUGUCGUCAACCAAGCUUAUAGUUGGACAAUAAGAUACGUGAGAUUUUAUUCUUUGUUAAUCAUCCAUUAUAAGUUCUUUUGUAUUCAUCCAUUACAAUGGAUAGCUUCUAGAUAUAUAUGCUGGAUUAUGCAAGCUAAUGUUCCACAGUCAGGAGCAGCUGUUUCAAAGCCAUUUCUUGGGUUGCCCUUCGGAAACUAACAACACCAGCACAAUCCAUAAGGUCCACUAAAUUUGUUUCAUGUUCUCAUUUUUCGCUUCAGGAGGACAAAAAUAAGAACCACAUCCUGAUUCUCAGGGUUAAAGAGAGAGGAAGACUCUGCGAGUUUCUGCGUAAACAGUUCAAACAAUUCAUCCAUGAUAUCACUUCCAAAUUGUUUCUCUAGAAGUCCCUCUAAUACAGCUCUGUGGUGCAAAGCAAUUCCACAAGGGUUGGACAAAAACUCAUGCUUUCCUGGAAUGCUUAAUUUCUCCAUUCUCUGAACAUUUAGAUGUUCAUUUGCCUUCAUCAGGGUCUUUAUCUCAUUAAGAGAUGUGUAAUAUAGUGGUAUGUUGAACGUAUCCACUUUCAAUUCAUCAACCAGUCCCUGCAAUAAGUGCAUCUUAGUAAUUAAACUACUUUUUUUUUAGCCAAAACCUGCAGUCGAAAUUUGAAGAUAAACUUUGACCAAAACUCAUAUAGUAUAUAGAAAUUAGAGAAACUGUAAAAUUCCUACUCAUGGAUUUGCAACUGCUAUUUUUUAACCUGCAGUCGAAAUUUGAAGAUAAACUUUGACCAAAACUCAUAUAGUAUAUAGAAAUUAGAGAAACUGUAAAAUUCCUACUCGUGGAUUUGCAACUGCUAUUUUUAAGCUGAAGACAUGUUUCAGAAAUUAUGGAACAUAGUUAAUAGCUUAUUCAUGACCAAGGAGGUAUUCCAUUCAUUCUCUACCAUUGCUUUUCUGUUCUGUCCAUGGUUGUUACAAGUAGUAACUUUGACAUAUGAAGCUCACUUCCAUCCAAUACUUUGCACCUUUUUUUCAGCGAAAUAAGUACAUAAGUUUAGAGGGUAAGCACAUAAUAUCAAAAUAAUAUUUUAUACUUGCAAAUAGGAAUGUAAAAUGAGCGAAACUACGUUACACUCGAAUUGAGGUUGAACUGGUAAAAGCUAAUUUGCGCUUAGGUCUCCAAUUAAUCAAACCAAACAUGAACAAUAUUUUGUAUCCAAUAAAAUUUCAAAUCUGAAAUCGAGCUUGGCUGACUUAACAUGGUAUAUGAAAUUUAUAUGUGAAAAAUUUAAUCGAAUUUGACUUGAUAAAAGCUCAUCUAAAUUCAGUGCAAUAAAUAAAUAAAUUAAAUUUAAAUACAAUUUUAAACUCUUUAGAAUAGAUAGACAAGUUUGACAACUUGAGUGCUUGGCUCAAUUAGCUUCAUUCAUAGCCCUAUUUGCAAGUAAAAGUUCUGAAAUUUUUUGCGGGGCAAAUAUAAAAUGUCAAAAAUAUUUCCACAGAAUACCAGAUUCUCAAUUCUCAAGCUUGGGGAGAAGGGCAAUUUCUUAAGGCAAAAUUAUAAUACAAAUAAACUUUUUAAAAUUCAUAAGAGGGCAAAUGAAUUUUUUAAAAUUCUUGAGGGGUGGCUGCCCCUCCCUGCAAAGAUCCGAUCCAACAAAACUCCUGCCCCGCAGGCUCAUAGAAGUGUUAAAAAGAAUUCCAAAUGUCAUUUGAGUUCAAAAAUGAAUAAUUUAACUAUCUAAAACUAUUUAGGAUAUAUUAGAUCAUAAUUCAAAUUUAAUGUUAUUCAAGUGACAAAGAAAAUCAAAAUUCUAUGUUGCAUCCCUGCAUUGAGAUGUAUUCGCAUAGAGUUCUUAGUUGAAGAUCUGAAACUAAUGAAAUCUAACCUUCUUAGCCAAGUCCAUGAGACAAGAUCCUAGAACUUCAUAUCCUUUCUCUGGGACGAUAGUUGUCUGAGAUUCACGGAUGGCAUCAGGGACAGUAGGAAUAACAAGGGCCAUCAACCCUCCAUCGACGAGCUCGUGUGCCCUUGCAUUCAGAAAUGACUCCAGGUCCUUGGCAAAUUGAGAUGCAUAAACCUCAAGAAGUUCCUUUUUGGCCCCUCCGUGGUGAAUCUUUCCUUUGUUCCAUGCAGGGGACGUGUUGUCUGUAACCUCAUUUGGCACAUCUGAAAGCCAGUUAAGCGUGCAAGACGAGUGAGCAAAAUGAAGGGAUGCCUUUGGGAGCAAAACCUUGUGGAAAUCACCAGGCACUCCAGCUGCAAGGUAGUGUCUCUCUGGUGGAAGUGAAGCAAAAAGUGUGUUGAAAUCAUUAGAUAUAUGGUCAUUAAAAAAGACUUGAAACUCAGGGACUUCAGAUGCUAGUCCCUCUUUUCUGAGUUUUUCCUCCAGGGCUUCUCUUAUCGCUUUCAUGGCCACAAAUGUAUUUGGUCCUGUAGAACAGCCAAAAUCUGCUAUUCGAAAUGGAUGCACAGAGGUUGAAGAAAGUUGCUUGACAUCAAGUUCUUUGUCAAUCUCUUCUUUGAUAAGUUCUUUUGCAGCGUCUACUGCUCCUCUCUGCCGCAAAAAAAAAAAAAGAAAAUAAAUAAAAUCUUUACGUAAGUCUUAUAGACCUUAGACAUUUAUAAUGAGGUAAUUGCAAUUUAAACUAGCAACCUGAUAGGAUGAGUUUUGGGCAUAGCUUUGAGGUCCAUUUCCUCCAUUCAUGGCAUAUACUUGAGGCAUUUUUUUCUAUCUAUAUCUCUUCUCUUACCAUGUCUUGAUAUCUCUGCCUGGAUGGUUUAAUUUAUACUAGGCAGAAGCUUAGGAUUAAGUGUUGUCUUUUAGCCCUUUACACGUGAUAGGGUGCAUUUUAGUGGCAUAUUUUGGAUAAUAUUACGUAAUUGUUUGACUAAAUAUUGCACUAAUUGGAUGGAUUUUACUCAGAUGUGGUGUUUGGUAUUAAUUACAGGGAUUGAUGCUGAAAAGUGCUUAAAAUCACAUUUAGAAGGACUUCCUGAUGAGUAGGCGUGCCCACGUCUAACUCCAGCCCUCAGAGCCGGAUCUCCGUGGUUCGUCACACAUGGGGUACUUCAAGCAGUGGAUUCGCUUAAAAAAAUUGAAGAAAUUAAAUUGUAAUAGGUUUCCUUUUAUUUAGGGAGUGUUGGUAUUUAAAUACCAAUUUUUGAAAAGGAGUAAAAACUAGACUUGGGGGAACCGUUUUGUUUUCCUCUCUGGUGGGACCGGCCGAUAACAAGGAAAUCAAUUCCUUCAUUUUCGGCGGCUACCAACGAAAAAGGGGAUUUUGUACUAUGAGUAGGUUUUGGCCUUGGACAUGAUUCGUUUUUUGGUUUUUGCUUUGAAAGACAAUUGAGGAAAAAACAGAGAAAGGCCCAAUGAAAUGGAAGCAUUGAGAUCUAGUUGAUACUUAUCUUAGUUAGACUUCUUCCAAACAUCUAGAGGCUUUGCUUAAGGUAAAAACACUCGCCACUUGUUCACAAACCCGCUCCGCAACGUUCAUUGGCAGUUGAAAUAAGACAUUCUGGUUUCUAGAAGAAGGUUCCUUCAUUGUUGACUUUUUGAAUUGCUUUUCCUGUCUUGGGUUGACCGAAUUGAAUGAACAAGAGAAAGGUUCUCUCGUAUGUUUUUGCAAACCAAUUAGGAGAAAAGCAACAAUUCAGCCGCCAUUGUUGACUAAGGUUCUCUCGUAUGUUUUUGCAAACCAAUUAGGAGAAAAGCAACAAUUGAGCUGCCAUUGUUGACUAUUGGUUCUUGAUUUUUAUUUUUGGUUGACAAAAAUUGAAGGAAAAGCCAGACUCUCUCGUACGCUUGCUUUGGGGAACAAAUUGAGAGCACGAAAUUCCUUGUUCUUUCCUUUCCUGGGUUGACUUGUCACGCCCCAAGCUCGCACGAGUCUGUCACGUGGCAUCCGUCGUAUUCUCAAAUCUCGCUCAAGAAUACAAGGCAUCAUUUAACUAUACUAAACUUUAAAAAUAUUAAAUAAUAUAACUACAUAAAUUGUGGUACAAAUAUCAUAUAAAAGGUAGUCUACAAAUAUUCAAUAAAUUCAUACAUUUAUUCUCUGAUCGAAACAGCGGAAACAGGGUAGAUAAAAUUAACAACUAGAAGCAGUUAGUUCACUUAAAAACUAAUAAAAGUCAUCCUCAGAGUCUUCUACGUAAAUUAAUUCGUACUCUUCAGAAUCUGCAAAGAUGGUAAAAAGUGGGUUGAGCGACAAAUCGUUCAGUAGGUAAUAUCUACCCCUCUGUUGGACCAUAUACUUGUAACUUUAUAGAUACAUAUAUAGAUACCAAUCAAAUCAUUUGUGCAUCGAUCACAUCCAUAAUCUUGAAAGUAACGUCGUUUAUAAAACAAUCAGUAGUAAUGGGUGGCAAGCAAUUUAAAAGUAUCUUAUUAAUACAUGUACAUGAAAAAUCAUAAAGCCAUAAAUCAUCUCGUCUCAAUUCACAAGUCUCUUCAUAUCCAUUCAUAAAUAAAUUCAUAAAUUAGUUCACAAGUUUCAUUUCAGAUCAGUUCAUAAAUCAUUUCGUAUCAACUCAUAACAAGUACAGGUGAUGACUGGCUACUGAGUACUCAACCUAGAGAUUAAACUCCUUCUAAGUAGGUGACCAAUAAGUUUCAUGACUACCGAUUGGUCUCAUUUCAUACAUGGAUCAAUUGGCCGGACUUUAUACCAGGUUACCAUGACCUUGCCAAUCGGUUGGAAUUUAUACCAGACUACCAUGGCUUUGUCAAUCGGCAGGACUCUAUGCCAGACUACCAUGACCUUGCUAAUCGGCCGGACUUUAUACCAGGUUACCAUGACGAUUAGACAGGACUAUAGCCCCUACCGUCUAUUCCAUGACUGUUUUGAACUUUACUUGUCAAAAAUUCAUUUCACACAUCACAUACAUAAAUCUUUGAUUUCAUAAAAGAUUCAACUCGUUUGGUAUAUAAUAACAUUUCAAAACAUUUCAAAUAAGUCACAUGGUCCAUUUUUGUCUAGUAAAAAUAUAACUUUCAUAAAUAUCCAAGUAAAGCAUUUAAUCAAAUAUAUUUCGAGUCAACACAACAAAAUAAGAUUGAAAACAAAAAUUUCAUUUUUGCACCUUUGAAAUCUCAGAAGGGUAAGUACCAGCUAUCUUCGUUUGGUUGCUCGAGUAGAACUACGUUAGAUCUUUUAAAUUGGUACCGUACCUAUCAAAUGUAUAGGUUUCCUAAUUAGUUGAUAUUUCCUAUAGAUACAUGAUAUACAAACUCUGAGUAAGUCGAAAAUUCAUGUCUAGACCACUGUAUGAACCCUAACAGCAUUUCCCCUAAAUUGGACGAUUUCCAUUUUUGGAAAGUUUCCUAAUUUGAAAAGUUUCUAUUUUUAGAAAUUUUCUUAAUUUGGAAAGUUCACCCUUUUUGUAAAGUUUUAUAAUUUAAAAGAAAAUAAUUAUUCCUAAUUAUGGUUAUUAUCUUGACUAUUAUCUUAUUAUACAUAUUUAUAAUUUAUAAUUAUUCAUUAUCAUUAUUAUCGUCCUUGUCGUCGCUACUUUAUUUUAUUACCAUAUAUAUAUAUAUUUGUAUAUUAGUUACUAUUAUCUUUUGCUUUACUUUCACUUUUGUUGUGUAUGUGUAGGUGUUAUAUUAUUUAUAUAAAUAUUGAUUUAUUAUUAUUAUAAUUAUCGUCUUAGUUUAUUCCAUUUUUAUUUAUCUUUUAAUUUAAUUUUCAUUUAUAUCUCUAAUUUAUUUUAUCUAUAUCUAUAUUGUUACUAUUAUUACCAUUAUUAUUAUUAUUAUUAUUAUUAUUAUUAUUAUUACCGUUGGUGUUAUCGUUAGUAUUAUUAUUAUUAUUAUUGUUAUUAUUUUAAGCGUCUCGUUUAACAACUUAGAAUUUAUUUUACAUAGUCUAAAUUAACCUCAUAUGGCUAAAUUAAGAUGUUUUAAAUUUCUAUUUAGGUACUUUAGACUUGAUCAAUUAAAUAAGAUUUCAAAUAAUUAACCCUUCAAUUCUAACGACUACUUUAGAUUGGGUCCUAAAUUUUAAUACCCACAAUAAACCAUAAAAAUGGACUAGUUAUAUUUAAAAUUUAUUUCUUAAACAUCUACUAAAUUUUAUACUAUAGUUUGGUCCAAAUUUAAAUUGCCUCCCUUUUUAUUUAUUAUUAUUUUCCUUAUUAUUAUUAUUAUUUUUUAUUUUUCCUCGAGUAGGACCCGUGGUUUGGCCAACCAUGUCUGACCAUGGUCGCCAGACUCUCUGGCGACCCAAUUCCUCAAUUGGUUGACCGAAAAGGCCAACCAUAAUCUUGUUCAUUGUCGCCAGCACUUGCUGGCGACAUCAUUAUCAUCAUCUCUUUUUUUUUUUUUGGCCUUAGGUUGGCCAAAAGACCAACAUUUGCAAAUUCUUUCUCUGCCGCUAGAGAUGGCGGCCCCCACCCUUCUUUUUUUUUUUUUUUUUGGUGUGUGGCGUUGCAGAAGCAACGCCUAGCCAAAAUAGAGCAGCGGUAGCCGCCACUACUCUUCUCCAUUUUUUUUCCUUUUUUUUUCCACAGAUUCAAUCAUCCUAUAAUCCCAAAAUUAAAAUCUAACACCCUAUCUAUUAAUCCGGAUAUGAAUCUUCCUAAAAACGUAUUUAUCUACACAUAUGCAGCAACAAUACAUAUCUGUAAAAUUCCUAGGGCAAUUAAUGCAACUAUUAAAACUUAAAAGAAAAGUUUUGCGUGAACUCAGGACUUACAAGUUCAGAUACCUAGUUAUCUGAUCGAUUGACAGCGUCGCCUGCUUCUCCUUCUCUACUCUCCGACGACUCUUGCUCUAGGGAGGCAGACGAAAGAAGGGUGAGAGUGGUGUUAUUUUUCUGUCUAGGGUUUCACUAAAAUUCUAAACCUAGCUCUAGCUACUAGUAGGUGGUUUGGAUAAAAGUUUUAGUUUAUUAGGAACCCUUAUCCCAUCCUAUAGUUAUUUUAUUUUAUUUUAUCUAGUAAUUUUAUCUUUUUAAUUAAUUGAAAAAAUAAAAUAAAAUAACAAAAAUAGGUGCCCAAAAAUCGUGGGUUUUACAUUCUACCCUCCUUACAAAGAGUUUCGUUCUCGAAACUUACGUACCUUGAUAAAAAGAUAGCGAUGUCUAUUCCGCAUGUCUUCUUCUAACUCCUACAUUACCUCUCGUGGUGUAUGGUUCGUCCAUUGCACUUUCACGUAGGGUAUAGUUGUUUUCCUUAGGACUUGAUUCUUAUGAUCCACGAUUCUCAAAGGAACUUCCUCCACUGAUAAGUUCUCCCUCACCUCGAUGGGUUGUCCUCCAAAAUAUGGUUUGGGUCAGAUACAUACUUCUUCUGUUAAGAGACAUGAAAAACAUUAUGUAUCCUCGAUAGCACAAGUGAAAAGGUCAGUCGACAUGCUAAAGGUUCCACUCUCUCUAGUAUUUCGUAAGGUCCUAUAUGUCUUGAACUUAACUUACCACUCCUUCCAUAUCUCAUCACUCCCUUGGUGGGGGAUACUUUCAAAUAUACCCUUUUCUUCCUGUUGAAAUGCUAAAGGCCUCCUCUUUGAAUCCGUCCAACUCUUGUUUCGAUCCUGAGUUACUUUUAAUUUUCCUUGAAUAAUUUUAAUUUUCUCUAAAGUUCCUUCCACCAAAUCGAGGCCAGUGAUCAGUUUCUCACCUACUUCGUCCCAAUAUAAGUGAGAUCUACCCUUUCGCCCAUACAGCUUUUCAAAUGGUGCCAUACCUAUCCUGGUAUGAUAGUUAUUAGUGUACAAAAACUCCAUUAGUUUCACCAUCCUAUCCCAACUAUCCGAGAAGUCUAGAACACAAGCUCUUAGCAUGUCCUCCAAUGUCUGUACAAUUCUUUCUAACUAUCCAUUCAUUUGGGGGUGGAAGGCGGUAUUUGAUCUUAGGUAUCAAUCCCUAUAAUCUGUUGGUAGGGCGACCAAAAUCUAGACGUGAAUCUAGGAUCCCGGUCCGACACUACUUUCGCAAUUCAUUUUUAAACUAGAUAUCACAUUCUCUCCCCUUUUAAAGGUUUCAUCCUCGAAAUCUAAAAGACAUAAACAUCAAGAUAAGUUGACAAAAUUUCCAAUGUCCAAAUUAGAUUUUCCCAUUUAAUUCUAUCAGACUUCUGCUGCACACUCUUAUUUUUCUUAAUACCUUCCAUGUUCAUAUUUUUAUAACUCAAAUGAACAUAAUCUCUCUCACAAAUCCGGCGUUCUAAAUAUCGGUUUAGAAUACUCCAUAGAGAUCAACCUAUAAGAAGGAUGCCAUAAACACUAAUAGUACCAUUUCUUCUUUUGUCACACAUUCUAUCACAACAUACUUAUCUACUAUCACAAAAAGUAAUCAUUAUCUCAAUAUAUGAGUUCCUACCCAAUGUGUUUGUAAUUGGUAACGGAAAUCUCUUAUUUCUCUCAAAUCUCAAAUCUAAAAUAGCAUCACACCUAAUUUCAGAUCCUAUAACCUGAGUUAUUAUACCACUAAAUGUCAUGGGAAUCUUACUUAUUAUCAUUUUUUUUCUAACCUAGCUCAAUUCAAUUUCCGAAAACAUUAAUAUCUCAAAUAUCAUUUCACAAACUUCUUGAUCAUACAAAAAUAUAGAAAAUUUUUUCAAAAAAUUAUCACCAAAUUUUCAUAUUGGAAUAUAACAACUUUAUCAUAACUUUGGUAAAGUAUUUAUCUAUGUGUAAAAUUUCAAACUCAGUAAAGUUUAGAAACAUACUAGUGUUUGAAAUACAUAAGCCAACUAACUAUACUUCUUACAGCAUUAGAAUUUAGAGUACAAAGAGAAUUUAUCAAGAAUUAUUGUUAGAUUUUUCUAUACGAUAAGAGAAAAUAUUUUUUUUUGUAGAAUACUUUUAUCUAAAGCUCUUUUUUUGAGAUUGGAUGAGUAUAAAAAAAAAUAUUUUGCACAAGAUUGUAGGAUAUAAUUAUUCAAUGUAUUUAUUCUUUUUUUUUUAUAGUUAUAUACAUAUAUAUAUUUAGAAACUAUAUUUACCAAGCAACUGUGAGGUAAGGUACAUAUUAAAAAAAUUCUGAUUAAAAACUAUUUGUGCAAUUAAAAUUUUGGUUUCACCGUUUAUUCACUUUUAAGUAAAAAGUAUGUAAAAUUAUAUAUUGUAAGAAAUUUAUGAAAUAUGUAUUGCCUGAUCAUGACGUAAUAAUUCCAGAACUAAUAAUAUCCACUAAUUUAAUAAAUAUCUUGAGCAUUAGAUCUAAUUAUUAUAAACCUCAAAAUAAGUCAACAAAAUUCCAAGAUCCAACGUGUAUUGCUUGCGUUCGAUGACAUCAUAUUGUUGAUCAUUCAUACUUUCGUUGUGCACUCUAAUUUCCUCAACAUUUUCAGUUGUCUCUAUACUAGACUUCAACUAGACAUUAGAUUAUCUAUAAAUCUGACAUCUUAAAUGAUAAACUUAGAAAUGUACUAUAGAAAUCAAAACUGACAAAAAGAACACCAUAAAUACCCCUUUUUUUUUUGUAAGUAUCAAUCAUAUCUGACAGGUGAGCUUGGUUACCUUUUCAACUUAACAUAUACAUAUAGUCACCACUUACUUACUAAAAGUAAUCAUCAUCUCAAUACCUGAGGUCAUUCCAGUAAAUUCGUAAUCUAAAAUUCUAAUACCAUUAAAUGUUAUGGAGUCACUUAUUUUCUUUUAAUCCCUUAUCCAUUUCAUUCCAAUUCUCAAAAUCACAAAUAUCUUCAGUAGCUUUACACCUACUUCCAAUUAUCACAACUUGAGCUUUGAUACUACAAAAAAAUCACAGCAAUCUCUUACUUCUUUUGAUCUAUUUUUCCAUCUCCUUUCAAUUUACAACAGACAAUACUUCAAAUACACAUAAUAUUUCCUACACGUCCGACAUCUUAAACGUAUAGUGUACUACCAAAAUUACAUCCAAUAAAAGGACAUCAUAAACACCAAUCGUACCAUUUCAACUAUUCAUACAUGCAAAUUUUCAAACCUAUUUAUUUAGUCACAAUUGAUCAUUUCCUAGGGUAUACUUCAUCUAAAGAGUAAAUCGUACCUCAUGCUUUGUUAUUACUAAAUAUUAUAAAAAUCUCUUAUUUCACAAUCUUCUAUCCAACCUCAUUCCCAUUUUCUAAAAUCACUAAUAUUACAAAUAUCAUUCAACAUACAUCUAGAUCGCAUAACCUAAACUUUGAUAACAUUAAAAAUCACAUGAAUCUCUUAUUUCCUUUAAUCAUCUUUUCCUUUUCAUCUCAUUUCAAUUCUCAAAACCCCUAAUACCUCAAAAAUCAUUUCACAUACUUUCGGACCAUAUAACCUAAGCUCUGAUACCACUAAAAAUAUCACGCCCCGAACCCGCACGUGCCCGUCACAUGGCAUCGGCCGUAUUCUCAAAUCCCGCUCAAGAAUACAAGGCAUCAUUUAACUAUACUAAACUUUAAAAGUAUUAAAUAAUAUAACUACAUAAAGUGCGGUACAAAUAUCAUAUAAAAGAUAGUCUACAAAUAUCCAAUAAAUUCGUACAUUUAUUCUCUGAUCGAAACAGCGGAAACAGGGUUGAUAAAAUUAACAACUAGAAGUAGCUAGUUCACUUAAAAACUAAUAAAAGUCGUCCUCAGAGUCUUCUACGUAAAUCAAUUCGUACUCUUCAGAAUCUGCAAAGAUGGUAAAAAGUGGGUUGAGCGACAAAUCGCUCAAUAGGUAAUAUCUACACCUCUGUUGGACCAUAUACUCGUAACUUUAUAGAUACAUAUAUAGAUACCAAUCAAAUCAUUUGCGCAUCGAUCACAUCCAUAAUCUUGAAAGUAACGUCAUUUAUAAAACAAUCAGUAGUAAUGGGUGGCAAGCAAUUUAAAAGUAUCUUAUUGACACAUGUACACGAAAAAUCAUAAAGCCAUAAAUCAUCUCAUCUUAAUUCACAAGUCUCUUCAUAUCCAUUCAUAAAUAAAUUCAUAAAUCAGUUCACAAGUCUUAUUUCAGAUCAGUUCAUAAAUCAUUUCGUAUCAGCUCAUAACAAGUACAGGUGAUGACCGGCUACUGAGUACUCAACCUUGAGAUUAAGCCCCUUCUAGGUGGACGACCAAUAGGUUUCAUGACUACCGAUUGGUCUCAUUUCAUACAUGGGUCAAUCGGCCGGACUUUAUACCAGGCUACCAUGACCUUGCCAAUUGGCCGGACUUUAUACCAGGCUAUCAUGACUUUGUCAAUCGGCCGGACUCUAUACCAGACUACCAUGACCUUGCCAAUCGGCCGGACUUUAUACCAAGUUACCAUGACGAUUAGAUAGGACUAUAGCCUCUACCGUCUAUUCCAUGACUAUUUUGAACUUUACUUGUCAAAAAUUCAUUUCACACAUCACAUACAUAAAUCUUUGAUUUCAUAAAAGAUUCAACUCAUUUGGUAUAUAAUAACAUAUCAAAACAUUUCAAAUAAGUCACAUGGUCCAUUUUUGUCUAAUAAAAAUAUAACUUUCAUAAAUAUCCAAGUAAAGCAUUUAAUCAAAUAUUUUUCGAGUCAAUACAACAAAAUAAGAUUGAAAACAAAAAUUUCAUUUUUGCACCUUUGAAAUCUCAGAAGGGUAAGUACCACCUACCUUCGUUUGGUUGCUCGAGUGGAACUACGUUAGAUCUUUUAAACUGGUACCGUACCUAUCAAAUGUAUAGGUUUCCUAAUUAGUUGAUAUUUCCUAUAGAUACAUGAUAUACAAAUUCUGAGUAAGUCGAAGAUUCAUGUCUAGAUCACUGUAUGAACCCUUACAGCAUUUCCCCUAAAUUGGACGAUUUCCAUUUUUGGAAAGUUUCAUAAUUUGAAAGUUUCUAUUUUUAGAAAUUUUCUUAAUUUGGAAAGUUCACCCUUUUUGUAAAGUUUUAUAAUUUAAAAGAAAAUAAUUAUUCCUAAUCAUGUUUAUUAUCUUGACUAUUAUCUUAAUAUACAUAUUUAUAAUUUAUAAUUAUUCAUUUUCAUUAUUAUCGUCCUUGUCAUCGCUACUUUAUUUUAUUACCAUUUAUAUAUAUAUAUAUUUGUAUAUUAGUUACUAUUAUCUUUUGCUUUACUUUCACUUUUGUUGUGUAUGUGUAGGUGUUAUAUUAUUUAUAUAAAUAUUGAUUUAUUAUUAUUAUAAUUAUCGUCUUAGUUUAUUCCAUUUUUAUUUAUCUUUUAAUUUAAUUUUCAUUUAUAUCUCUAAUUUAUUUUAUCUAUAUCUAUAUUGUUAUUAUUAUUACCAUUAUUAUUAUUAUUAUUAUUACCGUUGGUGUUAUCGUUAUUAUUAUUAUUAUUAUUAUUAUUAUUAUUAUUAUUAUUAUUAUUAUUGUUAUUAUUUUAAGCGUCUCGUUUAACAACUUAGAAUUUAUCUUACAUAGUCUAAAUUAACCUCAUACGGCUAAAUUAAGAUGUUUUAAUUUUCUAUUUAGGUACUUUAGACUUGAUCAAUUAAAUAAGAUUUCAAAUAACUAACCCUUCAAUUCUAACGACUAUUUUAGAUUGAGUCCUAAAUUUUAAUACCCACAAUAAAUCAUAAAAAUGGACUAGUUGUAUUUAAAAUUUAUUUAUUAAACAUCUCCUAAAUUUUAUAUUAUAGUUUGGUCCAAAUUUAAAUUGCCUCCCUUUUUAUUUAUUUUUAUUUUCCUUUUUAUUAUUAUUAUUUUUAAUUAUUUUUCCUCGAGUGGGACCCAUGGUUUGGCCAACCAUGUCUGACCAUGGUCGCCAGACUCUCUGGCGAACAAUUCCUCAAUUGGUUGGCCGAAAAGGCCAACCAUAAUCUUGUUCGUUGUCACCAGCACUUGCUGGCGACAUCAUCAUCAUCUCUCUUUUUUUUUUUUGGCCUUAGGUUGGCCGAAAGACCAACCUUUGCAAAUUCUUUCUCUGCCGCCAGAGAUGGCGGCCCUCACCCUUCUUCUUUUUUUUUUUUUUGGCCAAAACAGAGCAGCGGCUUCUCCAUUUUUUUUCCUUUUUUUUUUUCACAGAUUCAAUCAUCCUAUAAUCCCAAGAUUAAAAUCUAACACCCUAUUUCUAUUAAUCCGGAUAUGAAUCUUCCUAAAAACGUAUUUAUUUACACAUAUACAGCAACAAUAUAUAUCUGUAAAAUCCUUAGGGCAAUUAAUGCAACUAUUAAAAUUUAAAAGAAAAGUUUUGCGUGAACUCGGGACUUACAGGUUCAGAUGCCUAGUUAUCUGAUCGAUUGAUGGCGUUUGCUUCUUCUUCUCUACUCUCCGACGACUCUUGCUCUAGGGAGGCAGACGAAAGAACGGUGAGAGUGGUGUUAUUUUUCUAUCUAGGGUUUCACUAAAAUCCUAAACCUAGCUCUAGCUACUAGUUGGCGGUUUCGAUAAGAGUUUUAGUUUAUUAGAAACCCUUAUCCUAUCCUAUAGUUAUUUUAUUUUAUUUUAUUUUAUUUUAUCUAGUAAUUUUAUCUUUUUAAUUAAUUGAAAAAAUAAAAUAAAAUAACAAAAAUAGGUGUCCAAAAAUCGUGGGUUUUACAUGAAUGAUUCGAGAAACAAGAAUUGAUGGCUCCUGUCACAUAUAUUCGCAUGGGCCGCUCUCUAAUUAUGGAGAACUAAAUCCCUAAUUCUAGUCAAGGGGGCAACUGACGAUUUGGUUCGCCAAUUACAGUGAGAUCUAAAUCGCUUUUGAUUAUUUUUUUUCAUUUAUUGGUAUUUAUAUGUUUCCUACUAUUAAUUGUUAUAACUCUUGUGUAUGAUUGAUUAGUGCGUAAUAAUUAAUUAUUUAUAUAGGCUAUUUUGUUAAUUAGGGGUAAUUGAAUCCGUAAUGUUCGAUUCCAUCUCAGUAAUAACUGGCGUAAUUGGAUUUAUGUCAGAGAAUCAUACAAUCUAAUUUAAACAAACUCUCAUAGCGUGUUUGUUGGUUAGAAUUGGAUUUUUCUAAUUAUUAAUACAAUCUAGAAAUUAAAUCCUACGGCCGUAACUAAAACUAUUUUCGGGUUAGAGAAAUAGUUAACGGUAGUACUUUAACUAUCGAGAAAUUAAGGAAAUGUUGGUUGUUUAUCGCGUGCAAGACAACUAUAACCAAUCUAUUAAUAAAUAUGAAAUUAUCUGUGAAUCGAUGAUCAGUGUAUGAACCAUUUUUGAAGUGUACCUUUGGUUAGAGUUUUCCUAAUUAUUUCUUUUAAUUAAUUAAUUUCUAUAUUUGAUUUAUUUAAUUCAUUAGCAUAUAAUCUCAAAGCCCCUAUUUAUCCUGACUCGAAAGGAAAUAAAUUUCUCCCCAUUCCCUGAGGAGACGAUCCUACUUGCCACUGUCUAUUAGUUAGUGAAUUUUAGUCAAAUAAUUAAUUCGAGUAUAUUAAAUUCAGCAAACUCUUCGGGAAUAGGGUAAAUCAAGUAACCCAUUGCAUACCUAGAAUCCCUACUCCAGUAUCUAAAAUUAAUUAUUGACUACUUUUGGUAGUAGUUAGGUUUUUAUUUACUAUUAUUGCACAGGUUCGACACCUGUAAUUUUUUGGCGCCGUUGUCGGGGAACUGGCGUUCGAAUUAUUUAUUUCUUUUUUAAUUCAGUUUUUUUUAGUAUUUUUGUUAGUUUAUGCCUCGUUCUUCUCGCACAAAUGAAUUGAUAUACGACCCUGAGAUUGAGAAGGCAGCGCAUAGGUAAAGACAAAAGACCAGGAGACGAAAAGAAGAGCAAUCAUCUAUUACUAACGAGUCAGUAGAGGACGAUUAUAGCAUGGCAAACAACCAAACACUAUGGGAGUUGACUGCCCCGGAAUUGACUCACCAGCCCUUGUGCAUUACAUUCCCAACUUUGGCUGAGAAUAUCGCCUUCGAGUUGAAGUCGGGGUUGAUUCACUUCUUACCCUCAUUCCAUGGUUUCUCUGGUGAAGAACUCCACAAACACGUCAAGGAGUUCGAAAUGGUUAGCUCUAACAUGAAACCUCCUGGGGACACUGAAGAGCAAAUUAAAUUAAGAGCUUUUCUUCUCUCUCAAGGAUGUAGUUAAAGAUUGGCUAUACUACCUACCCGUAGGUAGUAUUACCACAUGGGUACAGUUGAAAAGAAAUUUUUAGAAAAAAUUCUUCCCUGCAUCCCGAGCUAUGAGUCUGAGGAAGGAGAUAUGCAUCAUUAAAUAGUAUCCCGAGAAGUCCUUGUAUGACUAUUGGGAAAGGUUCAAUAAAUUGUGUACUAGAUGUCCGCAGCAUCAAAUUAGUGAACAACUAUUAAUCCAGUACUUCUAUAAAGGGCUCCAGUUAACUGACAGAAGUAUCAUUAACGCUGUGAGUAGAGGAGCACUGGCAAACAAGACAUCGAAGGAAGCGUGGGAGCUUAUUGAAGCCAUGACAGAAAACUUUCAGCAAUUUGGCUUCUGUGAGAGCAACCCUACCUGUAGGGUCAACGAGGUAGAGACGUCAUCUAUUCAGCAGCAAUUGUCAGAGCUGACAUCUGUUGUUAGGCAAUUAACCAUGGAGAAUACGCAGCGAGCGAAGGUUUGUGGAAUCUGUACAAGUAUGGACCACUGUACUGACACAUGUCCCCUUUUGCAAGAGGUUGGGGCGGAACAGGUAAAUAUGACCGGAGACGUGCCAGCGCCCCGUAGGCAGUAUGGCCCAUACUCCAACACGUAUAACCCCGGUUGGAGAGACCAUCCCAAUUUCAGCUAUGGGAACAGGCCACAAAAUUCAUUCUCUAAUCGUCCACCAGGGUUUCAGCAACCAUGGCAACCAAAGUCUCAACCUUCAUCCUCCAAUUCAGGAAGCUCUUUGGAGGAUAUUGUCAAGAGUCUGGUCACGACUACCACUCAACUCCAACAAGAAACUAGAUUCUUGGUUACGAUUACUGCUCAACUCCAGUAAGAGACUGGAUCCUUGGUCACGAACACUACUCAGUUCCAGCAGGAUACCAGAGCAGGCAUGAAAGACAUGGAGACUCGAAUGAGUCAAAUGGCAACUGUCAUUAAUCGCGUGGAAUCCCACGUUUAUGAAAAAUUGUCUUCGCAACCCGAGACAAAUCUCAAGAAUGUAAGUGCCAUGACAUUGAGAAGUGGUUAGGAAGUGAAGGGACCUAAAGUGAAAUAUCCGAAAAGCAAAAGUGAGGAGGAGAUAGAAAAAGAGAUUGAAAAGGAAGGACGCAUUCGCGAAGACCCUAAGGUAACAUUCACUCCUUCACCCCCUAUUAAAUCUAACUUAUCUCUUUUUCCUUACAGGUUGGAAAAGACAAAGAAGGUAGAGAAGGAAAAAGAACUUUUGGAUGUGUUCAGAAAAGUGGAGAUCAAUAUCCCCUUGUUAGAUGCAAUCAAGUAGAUAUCGAAGCACGCCAAAUUUUUAAAAAAUUUGUGCACCCACAAAAGAAAACUAAGGGGUGAAAAAAGAGUGACGGUGGGAGAAAAUGUGUUGGCUAUAUUUCAAAUGAAACUCUCUCCCAAGUGUGGAGACUCAGGUAUGUUCACCAUUACAUGUAAAAUAGGGGAUACCCCAAUUAGAAAAGCGAUGUUGGAUUUAGGAGCGUCAAUUAAUGUUAUACCCAAAACUAUUUAUGUCUCUGUAAAUCUUGAGCCAUUAAAAGGCACAAGUAUUAUAGUCCAACUGACGGACCGUACCAAUGUUUAUGCAGAGGGGUGAGUUAAAGAUGUUUUGAUCAAAUUUUUAUAUUCUAGAUAUAGGGGAUGAAAGGUCAUUAAAUCCGUCACUUAUGUUGCUAGGUAGGUCAUUUUUAAACACUGCUAGGACAAAAAUAGAUGUGAAUGAGGGUAUUUUACCAAUAGAGUUUGAUGGUGAAAUUGUAAAUUUUAAUAUUUUUGAUGCGAUGAAAUACCCGGAGGAGGCUAACUCUGUUUUUGCUUUAAGUGUUAUUGAGUUUCUUGUACAGGAAACAUUUGAAUUGGAUGGGAAAGAUGCAGUGGAAGUGGCUUUGAUCAAACAUCUUGAGUUGGGAGUAACUCUUGAUGCAGAAAUAAGUGAUGAGUUGUACGUUGCGGUUGAAACUCUGUAUUCACUCCCGCCAAUUUCUCCGAGGUAUGAGUUUACUUCCCUCUUUGCACUAGAAACUCAGACGAAAUUGUUGCCUUCUAUUGUGUAGGCACCUGAGUUGGAGCUUAAACCUCUCCCAAAACACUUGAAGUAUGCAUUUCUUGGGGACAAGGAAACACUAUCGGUCAUCAUUUCUGCACACCUGUCACCGAAGUAAGAAGAUAACCUGAUUCAUUUUCUUCGAGAUUAUAAUGAGGCAAUUGGAUGGAGCAUAACAGACAUUAAAGGAAUCAGUUCGUCCUUAUGCAUGCACUGGAUACGGCUUGAGAAAAAUGCAAAGCCGGUAAGACAGGUGCAACGAAAAUUAAACCCACUGAUGAUGGAGGUAGUAAAGAAGGAGAUACUCAAACUCCUGGAAGUAGGAAUCAUCUUCGCCAUCUCAGACAGCCCGUGUGUAAAUCCCGUUCAAGUAGUUCAGAAAAAGGCGAAAGUGACUGUUAAAGAGAAUCAGGAGGACGAGAUGGUCCCAGUAAGGAAACCCACAGGAUGGCGCCAGUGCAUCGACUACCAGUGACUGAAUGCCGUGACGAAAGAGGAUCACUUCCCUCUUCCGUUUGUUGAUCAGAUGAUAGAAAGAUUGGCUGGUCGUAAUUAUUAUUAUUUUCUUGAUAAUUUUUCAGGGUACUUCUAGAUCGCGAUAGCAUCGGAGGAUCAGAAGAAAACUACAUUCACCUACCCAUUUGGUACAUUUACCUACUAGAGGAUGUCUUUCGGCCUCUGCAAUGCUCCGAUGACUUUUCAAAGGUGCAUGGUAAGUAUCUUUUUCGAAUAUGUAGAAAAGAUUAUUGAGAUGUUUAUGGAUGAUUUUAGUGUAUAUGGGGAUAGUUUUGAGAAAUGCCUUAAUAAUUUAGUUUUAAUUUUGAAACGGUGCAUAGAGACAAAUUUAGUUCUUAAUUGAAAAAAAUGUCACUUCGUGGGGGAGUAUGAUAUUGUUUUAGGAUAUGUAGUUUCGGUUAGGGAAAUAGAAGUAGAUAAAGCAAAAGUCGACCUUAUUUCUGCUCUACCUUACUCCGUGAGUGUACGAAAAGUGCGUUCCUUUUUAGGUCAUGCAGGGUUCUAUGGGAGAUUCAUCAAAAACUUUUCAAAGAUUGGAGCCCCCUUAUUCAAAUUGUUGCAAAAGGACAUAACAUUUGACUUCACCAAUGAGUGCAAAGUAGCCUUUGAUAAAUUGAAUGGGUCAUUGACAUCACCGCCUGUCAUUCAACCCCCAGACUGGAGUCUCCCAUUCGAAAUAAUAUGUGACGCGAGUGACUAUGCAGUGGGAGUAGAAAAGAGAAGAUGAUUUUAUUAAGGUUCGGCAGGGAACUUUGAGUAUAGUUGAGUAUGAAACCCAAUUUACGAAUUUGUCUAAAUUUGCUCCUGAACUGCUAGCUACAGAGCAAAGAAGAGUUCGGAGGUUUGUGCAAGGGCUCAAUGUGGAGAUACAAGAGGCCUUAGCGGUGGCCCAAAUUAAUACAUUUACAGAGGUCUUGGAGAAGGCCCAACGAAUAGAAAUUGUUAGGGCACAAGUGAGAGUUUUUCAUGCAAAAAGGAUAGGUGUGCCUGGUGGAAGUCAAGGGCAAGAACAAGGUGAUUUAGACAUGUCUCCCUCUAAGAUGGGUCGAGGAGAUGGUGGUGAGAAAAUUUCAGGGACAUCUAAGGAAAUUACUCCAGGAGGAGCCUCGCGUGGCCGGGAGCAAGUAAGAGGUGCCUCACAAGAAGGUUAAACUCGAGUAUCUUGUGGGUACUGUGGGAAGGCCAAUUAUACGGAGAAUGAUUGUUGGCGAAAGGCAGGAAAAUAUUUAUGGUGUGGUAGUGCCGAGCACCAGCUUGUAACUUGUCCCCGUAGGUCACACCUAAAUCCUGAACAAGCAAAUGUAGGAGGGAAUAAGCCAAGAGUGCCAGCUAGAGUGUACGCCUUGGACCAACAGGCAUUGCCUGAACCAUCGGAGAUAGUAGAAGGUAGAAUGGAUAUACUAUUGUUGUUUAGUCUCAAAGAGAAUAUUACGGUUUCUUUAUUUUAUUGUUUUGUUUUACAGACUAGAAACCCUAAAUUCUAGAAAUAAAGUCUAAUCAAAACCCUAGUUUCAUUUGUGACUGACCAUUUUCUCAAAUUUCUCAUAUUUCAACCGAAACCCUAAUUUUAAUCACUGGAAUUGUAAAACCCCUCACGUUUUCUCGAAAAUGUACUUUUAAUUGAAAAUUAUGAUUUUAUAAUAACCCUACCACCCAAUCACCUCACAAUAAGUGCAAAUGAACAUGAAAGUAAAGGGUUUCACUUUUCAUUUUCAAGUUGGAGCGAGUUAGAUUUUUCACGUUUUUCCGUCGUGUAAUUAUCCGGUAUGGAGCGAGGAUCAAAUUUGGUGUUUAAGAGUGACUUUGGGUGAGAAAUAAUAUGUGAUUAGAAAAAAUGAUAAAAAGUUAGUGAAUAGGAAAUAAAAACCCUAGUACGUGUGAUUUAAGAAAAAACGGUGUGAACCGACGUGUACCGUGCACUACCGAUUGGACACACCGCUUGACCACCACUUUCUUACCAUAUAAGCUCAUUAAUAUUUGAGCAAAAUAUCUCCUUAUUUUCAGCUAAUUUUGACCGAAAUUUAGGGCUAAAAAUGCAAGGAAAGAAAAAGAAAUUUUUGUUGGAUUUGGUGGUGACAAGUGUCACACCCCUAUGGCUCCUUGACCAAGCCAAGUCCAACCUUCUUAUCAUUUUGUUGGCUUCAUUUUCACUGCAUUUUUCUGCUAGUUGGCCGAGACAAGAGAGGGGGAAAGAGAGAGCAAGAGUUUCACCAUUUCAUCUUGAUUUGCACCAUCCAAGUGAGGAACCAAAAUUCUAAACCGAUUAAAGUUUGAGUUGUGAAUUUGGGAAGCUAAGGGAACCAAAAAUUCCAAGAGGAGGUGAAGUAUUACUCUUGCAAACUUCUUUUGUUGAGGUAUAAGGUCUAACCCAUAACUUUGGUUCUUUUAUUUUUGAUUAAGAUGUUAUAUAAUUCAUGUUUUGGUUAGAUUAGUUGUGACACAAGUUGUUGUGAUGAUUUUUAAGGUAAUAUAUGUAAGUUAGGGUUUGAUGAUUUCUGCCUAUAUUUGCUAUAUGGAUGAUAUAUGUUGUAUCCAAUUUUAUAUAAGUAAUUGUGGUAGUGAUUGAAGCAAGAAAUGAAGAAAGUUUCCUUUGAAAAUGAAAAAUUUCAGAUUUCUGGAAAAUUUGACUUCAGUUCUGUCCGAUUCUAGUUCGUGAUGUUAGAGGCCGAUUUAAGCUUAGCAUAAAACAUGAAAGUUGUAGAGAAUGAUAUUUUAUAAAUGCCUACAAAUUUUCAACUCAAUCGGAGCAACGUAGCCUGUGAAAAGAUCAAAAUAUCCUCGCUGUCCUAGGAUGUUUCCAGUGAUCUGUUUUAGACAGUUCAUCUAGUUGACUGUGUCUAAUCACUAUGAUCCGUGCUGUUUUAGCCAUUGGCCAAAACAUCAAAGUUUUAGUAUUCUGUCUUACUUUUCAACGCCUCUAAGAACGCCUUAAACGGAUUUUAGUAGCCUGAGAUAUGACCAUUUAAAUGUAGUACGGUUAACUAGCCGGUUAGUUGGAAGUUGGUUCUGUGAAUUGGGAAUUUGACUGGGUUACACUGGAAAUUUGACUAAGUGAUCUUCAUGAAAGUUGUAGGCCUUCGACUUAGUUUCGAAACGGUAUAAGUUGCAGUCCAAUCCGAUAAGUGUAGUCUCGGAUGUGUCCAUUCCGUAAAAAUCCGUCAAAUCUAUCUUUUGUUAAAUUUCAUUUCCGCACUUGUUAUUAGUUUGAUUUUUGUCCUUGUAUUGUCUUGAGUCUAUGGAACGGCUAUUGAAAUGAAUUUGUGUUGUGUAUAAACUUGGGUUUGUUUGAGGGAAAUAAUGAAGCCAUAAAUGGCUGGAAAUAGGAAAAUACAAAGGGCAUGCUACCCAAAUUUACGCUCGAGGACUAGAGAAAUACACUUGCGACUUGGGUAAAAUUGAUAAAUGAAUAUCACUUGAACCAUCUAGAACUUUUACUACUUUGGUUAUCGAGGGUUAUACGUUAGAAUCUAGCCGAACUUGUACCCUUGAGAAAUAAAAUAAUGAUUGCUCGGAGCAUGUUUUCCUUGUACUUUUGAUUCAAAUGGUAUUUUCAAAUAUAAAUGUUACAAAGUUAUACAGUUUGAAAAGCGAGUGAGUGUUUAACGAAUAUUCUCCAAGUGAAUUUCCAUUUCUUGAUUCUUAUUGAACGAAACGUCUAAGUUUCGAAUCUUAGUCAAUUUUUAAAGUUCUGAAACAAAGUUUUAUCGCAGAUUUGAACUCCGAACCCGGAGUAUAACCCAGACGUGAUUACUAGGGGCACUUCAUUUUGGUGAGUGCUUCCAAAUACUUGAUUGAACUGGACACUUGUUUCCAAUACUUGAUCAAUAUGAUUAAAUGAUAUAUGAUUGGUUUGAUCGGGUAAGAGUAUACUUUAUCGCACUUGCCCUUAUUUGAUAUAUACUUGUUUAUUGUUGAAAUUGAAUUGAUAUACUUGUUCAUAUUGUGCGCACUUCCUGAAAUUUCAGAAAUCCCGUGGCAAAUUACUCGAGUCGAGCCGGUAGGGGUUUGGUUGAUUGGGUAACAAACCCUGGGUCUCUUGAUUGUCGAGUGGAGUGAUAUCUUCUCGACUAAUCGGUAUACUCGAGUAUUAUCACUCGUGUUGCUUGAGGAUUUUGGGCCCAAUAGAGGGUUUGAAUGGUGGACGGAGAGUAGCGUAAGUGGUGCUCUAUUGGAUUGGUUCCUUUACUUGAAAGUUGACGGAGUGUCAACUAUUACGUGAUCAAGCUCCUGAUGAUGAAUGGAAGUUGGCUCUUGAAAGCCUUCCGUAUCCUUAUGCUUUGGAUUGAUUCUUGCUUAUUGGAUUAUUGUUUAUUCUGAAAAACUUUUACAGUCGCUCAUUUUGAGAUUGCUAUUUGAUGUGUUAUUGCUCACUUUUAUGAACUCUUCAUACUCGUUACUUUGUUAUAUCAAAAACUUGUACUUAUAAAUAAUGGUCAAUUUACUAUUCGAAAUCUCACUGGAUUUUUAGCUUAUACCACGCCAUUUAUUUUCCUUACAGGGGUACGAGCGAGGCGUGAGACGUGUACAGACUAGCGUAGUCUAGUUAUUUUGAAUUUUGUAAUUGUACUCGCACUAGUCACUCGAUUAGGAUUGAAUGUACUGAGAAUUUAACUCUUUUGAUGUAUUUGGGACUGUAUGGAUGAUUGGGAUAGAAAUGAAUGUAUUCAUAUGUUCCAAACUUGGGGACCGUUAUUUCAUUUAUUAUUGAAAUUGAACCUUAUUUUAAUUGAUGCGAGUGAGUGAGUCAUGACGAGAGUUGGGCAGGCGGUCCACCGAACCCUUUGGUUCGCCCUAGGAGGAGGUGUGGCCGUCACAGGUGGUAUCAGAGCUCCUAUUGAGCCCGUGCCGGGAGAGGGUUAUCGGACUGUGGGGAUUGACUUGUUAAGUGUGGAAUGAUUGUCUAUUAUUAGGGACCUUAGAUAUGUAUGUUGGGUAGGAAUCUCUAAUACGGGUGAUUUGCUCUUGAGCCUGGCCAGCUUGUGUGGUGAAUUAUCAUAUUUUCGGAUUCUUGUCCCCGAGUACCAAAGAGUGAUAUCUUUACGAUAAGUUGAGAUCUCGCGUAAUAUUAGGAUAAGUUUGAAUGGCGAAAGCAAAGCCACGGGGAAUGCGAAUAGUCUGGACUUGAAAUAUAUUGAAGAUAUUCAUGAGAUUUGGGAUCCUUAUUAUUCCCGUGUUUCGAGUUUUGAUUAAGUGUAGUGCCUGAGCAAUACCUAGGGUUAAUGUUCUAUAGGUUAUGUGACUUGUUUGCUAUGUAUAUAAAGAACCUGUUUAUUAUGCAUUUUAUUGCCUCUGUUUAUCCUUUUGAAAUGUGCUAUAUGAGCCAUACCUUACCUUGUUUACAUGUUUAUAGUUGGUUAAACCCAGGCUGUAGGGGGAGAUCAAGUGGCAACCGCAAUCCAACAAAUGAUUAACAUUUUGGCCCGUCUAGUGGAACAACAGGGUCAAACCCCUGUAAAUCAACCUAGGGACCCCGAUAUGGGGCAAGAUCGGGCUCUUGAGAGAUUCCAGAAGUUCUCUCCACCUAAGUUCUUGGGAGGACCAGACCCGGAGGGAGCCGAGAGAUGGCUAGAGGCCAUGAUCAAUAUCUUUGCCGCUUUGAACUAUACGGAGGAUAGACAAGUGCACUUUGCCGUUUUUCAAUUUGAAGGUCCGGUCAGGGCUUGGUGGAAUGUGGUUCAAGCUAAGUGGGAGAGAGAGGGGACCGCAUGGACGUAGGUGAAUUUCGUGCGAGAGUUUAACGAAAAAUACCUCCCACCUAUUGUUCAAGAGAAAAGAGAAGAUGAUUUUAUUAAGUUUCGACAGGGAACUUUGAGUAUAGCUGAGUAUGAAACCCAAUUUACGAAAUUGUCCAAAUUUGCUCCUGAACUGAUAGUUACGGAGCAAAGAAGAGUUCGGAGGUUUGUGCAAGGGCUCAAUGUGGAGAUACAAGAGGCCUUAGCAGCGGCCCAAAUUAAUACAUUUACAGAGGUCUUGGAGAAGGCCCAACGAAUAGAAAUUGCUAGGGCACAAGUGAGAGCUUUUCAUGCAAAAAGGAGAGGUGCGCCUGGUGGAAGUCAAGGGCAAGGACAAGGUGAUUUAGACAUGCCACCCUCUAAGAUGGAUCGAGAAGAUGAUGGUGAGAAAAUUUCAGGGACAUCUAAGAAAAUUACUCCAGGAGGAGCCUUGCGUGGCCGGGAGCAAGUAAGAGGUGCCUCACAAGGAGGUUAAACUCGAGUAUCUUGUGGGUACUGUGGGAAGGCCAAUCAUACGGAGAAUGAUUGUUGGCGAAAGGCAGGAAAAUAUUUAUGGUGUGAUAGUGCCGAGCACCAGCUUGCAACUUGUCCCCGUAGGUCACACCUAAACCCUUAACAAGCAAAUGUAGGAGGGACUAAGCCAAGAGUGCCAGUUAGAGUGUACGCCUUGGACUAACAGGCAUUACCUGAACCAUCGGAGAUAGUAGAAGGUACGAUUCGUGAUUUCUAUUGUUUAACUAAGUUUUGGCUAUAGUGAGACCUGAGAGCUAGAAAUGGAUAUACAAGAAAAUACCCUACGUUAUUUAGGAGCGCAUGGAUGAAUUCCGAGGACGAAAUUCUUUUAAGUAGGGGAGAUUGUGAUACCCCAACUUUUAGGAUACUAUUGUUGUUUAGCCUCAAAGAGAAUAUUACGGUUUCUUUAUUUUAUUGUUUUGUUUUACAGACUAGAAACCCUAAAUUCUAGAAAUAAAGUCUAAUCAAAACCCUAGUUUCAUUUGUAACUGACCAUUUUCUCAAAUUUCUCAUAUUUCAACCGAAACCCUAAUUUUAAUCACUGGAAUUGUAAAACCCCUCACGUUUUCUCGAAAAUGUACUUUUAAUUGAAAAUUAUGAUUUUAUAAUAACCCUACCACCCAAUCACCUCACAAUAAGUGCAAAUGAACAUGAAAGUAAAGGGUUUCACUUUUCGUUUUCAAGUUGGAGCGAGUUAGGUUUUUCACUUUUUUCCGUCGUGUAAUUAUCCGGUACGGAGCGAGGAUCAAAUUUGGUGUUUAAGAGUGACUUUGGGUGAGAAAUAAUAUGUGAUUAGAAGAAAUGAUAAAAAGUUAGUGAAUAGGAAGUAAAAACCCUAGUACGUGUGAUUUAAGGAAAAACGGUGCGAACCGACGUGUACCGUGCACUACCGAUUGAACACACCGCUUGACCACCACUUUCUUACCAUAUAAGUUCAUUAAUAUUUGAGCAAAAUAUCUCCUUAUUUCCAGCUGGUUUUGACCGAAAUUUAGGACUAAAAAUGCAAGGAAAGAAAAAGAAAUUUUUGUUGGAUUUGGUGGUGACAAGUGUCACACCCCUAUGGCUCCUUGACCAAGCCAAGUCCAACCUUCUUAUCAUUUUGUUGGCUUCAUUUUCACUGCAUUUUUCUGCUAGUUGGCCGAGACAAGAGAGGGGGAAAGAGAGAGCAAGAGUUUCACCAUUUCAUCUUGAUUUGCACCAUCCAAGUGAGGAACUAAAAUUCUAAACCGAUUAAAGUUUGAGUUGUGAACUUGGGAAGCUAAGGGAACCAAAAAUUUCAAGAGGAGGUGAAGUAUUACUCUUGCAAGCUUCUUUUGUUGAGGUAUAAGGUCUAACCCAUAACUUUGGUUCUUUUAUUUUUGAUUAAGAUGUUAUAUAAUUCAUGUUUUGGUUAGAUUGGUUGUGAUACAAGUUGUUGUGAUGAUUUUUAAGGUGAUAUAUGUAAGUUAGGGUUUGAUGAUUUCUGCCUAUACUUACUAUAUGGAUGAUAUAUGUUGUAUCCAAGUUUAUAUAAGUGAUUGUGGUAGUGAUUAAAGCAAGAAAUGAAGAAAGUUUCCUUUGAAAAUGAAAAAUUUCAUAUUUCUGGAAAAUUUGACUUCAGUUCUGUCCGGUUCUAGUUCGUGAUGUUAGAGGCCGAUUUAGGCUUAGCAUAAAACAUGAAAGUUGUAGAGAAUGAUAUUUUAUAAAUGUCUACAAAAUUUCAGCUCAAUCUAAGUAACGUAGCCUAUGAAAAGACUAAAAUACCCUCGCUGCCCUAGGAUGUUUCCAGUGAUCUGUUUUAGACAGUUCAUCUAGUUGACUGUGUCUAAUCACUAUGAUCCGUGCUGUUUUAGCCAUUGGCCAAAAUAUCAAAGUUUUUGUACUCUGUCUUAAUUUUCAACACCUCUAAGAACGCCUUAAACGUACUUGGUAGCCUGAAAUAUGACAAUUUAAAUGUAGUACGGUUAACUAGCCGGUUAGUUGGAAGUUGGUUCUGUAAAUUGGGAAUUUGACUGGAUUACACUGAAAAUUUGACUAAGUGAUCUUCAUGAAAGUUGUAGGCCUUCGUCUUAGCUUCGAAACGGUGGAAGUUGUAACCCAAUCCGAUAAGUGUAGUCUCGGAUGUGUCCAUUCCGCAAAAACCCAUCAAAUCUAUCUUUUGUUAAAUUUCAUUUCCGCACUUGUUAUUAGUUUGAUUUUUGUCCUUGUAUUGUCUUGAGUCUAUGGAACGGCUAUUGAAAUGAAUUUGUGUUGUGUAUAAACUUGGUUUUGUUUGAGGGAAAUAAUGAAGCCAUAAAUGACUGGAAAUAGAAAAAUACAAAGGGCAUGCUGCCCAAAUUUACGCUCGAGAACUAGAGAAAUACACUUGCGACUUAGGUAAAAUUGAUAAAUGAAUAUCACUUGAACCAUCUAGAACUUUUACUACUUUGGUUAUCGAGGGUUAUACGUUAGAAUCUAGCCGAACUUGUACCCUUGAGAAAUAAACUAAUGAUUGCUCGAAACAUGUUUUCCUUGUACUUUCGACUCAAAUGGCAUUUCCAAGUAUAAAACAUUUUGAAUUUUGAAAACAGCUUUAUAGUUGAAGCUAUGAACAAAACUGGCAGUAUGGCCCUUUUCUGGAACAAUGAUGUGAAGAUCUCUGAAGUACUAGAAACUGCUUUCACUAUUGAGGCAAAAGUGGAAGAUGAGGAGAAGAAGGAAAGCUGGUGGUUCAUUGGAAUUUAUGCCAGUUGUGAUAGUCAUAUAAGAAGGGGGCAGUGGGAAGUAAUAAACAGAAGGAAAGCAGGUUGGGGGGCAAAAUGGAUUAUCAUGGGAGACUUCAAUGAUAUUACCUCAAAUGAAGAAAAAUGGGUGGUAGGAUGAGGGAUAAUAGAAGCUUUCAUGAUUUUAGGAAAUUAAUUAAUGAUAACCAGCUGUUAGAUGUGGGUUAUGAAGGGAAGCCAUGGACAUGGAGCAACAACUGGUAUGGGAGUGGGGAAGUUAAAGAAAGAAUAGAUAGGGGUUUAUGCACUGUAGAAUGGUCACAAUGUUAUGAUGAAGCCUACUGCACACACAUCGAAUCCCAUGCUUUAGAUCAUACCAUGUUGAUACUGGAAACUCAAAAGGAAAGGAAGAAAAGGAAAAAAAGAUUCUAGUUUGAUAAAAGGUGGCUCCAACAAGAUGAGAUAGAGGAAGUGGUCCAGAAGGCAUGGAAUAUUCCCUGUGAUGGAACAAAAUGGUUUAAGGUGAAGGAAAAGAUCAAAAAUUGCAAAAUUGAGUUAUUAAAGUGGAGCAGCUGUAAGAAAGGAAAUUCUCUUGAAAAGAUUAAAUGGUGCAAAAACCAGAUUGAGGACAUCAAGGCAUCAUCAGCUGAGAAUAAAAAACAGCAAGUACAGGAAAUGAAAAGAUAAUUGAAAGUGGCAUAUAAUGAGGAAGAAGCUUACUGGAACCAGAAAUCUAGACUGAGGUGGCUGAAGGAGGGGGAUAAAAAUACUCAGUUUUUCCAUGCAACAGUUAAGGGAAGGAGAAAAAGAAAUAGAAUGCAGAAACUGAGAAAGGCGUGUGGUGAAUGGACAGCAAAUAAAGAUGAGUUGGGUAAAGAAGUAGCUAAUUACUAUGAUGAGUUGUUUAAAUCCACAGCAGCUGGGGAGCUUGAGGAGAUCUUAGAUGGGAUUCCUGCUACUAUAACUGAACAAAUGAACAAGGAAUUGACUAAAAAAGUGGAUGAAAAUGAAAUAAAGAAUGCAUUCUUCUCUAUGGAUCCUCAUAAGGCUCCUGGGAGUGAUGGUAUGCCUCCCCUCUUUUUUCAAAAAUUCUGGAGUCUUAUUAAGAAGGACCUGGUAAAUGCAAUCCAAGGUUUCUUCCAUCAUGGUGUCAUUCUUAAAGUCAUAAAUCAUACUGUUAUCUCUUUGAUCCCAAAAGUUGAAUGUCCCACAGGGAUUAGUCAGUAUAGGCCUAUUAGUCUUUGCCAAGUGGUCUAUAAAGCUCUAGCAAAAAUCCUUGUUAACAGGCUAAAGCCUUUUCUUAGUAGGUGUAUCGGCAAAAGUCAAUAUGCAUUCGUUCCAGGUAGGCAAAUCUUAGAUAAUGUCAUACUGUCUCAUGAGUUGAUGCAUUUUCUCAAAAAUAAAAGGCAUGGUAGAGUGGGAUCUAUGGCUGUGAAACUGGAUAUGUCAAAGGCCUACGACAGGGUGGGAUGGAGAUUCUUAAAGGCAAUAAUGGAGAAAAUGGGAUUCUGCUCCACUUGGAUAAGCUGGAUCAUUUCAUGCAUCAGUUCAGUUACUUAUUCAUUCAACAUUAAUGGAGAACACAAGGAGUUUGUUACCCCUUCAAGAGGUAUCAGGCAAGGAGAUCCACUAUCUCCCUACUUGUUUUUGUUAUGUUCAGAAGGGCCAUCAAAUUUACUUCAGAAAGCUAAGUUGGGAAAGGAGUUAAUUGGAGUUAAAAUCAGCAGAAAGGCGCCUGCCAUUACCCAUUUGUUCUUUGCUGAUGACUCCUUGGUGUUCUGUAAUGCUAACAAACAAGAAGCUGAGAAGCUGACCAAGAUACUCAAAGUGUAUGAAGAGGCAACAGGGCAGCUUAUCAACAUGGAAAAGUCAUCAGUAUUCUUUAGUAAAAAUACAAUGCCAGCUGUGAGGAGUGAAGUCUGUCAGGAGUUGGGGCCAAUUAAACAUGUAAAGCAAGGCAAAUACCUUGGACUUCCCAUGAUUAUAACAAAAUCCAAAAGCCAGGUAUUUGGAUUUAUAAGGAACUCUAUAGAUAAGAAAUUGCAAGGAUGGAAAAAUAAAUUACUAAGCCAGGCAGGGAAAGAGAUCAUGCUCAAAGUUGUUGCUAUGGCCAUGCCUACCUACACAAUGUCAUGCUUCAGAUUACACUCAAAGUUGUGCAGAGAAAUGAGCUCGAAAAUGGCAGACUACUAGUGGGGUGACACUGAUGGGAAGAAAAAGAUACACUGGAUAAGUUGGAAGAAGAUGACAGAGAAGAGAAGCAAGGGGGGAUGGGUUUUAAGGAUUUGCAGUUGUUUAACAAAGCUCUACUGGCUAAACAAGUUUGGAAGCUGAUCACGCAACCAAACUUGUUAGUCAGUAAAGUUUUAAAAGAGAAGUACUACCCCAAGCAAUCAAUUUUCAAUUGCAAGGUGCCUCAGAAUGCAUCUUGGAUCUGGCAGAGUUUAUCAGGGGUUAGAAAGGAAAUGCAAGAAGGAAUUAGGAGGAAAAUUGACAAUAGGAAAGGAACUAGAAUUUGGGAUGAUAAUUGGAUCCCAGAUAGACCAUAGAGGAAACCAACAUUUAUUAAACCUCAGGGAUGUCAACUGGAACUUGUAUUUGAACUGAUCAAGAACGAUAGAUGGAAUAGAGUGCUUGUCUUCAAAACAUUUAAUGCCUAAGAUGCUGAGAGAAUCCUGAGCAUACCAAUAAGUAUGACAGGAAUAGAGGACAGCUUCUAUUGGAUGGAUUCUCAAAAUGGAAAAUACACGGUCCAAUUUGGAUACAAGGCUUGGAUGAAGAAAAAAGAAAUGGAGAGGUUAAGAAGGAGGGAGGAAGCCGGAACAAGCUAUGAAGAAACCACUCCUAAGACUUGGAACUCACUGUGGCAGGAAAAUGUAAGUUAGAAACUGAAGGUGUUCGUUUGGAAAUGCCUGCAUGGUGGACUCCCAAUCAGAGAGGCAAUCUAUACUAGAACAAGACAAGGGAACCCCAUAUGUGCUGGAUGUGGAGAAAAGGAAGAAACAAUUGAACACAUGCUACUCCAAUGCAACAAGGGAAGGAAAUCUGGAAAAUGGCACCAGUGCAGUGGGAUGGAAUAGAAUAUCUGUCAGACUGCUUUAACAAAUAGUGGUCAGCAAUUCAGGAAACUCAAGAUAGAAGAGGAGUGGAGGACCAGGUCAAUCUCACCAUCAAUAUACUCUGGCAGAUAUGGAAAGCUAGGAAUGACAGAGAGUUUAACCAUAAGGAGAAGGAGCCUUUUAAGAUAAUAGAGAAGGCUCUAAGGGAAUGGACAGAAUUUGAUUAAGUUAACAAAGGAAAGGAUUCAAGAAAGAGCACUCAAGAAACAGAACUACAGCAAAGGACUGAUCACGAUCAAAAUGAGAGUCACUCUGGACUGACUUUAAAGAUCCACACUCAUCAGGAUAAAGGACAAGCAGCAAUGGGAAUUGGAAUCUCAGCUACAGACAACUUGGGAAGAAUGCAAGUAGCCUGGGCACUUAGAGAAUGUUCAUCAGGCGACAUAUUACAAGACCAAACUAUUGCAGUUACAUUAGCUCUACUGAAAGUUGGAAGCCAAGGCUGGAGGAACAUCAAAGUGGAACUGGACAACCGUAAGCUGGUAGAAGCCAUACAGGAAUCAAGGUACAACAAUCAGCUGAUGGCUACCUUAAUAGAGGACAUUAGAUCCAUUUGUACUUUGUUUCAUCAGUGCUCUAUCUUUUUUGCCAAUUCUAGGAAAUUAGAAUGUAUUAAGUUGAGCAUUCAUGCUCUAAACAUCUGGUUAGAUAAAGAAUGGGUGAAUCCCAAUCUUAGAUGCUAGGCAUCAGUGAAUCUUGAAGGACAGUUUCUCCCUUUUGAUUGGACCUUUGUCCAAAUAUUGUAAAGAUUACGGUAAUAUAUAUAUAUAUAAAGCUAACGUUUCGACCAAAAAAAAUACUUGAUUUUGCAUCCUCGAUCAUUCCCUUAUCAUCCACAAUAAAUAAAAUUGUAAAUAUCUACAUAGGAUCCAUAUAAAAGUAUAAUAUAGACAUCUAUUCAUUUAAGCAUCUUGAUGUGAAAAGGAUCACAAUUAAGCUCUUAAAAAAUAAUAAAAUAAAAAAUUGGAAAAAAAGAGUUUCACGCGAUUCUAGCGCACUUCCCACAUGCAUUGCACAUGCAUCGUUGCUACCUAUACUCUAAUGUCCCUCUCGACUGUGAAUUAUUUUUUAUUAGUAGACAAUAUCUUUUGUGUUUUUUUUUCUUUUCCUUUCCAAAAUUCCAUUUAAGUUAAGAGUUUGAUCCUCUUACCUAUGUGCUUAGGUAGGGAAAGAUAUAAGGGGUGCAAGUUGCAACUUCAAUUAGGUCAUUCUUUCAAGAAGAAGGCUCCAUUGUUAUCCUUUCCCUUUUUUUUUAAUGGCCUGCCAUCUCUUUCCAUACCCUUUCUAUCCUUAACUGUUAGGUACUAUGUAUUUGAAUUAUGAAUUUGACAAUAGGGAAAAUUCUAACAGUUUUCCUUUGACCACUGGAUCUAAGUUCUUCAUACACAUAGAUCAUCUUGUGUGCUUUACGUGAAGCAAUAUCAAGUCUAAUAGAGUUACCGUUCCUCUAAGCUUGUUCUACUAAAUUUCUCCACGCUUGAAUUGUCUGCUUUCGAGCAGACUAAGCCAGCCAUAGAUGGUUAACCUUGACAGGUCAGUGGGGUGUCACUAACAUUUUUUAUCUUCUUUUAGAUCUAAUUGAUUAUGAUGAUUUGGUGAUACUAUUAAACCUAAGUUAAUUACCUAUCAUUAAGCUACUACAAUUCCUCAAAAUCUAUUUACUAUAAGAUCUAGGUGCAUUCUUUAAUUACUUGGUAUAGAUGUUGUUGCAACAAAAAUACAUACUCGGGCAAAAGUUUUUUUUUCAUAAAUUAAUACAUAGCAUGAGGAAUCACAUGACACUCAAUUAUAAUUGCUUUUUAGAUUACUUAUGCCCAAAAAAGAUGAAUAUUUUUGGGGCUCAAAGUGUUAAUUCUUGUGUUAUAAACAACAAAACAAAUGUGGUUUAGACUGUAGUAUAUCAUUAGUUCCACUGAAUUUAAGGAUCAAACAAAUAAUGGAAUCAUACCCUAGGCACAUGCCUCAACAACUCAAGUUUAUAUAGUGCCAGUUUAUACCAAGUAAGUACUACACUUUAUCAUAUCACUCUUGAUAGAGUGAGAUUAUUUUGUAUUAUAUUUGUAGUGUAGUUUUCCUCUGCUAUUAGUGUGGAUAUCUCUCUUUGUGGAGUUGAGUUUACUACUAAAUUAAAGGCAUGAAACAAGUAGAAGGCGAAUUAAUAUUCGAACUGGUGCAACUUGUUGAAUUGGAAACUUUUGCACAAUUUGCCUCUAAUCUCAAUAAAGCUACUCAGAAUCAAUUAGCAAGAGGUCAAGAUAGUAUAAUUAUUAUUAUUCUUUAGUCAACAUUAAUGUUCACCUUUUAAAAAGAUAAGGGAUAAUUUCAGAAACCUCCCUUGAGGUUUUUGACAAUUUCACUCACCUCCCUUCAGGUUUGAAUAAUUACACUAACCUCCUUUCAUGUAGUAAAAUGACUAUAAUAUCCUUCACUUAUAAAUAAUUCCUACAAACAAAAAAACUCUACAAUCACAACUAGUCUUUUAUUCUAAAACAACUGUUGCCACACAAACUAAACUCUUGUUCUAUCUUUCCGACUCUUUCUCCUACCUUCUUUCUCUUACAUCUCUUUUUUCACAAAUAGACACACUCUCGCUUUUUUGUUUUCUUUUUUUUUAUAAGUAUUAUUGAAUUGAAAUUACAAAAUAACAAGUUAUCGGAUCAUAUUUGUUGUCAAGGUGAAAAAGAUGGCGGUGAUACAGAGUACAUAUAAGAAAAUAAAAAUGAUAGCUAAAUAGGAAAUGUGGAUUAAAGAAGGUUACGAUAUUAUAUCAAUUGUGUAAAAAAAGAAUUUUGAGAUAUAAAACUAUAAUCAGAUUUGCCUAGAGACAUGGGAUGUGGUCUCUAGUGUUACUUUUGGUUACUCUGUGUUGGUAUUCUUGGUAAGAUACAUUAUUUUAGUAACAACAAGUUUAAAUAGUGACAUUGGUCAAUUCAAACAUUGAAUUAGGCAAAAAAAAAUGAGACUAAAUAUUAGGUUGAAUGCAUACUUUAAUUGUCACAGUUGAUCUGCAUGAGAAGCUUUGGGGCAACAAUAGUAGGCUGUCAAAAUUGUAAGAAUAUGGGAAUUAAGGUGAAAUGGUUUAUUGAGUUUGUUAGGGUGAUGGUUAUGUCGUUUACAAUAGUUGUAAUGUAAAAGAAAUUUAUUAGUUUGUUUUUCCCCCUUCUAAGUAACAAAGGGGUGUUUUAGAAUUUUUGAAGAGAAAGUUAGCAUAUUGGGUCUAUAUUGUUACUGAAAUGUUUAUCAUAGGGGAGGUAGGUGUAAUUUUUUAAAUUAGAAGGGAGCUUCCUACAAUAGUCAGAAAUCUCAGGGGAGGUUUCUGAAAUUAUCCCAAAAGAUAAAGAUGGUAGUCAUUCAUUUGUAAACUCUCUUAACACUUUUGCUUCAAUUAUUAAUUACAAUUUUUGAAGCGAAACUGAAAAAUGUAUGUUUUUUUGGUCAUAUGUAAUUGUUCGCACGAAUUUCUUGGUAGGGUUAUUUUAUUUAAACCGAGGUGCCAAGAUUUUGGGGUUUUUGAGGGUUUAAACCGAGGCUUGAUGGCCUCCAGUGGCUAAGGCAUCAGCCCUGCUGGAGCGGAAAAAGAAGGAAAAAGAAGAAGAAGAAGAAGAGAAGGAAAAAAAAAGAAAGGAAGGAAAAGAAAAAAUGAACGGGCUAAUGUUUUAUUUUUUGGUGGGCCAAUUUCUUUAUUUUCGGUUGGGCUAGAGGUUUCCUUUUCUAGGUUUUAUCCGGGCUUUUGGGUAAUUUUUUAAUUUGGGCUUGUAUCUCUUUUAAUGAAGAUAGCCUGCAUUUUUUUUUGGGCUGAAGGCGUCCAGGCUAAGAAAUUAAAAAUAAAUGGCCCAGAAACUUUCUUCUUGCCCAAAUCAGAAACCGAAAUUUUCAUUUUAGCCCCUGAUCUUUGGAAUAGUUUUAUUGUGGCCCAAAAAAUUUUAAAUUUCUUUCAUUUAGGCCCUUAAUUUAAUUAUAAUUUGGUCUCUAAACUUUAUCUUUAUUUAAUGUUGACCCCUAAAAUUUUGGAAAAUUAUAUUUUUUGACCACAAAAUUUUCUAAUUUUUUCAAUUUAAGUCCCUUGUGAAUUUUUGACUCUCUUUAUUACAAUUAUUUCUCUUCUUUAAUAGCUAAUUAUGUUACUUUUGAAUGUAUUCAACUUGUAAUUUUUAGAGGUCCUUAAGUUUCUUUAUAUUUGAUAUAUUAAUAUGAAUUUAGUACUUUUAUUAUUAUUAUUAUUAUUUUCAAUUAAAUUGGUGCCAUGAUUUUUUUGUUCAUUUUGAGUAUAAAUAGGACAAUUUGGCUCCAUUUAGUCACUACUUCAAAAGAAAGGUACCCCUAUUAUUAUUUCAAUGUCAAUUAUGUGCUUUUAUAUGCUCCUACGUGUUUAUACGUUUUUACAUGCUUUGUUAUUUAUUUAAUUCAAAUGUUUAUUUAAAUUUUCUUAUGUUUGUUUAGUUAAUUUUAUAAUUAUUUGGGAGGUGUUUAAAUACCUCAAGAUGUAAUAGAUAGGUAAUAUUUUGUAAAAAAAAAUUGUAAUUAGAUAAACUAUUGUAAUAUAUAGAAUAGAUAUGUUUAUUUUCUUAUAUUUUCCCAUUUUAGAUUGUAGUCAGACUCCCCGCUGUAAUAGAUAGGUUUUGCAUGUUUACGUGUUUAUGUGGUUUAUGUGUUAUGUGUUUUAUCCGCUUUCCUUAGGAUUUUUACAUUUAGAUAUUAUGUUUUAUGUGUUACGUGUUAUGUGCUCUUAUAUGUUUAUUUGUUUUAAUUUAUGCCUUAUUCGUUUUAUUAUGUAUUAUUAAUGCAUGACGUCACCACACUAGUCUAACGCUAGUUGUGGCUUCUCUCUCCGCCUACUUGCUAGUCCAAUUCUAGUAAGCUCUUUUAGAAAUGGGUUAUCCAAUGUUAGACCCUUAGAUCAUUCACGCAUUAGAUUUAUUUUUUGUGUGACAUUCAUUACAUUUUCAUGUAUUUUUUGUUUUAGAAUAUUUUCUCAUUUGCAUGGUAUUGUCUAUUAUAUUAUCCCCUACCCUAUAUAUGUAUUCAUCAUAUCAUUUAGGAUUACAUCUCAUUUAAGAAAUUGUAAAAUAAGUUAGUUCAUUUGCUUAUUUAGAUUAAAAAAAUUUAUCUUUUGAAUAUGAAAAAUGGGCGAUUAUAACUUUUUAAUUUAAAUACCCCGUUAAUCCCUACACAAGAAAAUUAUGGCAUGAGUUUUUGCUUCCCAUACCCAUUAUAUUGCACUCCUUAUUCCUUGAUCACUUAUAUUUAUAUAUAUAAUUUAAUUUUCUUUUCUUUUGAAUUUCACUUUUCAAUACUCGUGAUCUUUUCAAGGGAUUAUUUUUGGUCUUCGCAAUUAAUGUGAUCGAUAUCAAUUAAACCAUUGAAUGGACAUUUUGUCCCUUUCGAUACUUUUUAUAAAUGUAGACUUGCAUCCAUGUAGAAAACAUCCAAACGUGACAAAUUUAAGGGUUAGAUUAGAGAAAUUCUAGCUAAAUCACAUAACUAGCUUAUAUUAGGUGGAAAGGGUACCUUAGAUUUGAGCUGAUCAUACCUUUGUCUUCCGUUUCUUCAAUCGUGACUCCCGAGUUCAUUUUUCUCUUGUUUUCGAAGAUCUGGAGUUGUUGAAAAGGGUUUUAUUUAUUUAUUUAUUUUUAUCAAAAAAUAUUUUUUUUGGUGAUUUGGUACACUCAAACUCAAUAUCAAAUGGCGACUCCUAUUUUUCUUAAAAACCCUUUUAGACUAAAUUUUAGGUCCAAACUGUCACAUUUUUUAAAGUCCUAUUUUAGGCCUUUUUCACUUAUUUUAAAAUAAAAAUCACAUCUUUUGUAAACAUGCUUUUCAUCGCGAAAAAUGGGGCGCGACAGUCAAUUCUAAAAAAUCUAAAAUUGUGUUUAAUUUGGCUUCUUUAUUCACUGUUUUGAGUUCACAUGAGCUUUAUCAAAUUGAGCUCGAUUGAAUUUUUCACAUACAAAUUUGUCACUUAAAUUAUUGAGAAAAUAUUUAAUCAAAUCAUUAGAAAUAUUAUAUGUGGUUAUUUAGGCCACACAAAAUAUAUAUUCUAACAUGAUGUCGUCAAUCAAGCUUAUAGUUGGACAAUAAGAUACGUGAGAAUUUAUUCUUUGUUAAUCAUCCAAUCCGUACUUCCAUUGCUCCACUCCACUGGACAAAGCCCCCUGUGGGCUUCCUAAAGGCAAACUUCGAUGGCGUAGUUUUCUCCGAAUAUGGCUACUCUGGUGUUGGAGUUGUUGUGAGGGACGAGCGGGGCAAUUUUGUUGCAGGAACUUCUCACAAAAUCUCUGGUAUCUUUUCCCCUGAGGUCAUCGAAGCCUAUGCUGCGAGAACUGCAAUUUCCUUACUGCUUCAAUGGAAAGUGCCCAACAUUAUUUUGGAGGGAGACUCUUUGAAGAUCGUCAACAUGCUUAAGCUUAUGGAGUCUGAUGACUCGGCCUAUGGGGUGCUGUUAGAUGAUAUCUUUGUUAGGUUAUAGAACUUCGCCGCUUGGGAGGCUAAUUGGGUCCCUAGGAAGGCCAAUGUGCCAGCACAUUUAUUAGCUAGAAAUGCUAGCUCUAUUUCAGAUAUCUGUAGUUGGAGUUAUUCUCCACCACCUUUUCUUCUCUCCGCAAUUUCGGCGGACCUAUCCUCACCUUAAUAAAAUUUUCUAGUUUGCUAUCAAAAAAAAAAGUUUCUUUUUAUUCAUCCAUUACAAUGGAUAGCUUCUAGAUAUGCUGGAUUAUGCAAGCUAAUGUUCCACAGUCAGGAGCAGCUGUUUCAAAGCCAUUUCUUGGGUUGCCCUUCGGAAACUAACAACACCAGCACAAUCCAUAAGGUCCGCUAAAUUUGUUUCAUGUUCUCAUUUUUCGCUUCAGGAGGACAAAAAUAACAACCACAUCCUGAUUCUCAGGGUUAAAGAGAGAGGAAGACUCUGCAAGUUUCUGCGUAAACAGUUCAAACAAUUCAUCCAUGAUAUCACUUCCAAAUUGUUUCUCUAGAAGUCCCUCUAAUGCAACUCUGAGGUGCAAAGCAAUUGCACAAGGGUUGGAGAGAAACUCAUGCUUUCCUGGAAUGCUUAAUAUCUCCAUUCUCUGAACAUUUAGAUGUUCAUUUGCCUUCAUCAGGGUCUUUAUCUCAUUAAGAAAUGGGAAAUAUAGUGGCAAGUUGAACAUAUCCACUUUCAAUUCAUCAACCAGUCCCUGCAAUAAGUGCAUUUUAGUAAUUAAAGUACUUUUUUUUAGCCAAAACCUGCAGUCGAAAUUCGAAGAUAAACUAUGACCAAAACUCAUACAAUAUAUGGAAAUUAGAGAAAAUGUAAAAUAAAAAAUUCCAACUCAUGGAUUUGCAACUGCUAUUUGUAAGCUCAAGACAUGUUUCAGAAAUUAUGGAGCUUAGUUAAUAGCUUAUUCAUGACCAAGGAGGUAUUCCAUUCAUUCUCUACUCUACCAUUGGUAUAUUAUGCCUGAUUUCGUUGAUUUCCUAUAUCUGUUUUGUUUCAUCCUGGAUAUUGAUAUAAAUCAGAGGAAAUAUUGGAAAAAGACAUUGGUGCCCUGCUUGUGAUGCUUUUGGGCCUGCAUUUGUUAUCUUAUAUUCUUUUCUGUUCUAUCCAUGGUUGUUUUUUUUUUUUGUCGAAACGAUAGGAUAAUUUCAUUAUAGUAAGGGAAAAAAUUUACAAAUGCGAGCAACGGCUCGAGAGAACUUUACAAAAAGUGUUCAACGACACUGAGGAACAUUCCUUUCCUCAUCCACAAUAAUGCCUAAAGCAUCAACACUUAAUUUUCUACUAUCUAUCAUAUUUUCUUCCCUACUCAAACAAAAGGAGCACAUGCAAAACAGUCUUUUCACAUUCACAAUAUCCUCCAGCAAUGUAGCCAUUCUGCUCCCCAAUGGCUGUGUUUUUGUUAGUUGUUUCAACAGCUCCUUGUUAGCAAAAUUGAGCCUGAUUCUACUCCACCGAUAUUGCGCAGCUUUGCAUAAGACUAGCUUUAAUGCUAGUGCAUCAUCUAGGCUUUGGUUCCCCAGGCUUCUUUCUUUUAGCUUCCAUUCUGCAGUUUUGGUGCCUGAGGUUGUUCUAACUGUGACUCCAAUGCCUAGAUUGUUUUGUCCUUUCCUUGUAGCUGUUGACAGGUCCAUGAUCAUAGCUCCCUGAGCUUCAUUGCCUUGGCUUUGUUGAUCAUGCAUGUGGGCUAUUUCUUCUGUACUCGUUCUAUCUUUUGAUUUCUCUACUUCCACUUGCUCCAGCCACUCUCUAUGUGCUUUUUCUACUGUUCUCAGUGGUGAUGAUCUAGUUGAGCUCUCAAACUCCUUCUUAUUCCUAUCUUUCCAUAUUUGCCACAGAAUAUUUGCUGUCAAGCCAAUAUGUUCCUUCCCUUCUGGUCUUACCUUUGCUUCUGAGAUUCUAAGCCACCAUCUUCUGAAGUCACCCUGCUGGUCCUGAGCCCUGUCCCAGUGAAUAGGUGAUGCCUUCCAGAUGUCCACCGUGUGGGGGCAUGUUAGCAAUAGAUGUUCAAUUGUUUCCUGUGCCUCUCCACAGGUUCUACAUAUUGGAUCUCCUAUUCUUGUUCUUCUACUCACGGCUUCUCUCACUGGUAAAGCUCCUUGUAUACAUUUCCAAAUGAAGAGCUUGGUUUUGUGCUUAAUGUUGAGCUGCCAGAGUGUGUUCCACAUCUAUGACACAUGCUGGCUCCUCUCUAUAUAACUCGAACCAGCUACCUCUGAGAUACUUUUCCUUGCUUUCUUGUUGUUCUUCAUUUGGAUUUUGUAACUUGAGUUGACCGUAUACUUCCCUCCUGCCUGUGGUUGCCAGUAAUAGCUGUCUUCCCUCCCUGACAGACUUAGGGGGAUACUUAGGAUCCUCUCAGCAUCAUCUCUGUUGAAGACUCUAAAUAUGGUGUUCUUGUUCCAUCUGUUGUGGCAAAUGAGCUCAUCCACUCUUUCCAAAUCGCAAUUGUUUGGUUUAACUGCACUUGGCAUUCCUGAUAUUGUCUCUGGUAUCCAUUUAUGCUCCCAGAUUCGUGUAUUCCUUCCAUUGCCAAUUCGCCUAAUCAGUCCCCUGUCCAGCAAACUUCUUGGUCCCAUUAAGCCUUGCCAAAUCAUGGAGGCAUUUUUGGGGGGAUUGCAAUGUAGUAUGGAUUCCUUAGGGAAGUAUUUAGCUUUUAGCACCUUGCUCACAAGAAGGUUUGGCUUGGUGAGGAUUCUCCAUAUCUGCUUCCCUAACAGUGCUUUAUUGAAAGCUUCAAGGUCCUUGAAACCAAGUCCUCCCUCAUUUCUCUUUCGUGCCAUUCUUUCCCAAGAAGUCCAGUGCAUUUUGUUCCUACCACUUGUUUCUCCCCACCAGAAGUUGGCCAUUAGAGCACUGAUAUCUUUGCAAAGUUUUCUUGGUAGCUUGAAACAUGACAUGACAUCCGUUGGCAUGGCCAUAGCUACUGACUUUAGCAUUACCUCUUUCCCUGCUGAGCUGAGGAACUUGCUUUUCCAGUUUUGAAGUCUUCUUUUGAUGUUUUCUCGUACAAAGCCAAAUAUCUGGUCUUUGGUUCUUGAAAUCACCAUCGGGAGGCCUAAAUAUUUUCCUUGCUUUGCCUCAUUCAUCCCUCUCAAUGCUUGGCGCACUUCCUCCCUUUGAUCACUGAUCAUGUUUCUGCUGAAAAAAACAGCAGAUUUGUCUAGAUUGAUCAGUUGACCUGAUGCAGCUUCAUAGAUUUUAAGAACAUUCAUAAUCUCAGUAGCUUGCUGCUUGUCAGCUUUGCAAAAGAUGAGGGAGUCAUCAGCGAAGAAAAGAUGGGUAAGUACAGGUCCUUGCCUACUGAUUUUCAGUUCCUGAAUUCUAUUACUAUCUUCAGCUUUCCUCAACAAAUUGGAGAGUCCUUCAGAGUAGAUUAAGAAUAAAUAAGGAGACAAAGGGUCUCCCUGUUGUAUGCCUCUCCCUGGAGUCACAAAACCUUUGGCUUCUCCAUUGCAAUUGAAGGAGUAAGUUACAGUCUUCAAACAGCUAUUGAUCCAAUUGAUCCAUACCGGACAAAAACCCAUCUUUUCCAUCAUAGCCUGCAAAAAGUGCCACUCUACCCUAUCAUAUGCUUUUGCCAUGUCUAAUUUGAUUGCCAUGUAUCCAUAGUUCCCUUGUCUUUUGUUUUUGAGGUAAUGCAUAUAUUCAUGUGCAAUCAUCACAUUGUCAAGGAUCUGUCUAUCUGGGAUGAAGGCAAAUUGGGUUUUGCUUAUGCAUUUAUCCAAGAUAGAUUUCAGUCGAUUAGUAAGGAUUUUAGAAAUGAUUUUGUAGAGUACACUACAAAGACUGAUAGGCCUAUAGUUCUUCAAACUGGUUUGGUGCAAGAUUUUAGGGAUCAGGGAUAUGACAGUAUGAUUUACUGAUUUAAGCAUGUAUCCGGAGGUAAAGAAGGCUUUGAUUGCUGGGAUAACAUCACAUUUGAUGGUGCUCCAGAACCUUUGGAAGAACAAUGGGGUCAUCCCAUCUUGACCUGGGGCUUUUUCAGAGCUCAUAGAAAAGAGUGCUUCAUGAAUUUCCUUCUCCUCCACAGCUUUAGUCAGCCUUUCAUUCAUUUCCUGGGUUAUGGAUUGAGGAAUACCAUCUAGAACUUCUGACAUAUCACCCCUCCUCCCACUGUUAAACAACUCCUUAAAAAAUUCUGAGAUUUCUGCCACAAUCUCCUCCUCAUUUGUUGUCCAUGAACCAUUCUCUCUCUGCAAGGUCCUGAUUCUGUUACUCACUCUUCUGCCUUUUACAUAGGAGUGGAAGUACUUAGUAUUCUUAUCACCCUCCCUAAGCCAACUGAUCCUAACUUUUUGACACCAGAAAUUUUCUUCCUCCUUAUAAGCUGCUUUCAAUUGGUCUUUUAUGUGAGUUAGGAUUUCUUUCCUAUUGUCAAAACUCGAUUCCUUAACUCUCUGAAAAUCCUUUUUCAGAUCAGUAAUUCUUUGCCUAGAGUUUGCUUGGAAAGUAUUCCUCCACUUCAAAAGCUCAAUUUUGCAAUUUUUAACCUUCUUAGUGAUUUUGAACAUUCUAGAUCCUUGUUCUUCCUUACUCCAAGCUUUUUCUAUCACCUGCUGGAUCCCCUCCCUUUGGAGCCAUCUUUUAUCAAAACAGAAUCUCUUCUUUCUCCUUUCUUUCCUCGGGUCAGACGCAAAGGUGUCUAUAUGCUGAUAUCUAGCCUUUUCAAAAACUUGGAACCAUUCCAUAUUACACAAACAUCUGUCCAACCUUUGUCUAACCUCUCCUUCAUUAUCCCAAUGGUUGCUCCAAGUCCAAGGUUGUCCCUCAAACCCAAUAUCUAUUAAGCUAUUCUGAUCUAUGAAGUCUCUAAAGUCCUUGAAACUUCUCUCCUGCCUUAGAACUCCUCCCCACUUUUCAUCAUUGGACAGAAUGUCAUUAAAGUCCCCAGUAAUUAUGUAUCUAGUUCCCCACAAAUUUCUCCUAUUACUUAGGACCCUCCAUUGUUCUUUUCUGAUCAUAGGGUCACAGCUAACAUAUAUCCCAAUAAACCACCAGCUAACCUGAGUAUCAGGGUCUUCUAACUUAGCUUCUAUCGUGAAAGCAGAUUUAUACACCUCCAAGAUGUUUGCAUCCUGACUCCACAGCAAAGCCGUACCACAUGCUUUGUUCAUAGCUUCAACAGUCACAUUACCAUCACAUCUUAAACCUCUAGUCAGUCUGUCUAUCACAUGCUUCCUAUUCUUUGUCUCACUCAAGAAAACCAGGUUUGGAGAGGAGAGGUUAUAUACCUCCCUCAGAUGGGGAACUGUCAAGGGGCUCCCCACACCUUGACAGUUCCACACCAAAACUCUCAUGUUCCUUGAGGGGUCCCUUUCAGGCAGGUCCCCCUAACCUCUCCCUUUAUCUCAGCAGAAUAGAAUUCUAUCAUAGGUUUAGUCUUUUUCCACUGGAUUAUCUCAGAAUUAGCUUCCUCCAUCUCUUCAUCCCUCAGCAAGACUUUUCUCUUUCCAAAAUUCGACUGACUUGCUCCAUUUUCAUUUAACUCUUUCAAAGGUCUCCUAUUACUGGUUGGGGACUUCAGUCUUAUGAACGUCCUCUUAGCUUGUUUGUCCUUAGCCUCCUGUACCUUUCCAGUCACCAUUGAUUCCUGGUGGAUCACUAGCGCUCCUACAGAUUUCUCAUUGUCCACUAGUCCUUGAUUUUGAUUCUGCAUCUCUAUCUCUCUAUCCUCCUCCCUCACUUCCACUGCCAUAGGGGAUUGAUUUUCUUCCUCAAACUGGAUCACUAGUGGGAGAUCAGGACCUCUCGUUUCUAGGUUCAUGAUGUCUUCACUACAGUCUUGGGUUCCUCCCUUAUUUUCCUUUACUAUUGGUGAGGCUCCCCUACCCUAUUUUUCCUUCGCCUUCUCCCUUUCCUCCCUCCCUUUCUGCGAGCUAUGGUCUUCCUUACCAGACGACAGCAGAGAUUCUAAAAGACUUUGAUUCAAAGGACUCCUAUUUCUAUUUUGUUCAAUCAAUUCUCCUUCCUGGAAUCUCCAAUAUCUUUUGUCACUCGAACCUUCAUUCCUAGUAGGUUGUUUCUGAGGUGAGCUCCUAGUAUUUCCAGCUCUCAACCAGGGCCCGUACUGGUGGCCUCCCAUGCUUCCCCUUACCACUCUCUUAUCCUUACAAGACCUCUCACUGUGUCCUACUAACCCACAACUAUAGCAAAAAUCAGGACACCUCUCAUACUUAAAAGCUAUCCACUUCAGAGCUCCUGCAAUCCUAACCACAGUACCCCUGAGCAGGGGUUUAGACAGGUCAACUAAAGCUAAAAUUUUCAAGUGCCUGCCCACUUUCCCUCCAUUCUGAGGGAUUAGCACCUCUCUUACUUCUUUGAAAACAACCCCUAUCUUGUUUCCUACCUCUUUAGACAGCCAGUGAACUGGCAAAUUCCAGAGUUGCACCCAAAGGGGCGCAGUCAUAAAGGCCCUGUAAUCCUCUUCUAUCCCUUCCUUCCACCUAUUUAAGACUAACAGUUGAUUAUCCAUGACCCAAGGACCACCCUCAAUAAUUCUUUCCUUAUCAACUAGGCUAGGGAUGUUGAACUGAAAAAUAUUUGGGCCAAGUUCCAUCACUGUCAUAUUCCUAGGGUAUCCCCAAGCAGCAGUUACGAAAUUUUUUACCCCUGUAAAGUUGACAACUUUCUCACCUAUAACUCUUCCUAUCAGGCUUUCAUCGCAGGCUCUAACUUCUUGAUGGAGAUCUCCAAAUUCUAACAUGGCUCCAAGGAGCUCAUUCCUCUCCAGAGAGAAUUUUUUUAAGAGCUCAGCUAGGUCUUCUUCCAUCGAUAAUGUCAGAUACUUCAGGAUAGUAUUCCACUACACACCCAGGAGGAAAACCAGAAUGUAGGAGGAUUGGAACAGAAAUAUUAAACAAUAAAAAACAAGGAAAGUUUUCUGGUGUUUAGGUGCAUCUACUAACAGAAAAUGAUGAAAAAAAAGAUGAAAAAAGAUGAGGAUGGCACAUAAAUAGAGUUCUCUGGUCGCAAUACCUCUAAACAUCAGACAGAGGAAGUAAAGACUAGGGAUGUAAUCGAGCCAAGUCAAACUCGAAUAUUGCUAUACUCGAGCUCGACUCGACUCAUAUAUGCCUAGGCUUGAACUUGGCUCGAGCUCGAUCGAGUCCAAAAAAUCGAUACUCGAAACUUGACUCGAGGAAUUUCCUUUAGGCUCGAGACUCGACUCGAUAAGGCUCGACCUUUAGUCAAGCCUUAUCAAGUCGAGUCUAAUCAAGCUUUUUGACUCGACUUGACCAAAAAAUGAGAUCAAAGGUGACGUUUUGGGAAGAUUCAAAGGCAAGCAAGUAGCUAUCAGUUGGAGUAAAUGAGGCAUAAAAUCCAUGAUUCAUCGAUACAAAUACAACCAAAAGUAUCCACAUUCUACCUCCCACAGUUAGCAUCUUUAACACCCCUAAAAAUCAGAUUCACCACAAAGAAAAAUAGAGAAGAAAAAAGGGAAAUUCCCACCUGCUGGAUUGCUUGACAUGAAACUUUCAAAUUCAGCAAUUACCCACCAACGGUAGGUGCCCACAAGAGUAGCAAAAAAUGGAUGAUUCUAAUUCCUCGGACCAUAGUUCCUAAGUGUGCUGCGAAAGUACCCAAACUAACCAAAAUUCCUCACAAAAUUCCAAAACUCAGCAAAACAUGAGCUGAGCCACCAAAUUGAGAGACAAACAAUUAUCUCAAACAGCCACAAUAUCCCAACUACCACAAGCUCAAUUCAAGAAACCAAUGCCAAGAUCUAUCCAGAAAUUCCUUUUCCCCACAAAUAUCACUAAUUACUAACUAAAGAAAGCUGCUUUAAACAAGAACAUGUCAGAAAAAUAUAUUCCUGGUUCAGAAAUGGACCAUAGUCCAGCAGAAUUACAAGUGUUUGAACAAGAUAUAGAAGAAUGAAGUUGAAAACUCUUGUCACUAACCUGACCCAGCAAAGAUGACCUCAAUACCACCAUUAAAAUGAAAUCCCAGAGGCUGGAGCCUUUUAUAGCAAAUUGCAACAGCUCUUUCCAGGCUGUUGAUUAGGUUGUCAUUUUACACAGAGGAAAGAGCAAAAGAACUGGACCCACAAGCAAAACCUCUGAACCUUAUACCACACACGACACACUCAAAAAACAAGUUUUCUAGAUAUUUAUCCUACACAUUAGCAUGUCAUUAGCCAGCGGCCAGCCUGCUCACAUUAGCAUGUCACAAUAGCCAGCGGCCAGCUUGCUCACACAAUAGUCAUACAUUCGGCAAAUGAAAGAAAAAGGCUUCAAAAUAUAAACAUACUCCACAAUACAUAAUAAGUUACAUCUCAUAAAUUAACAAGGUCCAAAUUAUGAGCUAAUCUAGAUUUAGAAACAUAAAUCUUCAAAGCUUUGGCAAGUCGAAUUCUUUGAUUGUCUUGGCUUCCUACAAAAAGCAUAGAGGUAAAAACACAAAAAAAGUUACAUAACUUCCCAAAAGAAUAAAUUAACUUAUACUUAAUAACUCAAAUAUAGAAGUUUGGUAGUAAAACAAUAAAGCUGACCUAUUAGCAAGCAAAGUACACUAUCUUCAUGAAUGGCAGAAUAUUGUUAAAAAAAAAAUCAUGAACAAUUGGUGAUAUCAUUUCUAAAUUGAGGUUGUAUAAUAUGCAUUUACGGUAAGUUUAGCAAGAAUAGUAAAGCAUUGUAAUUUUUCUUAAAUAAUAAUUAUACCAUAUCAUGCUCUGUUUUAUUCCAUUUUAUGUAGUGUCCUGGAGAGAAACAAACUAUUUAAGCAGCUAAGUACUGCUAUGGAAGCAUGGACGUAUGCCCGACUUUGUCACAGGGAAAUAUGUCUACGCUAAACACUGAGGCCCCAUGAGCAUGACAGAACCAGUGGUGAGAAAGCAUCUUUUUGAUUAAGAAUAAUUAACACUAACGCUGGUUUUACUACGGCCAGAAUACCAAGUUUUGAAGAAAAUGACACAAAUCUAACGCAACCUUUGGUGGAUAAACAGUCAAUAAACCCCUAUUUAGAGAACAGUUCAAAAAUGAUUUUUACAGCACCGAGGCACAAUCCAAGAAAGUUCGACAAAGCAAAUCAUCAAGCAAAGGAUACCAGAAGAGUUGCGGCGAAAAUUUCCAAGACACCAACUUUAACAAACUCAGAGUAACCAAAUGCGGUAAUCAAUCAUACUACAUUAGAGCAGAGGCAGACAUACCAGUAACCAGAUGCGAUGGCGAUGGCGAUGGCGAUGGCGAUGGAGUCUCACAGAUGCGGCGAGCAACGGCGUCGGCGACGAACGAGAGACUGAGAGUAACGGAGUGAGGGUUUAGAUCUAAAUCAGUCAGAGUCAGUGGUUGGUAAAGUGAAUUUUUCGGCGAGGCUUUCUUCGAACAGAGAAGAAAGUUGAACAGAGAAGAAAGUCUUUUCUUCCUUUUUUUUAGACAUUUUUUCUUUUUAGGUCUUUUUACAAUUAUGUUAUUACUUUUUUGCCAUUAUGGGAUUUUAUUAUAAAGAAGGGUAUAUUGUAAAUUCCAUAUAACUUAGACCCAUAACGGUCAUUUUAUAAUUAUAAUACAUAUAUAUUAUUUAAAUUAUAAAUAUAUUAUUUAAAUAACCCCGACUCGUCGAGCUACUCGACGAGCCUCGAGCCGAGAAAUUUUGGCUCGAAACUCGACUCGAUUGUCAUUCGAGCUACUCGAAACUCGGCUCGAACUCGGUCAAACCGAGUUCGAGCCAAGCCGUUAACCAAGCUAUUCGCGAGCUACAUCUCUAGUAAAGACACACAGAAUCUCAUUAUACCUGUCAGACGCAUUCCAAAGGGUAGUUCCUUCUGGCGCUUGGACUUCUGCUUUCCAUGCAACCUUCAUCGAUUGUGUUUGCUGCAUUAAUUAGCCUUUGAUUCCAGACAAGAAUUGGAAAUGGAGAUGUUACAGAAAAGUGCGGGAGUGUUGGAGUUUGAAAAUGUUUGAUUUUGCUGCCUUUCCCACCAACGGGGAAGGUAGCUCUUAUCCCAAGAGAGAGCACCUCAAUUUAGAGUAAGAAACACCUCUACAUAGAAAGAGGACUUUUUGGCUACGUUAGUCUAUCCAUGGUUGUUACAACUAGUAAAUUUGACAUAUGAAGCUCACUUCCAUCCAAUACUUUGUACCUUUUUUUCAGCGAAAUAAGUACAUAAGUUUAGAGGGUAAGGACAUAAUAUCAAAAUAAUAUUUUACCUUUGCAAAUAGGAAUGUCAAAUGAGCGAAACUAUGCUACACUCGACUUGAGGUUGAACUAGUCAAAGCUAAUUUGCGCUUAGUUCUCCAAUUAAUCAAACCAAAUAUGAACAAUAUUUAGUAUCCAAAAAAAUUUCAAAUCUGAAAUCGAGCUUGGCUGACUUAACAUAGUAUAUGAAAUUUAUAUGUGAAAAAUUUAAUUGAGUUUGACUUGAUAAAAUCUCAUCUAAAUUCAGCGCAAUAAAUAGAUAAAUUAAAUUUAAAUACAAUUUUAAACUCUUUAGAAUAGAUAGACAAGUUUGACAACUUGAGUGCUUGGCUCAAUUAGCUUCACUCAUAACCUUAUUUGCAAGUAAAAGUUCUGAAAUUUUUUGUGGGGCAAAUAUAAAAUGUCAACAAUAUUUCCACAGAAUACCAGAUUCUCAAUUCUCAAGCUUGGGGAGAAGGGCAAUUUCUUAAGGCAAAAUUAUAAUACAAAUAAACUUUUUAAAAUUCAUAAGAGGGCAAAUGAAUUUUUUAAAAUUCUUGAGGGGUGGCUGCCCCUCCCUGCAAAGAUCCGAUCCAACAAAACUCCUGUCCCGCAGGUUCAUAGAAGUGUUAAAAAAGAAUUCCAAAUGUCAUUUGAAUUCAAAAAUGAAUAAUUUAACUAUCUAAAACUAUUUAGGAUAUAUUAGAUGAUAAUUCGAAUUUAAUAUUAUUCAAGUGACAAUGAAAAUCAAAAUUCUAUGUUGCAUCCCUGCAUUGAGAUGUAUUCGCAUAGAGUUCUUAGUUGAAGAUCUGAAACUAAUGAAAUCUAACCUUCUUAGCCAAGUCCAUGAGACAAGAUCCUAGAACUUCAAAUCCUGUCUCUGUGACGAUAGUUGUCUGAGAUUCACGGAUGGCAUCAGGGACAGUAGGAAUAACAAGGGCCAUCAACCGUCCAUCGACGAGCUCGUGUGCCCUUGCAUUCAGAAAUGACUCCAGGUCCUUGGCAAAUUGAGAUGCAUAAACCUCAAGAAGUUCCUUUUUGGCCCCUCCGUGGUGAAUCUUUCCUUUGUUCCAUGCAGGGGACGUGUUGUCUGUAACCUCUUUUGGCACAUCUGAAAGCCACUGAAGCGCGCAAGAUGAGUGAGCAAAAUGGAGGGAUGCCUUUGGGAGCAAAACCUUGUGGAAGUCACCUGGCACUCCAGCUGCAAGGUAGUGUCUCUCUGGUGGAAGUGAAGCAAAAAGUGUGUUGAAAUCAUUAGAUAUAUGGUCAUUAAAAAAGACUUGAAACUCGGACUUCAGAUGCUAGUCCCUCUUUUCUGAGUUUUUCCUCCAGGGCUUCUCUUAUCACUUUCGUGGCCACAAAUGUAUUUGGUCCUGUAGAACAGCCAAAAUCUGCUAUGCGAAAUGGAUGCACAGAGGUUGAAGAAAGUUGCUUGACAUCAAGUUCUUUGUCAAUCUCUUCUUUGAUAAGUUCUUUUGCAACGUCUACUGCUCCUCUCUGCCACAAAAAAAAAAAAGAAAAUAAAUAAAAUCUUUACGCAAGUCUUAUAUACCUUAGACAUUUAUAAUGAGGUAAUUGCAGUUUAAACUAGCAACCUGAUAGGAUGAGUUUUGGGCAUAGCUUUGAGGUCCAUUUCCUCCAUUCAUGGCAUAUGCUUGAGGCAUUUUUUCUAUCUAUAUCUCUUCUCUUGCCAUGUCUUGAUACCUCUGCCUAGAUGGUUUAAUUUAUACUAGGCAGAGGCUUAGGCUUAAGUGUUGUCUUUUAGCCCUUUACACGACGGGCAUUUCUACUAAUAAAUGGCCAUCCGAAUACAUAACAGGAUUGACAUAUGCAAAACAAACAAGAAACCAAAGCAGAUUUGUAUCUAUCCCCCAACAACCCCAUGAAAAUCGGGUCAAAUUAUUUUUCUAAAUGAUAUUUUAGUUUUCAAUCGCUGCAUUGCUUUUAUUUUUUUUUAAUUUUUUAUUGAAGAUAUCACAUGCAUACAGCAUAUACCCUGCAGGCCAUAAUUCUAUAUUUGUUGUCCAAUGACUAGGGUUGAAAGACGAAUUAAACUACUCGAAACUCGAAUCGACCUUAACUUCAUUCGAGUUUAGUUAAUUAACUAAUAAAAUUGAGGUUGAGCAGCGUUUUGUAUUUGAUAAAUUUUCAAAUUUGACUCGAGCUUCGCUUCCUUUCACUGUGAAUUUGCCAAAUUACUAUGAAUUAAUUUCCUUUUUAAAUUACUCAUCCAAUAUGACUCGAGCUUGGCUUUCCUUUCAAAAUUUUUACUUUUACCCAUGCUUUUUCUUUCCUGUUGGUUUUCUUUUGUGCCAUGAUGUAAAGAAAUAAAGAACACAACUGCAAAUGAUAAGUAUAUUUAGAACUAGUCAUUGGACAUAACAUGGAUUUUUUUUACCUUCUCUUUUUGAUAAAACAACAUCAUAAUUUCAAUAAAAUAUGUAUUAAUGGCAGAAGUUACAUAAUCAAAUAUACAGAGAUAUCAAAGAACAGAUCUGAAGAAUAGAUAAAAAUUACACUAUAAAGCUCUAAAUUUUAAAAAAAUGAGAUAAAAUAAUUGUGGCUCCACAAACAUCUGUGCAUGCUUUCAAGCUUCCAAUCUGUUAAUUAACUGUUUCAAGUUCCAAUAUUAUGGUGAGAUCUAUCAAAUAUAUAUAAGAAAUUCCAGAUCUAACAAAACUUAAAAAACUCAAAUCUAAUAAAAGAAAAAUGAAAAAAAUUACAUAAAACUCUCACCAAGAAUCCCUAGGAGAGAAGAAAACUCACUAGAAAGUCUAAGAAAAAGAAAACUCUCCCUUAACAACCCUAUGAGAGAAGAAACUCUCAUUAGUAAACCUUAGAAGAGAUUCUAUUCGCACAAAUGAAAAAAAUUAUAGAGGGGGCUUCUCCCAUGGGAAAGAUUAGAAAAAUCUGAUCUCUCUCCCAAGGAAGUUUUGAUUGGAGAGUUUUGCAUAGAGAUGUCAAAGAAAAUCAACUUUUCUAGAGAGGAACAAGUGCCAAACAUUUUGUUGUCAUUUUUUUCCUUCUCUUUAAUAUUUUUUCAAUUUUGAUUGUGCUAGCGUAAUUUGUUUCUUGACUGUGCUCUGGCUUUCAAAAUAUAAAUUUACUGAUAUUUGCACAUAUUAUAGUCCUUUUUUGAUAAAAAAACAGAAUUUGUCAACGAAUUAUCGAAAAUCAUCCAGUACGAUUUGAUUUACAUCCCUGUCCUAAUGGCAGGUUAAAUAUGUAUUAGAAAUAAUAGAUCAAAUCUACAAUUUAAUAAAUACAAUACAUUUAAAAAUUUUUGAAUAGAUCUAAAAGUUAUAACAAAAUUUCAAAUUAUAUUCUAACAAGAUAAAUUUGCAUCUCCCUGUGUUGCAAUCGCCAAAUCUACUAAUCAAUGGUUUUAAGUUCCAAUAAUGAUGAUAUGAUCUGAGAGAGACUCAAUAUCUAAAAAAUUCUAAAUCUAACAACUAGAUUUAAAAUAAAUUUGGAUCUAACAACAAAAGAAGAAAAGAAAAAAAAUUCUCAUUAUAAACCCCUAGGAGAAACAAAAAAAUUGCCCUCUGUGUCGUCAGUUUAUUAGCAAACCUUCCUUUGGAGGUACGAAUCAUCAAGUAGUCUAUAAUGAUCACCGGUAUUGGUUUAAAUUUCAUCCGGUUUUACAAAGCAACUAAAAAAUUAUAAUCUGUAAAACUCAUUUUAUUGUUUACGGCAGAUGGAAAUAUUAAACUUCACAUAAAUAACAAACCCCGACCAGUGUUGCACAUGUCCUAAUAAAAAAUGCAUAUAUGUACUACAAAGCAUAUUAAGUAUGCUAAAAUCUAAAAUUCAUUUACCAAGAAGAAUAUAUUCUAUGUUGAUUGAUGACUACUAAAUAAGAGAGCAUAGAGGAGGAAUUUUUUUUUUUUUUUUUUUUUAGAAGAGGAGAGGAGGAGCAUGUUCAAGUUGAAACCUGCAUGCAACACAAUCGUUCAGGGAUAGUCCUGAUGAUGACUGUCCCUAUCCCCAAGUACUAAAUAAAUCCUUUGUGAAGUUGGAGCACGUUCGAAAACUGUGGGGAAUCAAACUAUUGAAAUGAUUGAAAAAUCAAGAAGGGGAAAAUUCUUGCUAGGAAAAAAUGAAUGUAAUUAAAUAAUUGAUAAAAGAAGGGGAUUAAAUCCACACCCUUCCAUCCUAGAUCCACAUCACAAGCGCUAAUAAGACAUUAAUAUGUGUUAGAAAUAAUAGAUCGGAUCUACAAUUUAACAUAUACAAUAGAUCUAAAAUAUUUUGAACAGAUUUAAAAAAUAUAAGAAACUCUUAAGUUGUCUUCUAGCAAGAUAAAUCGUUGCAACUCUUUUGUGUGCAUGUUGCAAUUGCUAGAUUUGUCAAUCAACGUCUGCGGUGAUGGAGAAAAAGUGGGGGCAAUUGCCGCCAUUGACCCCUCCUAAAUCUCCAUAUUAAUUUAUAUAUAAAAUUAGAGUUUUGCCCCCACACUCAAAUGAAAUCGCCCCACUACUCUUCAACAAAAUUCAAGUAUUAGAGAAUUGCCCUCACUAAGUUGUCCGUAUCUGCAUAUAAAAUUGUAAGUUUGCCCCCACACUUGAACGAAAUUAACCUUACUACCCUUCAACAAAAUCUAAAAUAAUAAUGUACACUUUGUUUAUAUAUCUCUACAUCAAACAAUUUAACAACACUUAAAAUUAAUGCAGUAGAAGUAUAAAUGCGAUAUAUAAAGACUUGGAUAAAUAACCACUCAAAAAUAUAUUUGAUUAGAAUAUACCAAGUCGCGAGGCUCUAAUUGAUCACUCAAGAGGUGAAGGGAAAUCGUAUCACUUGGAAGGCAAAGAAACAAGGCACAGAUAUUUUGGAACAAUGCUUUAACAUAUACUAACUCAAAUUUUACAUGAGAUUGCUCAAUUGAGCAUUCAGCCAUAAGGCCAUAUAUACAGGAAAGAACCUAACAACUCCUUAUUAGAUUUUACUAUCAUAAACUCGUUCCAAUUGUAAUAUCAAAAAACAAUUUAACUUUGUUUCUUAAAUCAAUUUUGGCACCAAUUCUAAUCUAGUUACCAAAUAAUAAUAUAAUCCUAAAACUGCUAAAUUUCUAAAAAGGUUUGGUUUAAAAUAUGUCAACAACGGUCUUGUCUAAACAAAGAAAGAGACUCAAUUUACAUUUAUUCUUUUUUUUAUCUAUUUUAACAAAUCCAUUAGAAUUUUAAAAAACUUUUUUCACCACACAUUGGAACUGACAAACAUUGCUAAUUUUUUUAUUUCCUCUUAGAAAAAUCUAGAGAAAAUUUUUAGGGUUGUGAGAGGAAAAGUAGAAAAAUCCUUUAUUAGGAAAUUAGAGAUUUGUUUUGUUGUUAAAUUAUAGAUUAAUUAUAAACAUAACUUCUAGCAUAUAUUGUUAGUUAAAUAUAUUUUUAUAUUUUAAUUAGUAAUAUUUUAGAAAUUAACUUUACUCCAUUAAAUUUCUUUUCUAACUCUGCCCCGAACAUCGAUAAGCAGCAAUAAUGUUGAUGAGAUCUGUCAAAAGGGACCCAAGACCUAAAAAUUUCCAAAUCUGAAAUAAAUUUAGAUCUAACAAUAAAAGAAAAAGAAAAAAAUAGAAAAUUCUUACAAGAAACCCCAGAAGAAAUAGAAAAUUGUCCUUUGUGUUGUCUGUCUAUUAGCAAACCCUUCUUUGGAGGUACGACUCAUCAAGUAGUCUAUACUGAUCACUACUAUUUUUUUACAUUUAUAAAUUUUAAAUAUCCCACACGCGAUUUUUCACAAGUAUACGAGUCGUGAUUGAGUAUAGGGUAUUAAUGGUCGAACCCAAAGAAAAGAUUGUCAAUUACCGAUGAUUUUAGAAUUCUUUUAUUAUUUAGACUAUCAUAAAUGCACAAAAAUUAAAUCUACACUAUAAACAUGAGAUAAAAGUAAAAAUAACAAUAGAAAACUUCCAAAGAUAUGGAAUUCCUUACUACUCUUGCAAGUGAAUCGAAGUUACCGGUUAAGUGAAUGAUUUAUCUUGGCUAGUUAUGGAGUAAUUUUCUAAUUAUGUGAAACCUACUUUUGUGGUGAAUCAACUAUACUUGUAACUAAACCAUACCUAAUCUCGUGGUUAUGAAAUUAACUACAAGCUCUUUUUUUUUAUGAAAUUACAUGAAACAAGUCACUAAAGCCAUAAAGGUGCACCUCUACUCUCGUGAGUGUUUUCCCUAGGUUUAUCACUUCCUUGAACUAGUGUUAAAUUUCAAUUCUCAUUGCAAACUUAACACGUUACGAUUAUCACAAUUAAUGGUCGGUUAAUCAUGAUUAGAAAAGAAAAAGUGAUAGAUAACUUACUCAAUAUAUAUUUGAUAUAGAAAGUUCAUCUAUAACUCUAGGCAUAAACUUUAACUAAACAUGAAGAACAAGAUCCAAACUUGUAUUAUAACUAAACAUGAAAUCAAAUAAAAAAAGAAAGUGUUAGGAGAGAGGUCACCCUUAUCACAUGAGAUCCAUCUCUCCAUCUUUGCUCCUUAAUUCUUUAUCCAAAUCUAGCUACAAAUGCAAAAAGAAUAAACUACAUUAACUAUACUAAUCUACCCUAACUAAUGAACUAGGUAUACUCUAGUGAAGACUACAUUUUUGUGGAGUUUCUCUAGCCUUCCAAAGUUGUAAAAAUGUUCUUCAAGGCCUCUAUUUAUAGAAAGAUUCAAGCCACAAAUGAGUUGUUUCUAGUUGGCAAAAUUGGAUCUUAAAACUCUCAAAGGUUGCUUCUCAAAGUUUUCAUGCUCAUCUACUUAUUUCCAGCAGGAAUCUUUGUAGAAAAAGUGGUAAAAAAAGUUGUGUGAACAAAGCACAAGUUGCAAAGCAAGUUGUAGCCGAAAUUAGAGAAUACGCGAUCUACCCAUGUUUUGCUCUUUCGCAGGUUUGCUCAUCUCUGGUUGUUCUUCACCCUUACUCUGUUUUUUUGCCAACUUCUACUGAUAUUUUCUCAAUAAUGGCAGCUGAACUAGCUCUUGCACAAAACAUGAAAGUUGUAGCCCUUUGAGUUAGCUUUCCAAUGCAUUAAAAACCAUCCAAUUUGAAUCUCUGUAGACUGAUAAAUUAUUAAAACACCCUCGAUUGAUCAGAGCUCUGUUUCAGCUUUCGAUAACAAAAUUGCAUUUCUGUAUUUCGAUAUUUUGACAAUGAAAAUGACUAAACUGGAUGUCGAUGUCUUCAUACCAAAUGUAGAUCUUUCUCUUAGUUUCAAAAUGGUAUAAGAAUCAACUCAAUCCAAUGCUUGUAGCUCAACAUAUAGUUGAAAUACCACAAAGUGUCAAAGCUGGAAAACUUCCUUAAUUGCAUUUCAUCUCUUGCACUUCAUAUUAUCUUAAAAACCACUUCAAAUCAUCAAAAAUCAUCCAAUUAUGUGCUCAACUCACUCCAUUUGAUGAUUAAAUCAUUGAAUCUAUAAAAACAUGAAGUUUUCACCAUUAAAAUCCAUAGAAAUACAAUUUUUACCACUUAAAUCAUAAAAUGCAUAUUUUCACUAGAAACUUAGUUCAUAAGCUAUAAAACUAAUUAAAACACAUAAAAAUAAUUAAUAAAACACAACCUGCAUGCAAUACGUACCGUGGUGCUAAAUAAAUCUUUUGUGAAGUAGGAGCACGUUCCAAAACCGUAGGGAAUCAAACUGUUGAAAUAAUUGAAAGAAAACUCAAGAAAAGAAAAUUCUUGCUGGGGAGAAAUCAAUGCAAUUAAAUAAUUGAUAAAAGGAAGGGGCUAAAUCCGCACCUUUCCAUCCUAGAUCUACAUCUUAAGUACUAAUAAGACGUUAGGGCUCUUAUAGUAUAAGUUAGUAACUUUUCUUUUGUAAAGUAUCAAUAAAUUACCUGCAUAAUACUAUCCUUUGAAUUAUUUCCUAACAAUUAUGCUGCAUAAAGCAUCUUCCUAAAAAUGUUCAUAGUAAGGUACAUUUUUUUCUCACAUGAAUUAACCACAAAAUUCUGAUCCUUAACACUCAGAAAAUACAAAAGGAUCAUCUAUUGAUACAUUAGACUAGCAGCACUACAUUGUCAUAUAAUAAUCGAAACCUCGCUGGGACAUUUCGUAAAUGUCAAAACAUUAGUUUUUAUGUUUUACAAUGAUCAUUCAUAGUUUGGCAAAAUCUAAUUGGUACAUAAUGAAAAGUCAAAUUUUUUAUAUUUUGCAUAUUUGGAUAGGCCAAAAAUAUCUAAAGAAAAUCUUGUGGGGAAAUUCACUGUCAUUAAAUAGCUUUUAUAUAUAAAAAGAUUAUAAAAUUGGAAUAUAUUUGAAAGGUAUUAGAAUGGAAUAAAUAGUUACAAGAAUAAUGCAAGGCAAAUUAUUUCUAUUCCGUAAAAGCAUAAAAUUUGAGUAAACCAAAAAAAAAAAAAGAAGUUGGAGUAAACAAAGUUAGAAGAAAAAACCUAUUAAAUGUUAAGGGCUUCAAUGUCACAUUGGUCCAUAGGAUGUUUAUUGAGGAUAUGAUGGGUGGAUUUAGCCCGUUCGUUGACAAAAAUAUCCUAAUAAAAUUAAAUGAUAUACUAUCAGUCCUGAUGAAGAACCUAUAUAUUAAUAACAUAAUUUACAUAUUUACAUGUUGCAUAUUCCACAUUUAUCCAUCCGAAUCGUAGUUAAGCUAGAAAUCCUGUAAUCAUGGGCAAACUAGUUAGAUCCAAAAGGAGAAACACUAAAGUCAGAAGCCCCCUUAGAACCUAAAAAAGUAAUAGAAUAGUGUAGACAAUGUAUAGGUGUAGUCAACAUGAUGAUGCUGGAUGGUUUCAUUGACUUCAUAACAAUGAAGACUAGGCACAUAUUUCCUUUCAUUACCCAAAAAAAAAAAAAAAGGAAGACUAGGUACAGUAUUAUUGGCUUCAGAUAUCCGAUUCUGCUACCACAGAAAAUCACGCAAUAGAAGAAAAAGAAAUACGUCCAAUUAGAAGUCGCUGAUUUGAGUUUUGCUCUAUAAAAUAGGAUUGCAAUUCCAAUUAGUCUCUCCCAUUCCCCUUUCCCCUCCAUCUAACUUUUGAGUUAUGAAGAAGUUAUUAGUUAGUUGAUCUACAUAAAUAUUAUUUUUAAGGAUAUUACUAUGUUUGUUUUUCAUUUUUUUUUUGGUCAAGUAAUAUAUCUUGAUGGUUAAAUAGUGCAUUUUUUGUUUAAUUAUUUCAAUUUUCAUCUACCAAAUGUCCCUAUUCAAAUACUUGAUUUUGCAUCCUCGAUCAUUCCCUUAUCAUCCACAAUAAAUAAAAUUGUAAAUAUCUACGUAGGAUCCAUAUAAAAAGUACAAUAUAGACAUCUAUUCAUUUAAGCAUCUUGAUGUGAAAAGGAUCACAGUUAAGCUCUUAAAAACUAAUAAAAUAAAAAAUUGGGAAAAAAAAAAAAGAGUUUCACGCGAUUCUAGCGCACUUUCCACAAGCAUUGCACAUGCAUCGUUGCUACCUAUACUCUAGUGUCCCUCUGGACUGUGAAUUAUUUUUUAUUAGUAGACAAUAUCUUUUGUUUUUUUUUUUUUUUUUCCUUUCCAAAAUUCCAUUUAAGUUAAGAGUUUGAUCCUCUCACCUAUGUGCUUAGGUAGGGAAAGAUAUAAGGGUUGCAAGUUGCAACCUCAGCUAGGUCAUUCUUUCAAGAAGAAGGCUCCAUUCUUUAUCCUUUCCGUUUUUUUUUUUUAUGGUCUGUCAUCUCUUUCCAUACCCUUUCUAUCCCUAACUGCUAGGUACUAUAUAUUUGAAUUGUGAAUUUGAUAAUAUUGACUUUAUGUGUUAUACAAAAAUAAUUCACAAAAGACAAACUUAUUUUGAAAAUUUUCUAAAAAUUUUCAUACAUGAUACUAACAAUUGUCCCUUCUGUGCUGAAGGCAUAAUUAUAGACCAACUUUAGAUGGAACAAGGACGUUAGUACCUUGGAAUUAGACCUAAAAUUGAACUUAGAUAAGAAUUUCACUAAAUUGUACCAUCCAACUAAAUUGUACAUUUUCUCACAUGGUAUGAGAAUACUAAAAACAAAAAAUUUUAAAUACAUUACCCUUACUUGAAUUAACAAUGUGUUAGCAUGUUUUUUGCAUUGGUGAAAUUAACUUGUUAUUUGCAUGCGUAACUAAGUUGAAAAUUAUUACGACUAUAUGAUACCCCUUCUAAUUUCAAAAUCUCCAUGUAAGGUGUAAUUAUCAUUUUUUAAUCUGUCUUUGAAAAAAAAAAAAAAAAAAGAAUCUACGUUGUUAUUCACUAGAACGUUACAUGCUUUUAAUCUUAAAAAAAAUUUCGUGGAGGAGAGCUUGGUGUGAACCCAGUGAGUUUUUACUAAUAAAUCGUACCAUGCCUUCUAACUUUUAAUUCUUGAAUUGUUUCUUAUCAUAAAAGCGCAUUAUCUAUCAGUAUUUUCUUGAUGACAAUGAUAAAUAAUUCAAAGAAUAGUAUUAUGAAGGCAAUUUAUUGAUAUUUCACAAAAGAAAAGUUGUUAAUUAACUUUUUUUAUAUACUAUAAGGGCCCCAAUGUCUUAUUAGUGUAUCUAGGAUUGGAGGGUAUGGAUUUAAGUCCUUCCUUUUAUGAAUUAUUUAAUUCCAUUGAUUUCUUCCUAGCAAGAAUUUUCCUCUUCUAUGUUCUCUUAUUUAGUAGUCAUCAAUCAACAAAGAAUAUAAUCUUGUUGGUAGGUAAAUUUCAGAUUCUAGCAUACCUAAUAUGCCCUAUAGUACAUACAUGCAAUUCCUUUUUUUAUUAUUUUAUUAUUAGGACAUAUGCAUCAUUGGUUGGAAGGAGUAAAGGUAUAGGAAACAAAGUCAUGGAUACUAGUACUAUUUUAUAUUUAUUCCAAACAAUUUCCAAAGAGAAGUCAAAUGAAAUCCUUCUUCAAAAUUUCUCAAGAACAAUAAGGAGGCAAGAAAAAAGGAUAGCAAGAAAGCAAAGCAAAAUCAAAGUUCAAACUUUCUUUAAAAAAAAAUAAAAAAAUAAAAAAUGCCCCAAAUAUCCAAUGCCUAAAUUGCAUUUCUUGGGCCGAGUUAAGUAAAGACAAACUAUCUCCUUAUAAGCCAUGUUAUUGGACAAACGCUCAACAACACAUGCGCCCUACUCAAUCGUUUCCGGGCAUUUGAGGGCUCGCUCUGGACUGGGACUCGCCCCUACGCUUGGUUCAGAAAAUGCCUUUGAAAACACUAAUUACGAUUAUUAGCUCCAACCGUAGUUUGUUUGUGGAGGUCCAAGGCCGAACUUUCUCAGUAACUUUUGCUGUCGGUGGAUGGUUGGAGUUAUGAGCGGACACGAGGCGUGGAUGCUAUCAGUAACAAUUGUUUGGAAUAAUGUAACAUUUUUUUAAUAAGGUAUAAAUUCACGUGAAUUACUUAUAAAAUUUAGUAUUACAUAUGAACCUUACAUGAAGUAUCGCAAUUAUUACUUUCAAGGUUUAUAAAAUCGGGAUCCUACGUAAGAUCGAUUUUAAUUUUACAUAAUCGGAUCAUAGAAUCGUAAGAUCCCACCAAAAGCUCCUAAAUUAAUGAAUUUGAAAUUCAUAUACCAUUUUGCACAUCCUAAAAGAUUUCAAAUAAAUAGAUAACUCAUAAAUAUUUUAUACUAUAUUGUCCAUUUCCUGUUUUGAGUUUUAACAAUCAGACAAGGAACCUUUACUUGAUCUACUAAUGUUUUCUUUACAACCUUUCAGCCGAAAAGUUGUGUUUUUGCACUGGCCUGUAGUAGAAUGUAGAAUAGAUGAUCAUAGCAAAACUAGCUGCUAUAGAUAUAGACGAUGAUCCAUAUGGCUUGCAAUAAUAAACUAACAUUGUAAAAAGGGCAACAAAUGAAGCCUAAUAUAUAGUUGAGUAUCAUUGACCACUAUACAUCACUUGUAUGCAUCUCAAGUCAAGUUUGAAACAAGCAAACAAUUCCAGUUCAUAUUGGCUUGCCAGCCAUUUAAUUUUCAGACUUACAUUUUAUUAAUUCUCCGUAAUUUAAUUCUAAUGUGCUAAAAUUAAGGAAGCAACCAAUCAACACAACAACAGCGGCCUGAAAUACGUGGCAUGGGGGCCUCAUAAUCAUUCAUUCAUGGGUUCAAAAGAAAAGAUGAAAGAAAGCUGCCGACGAUCAUCAAUUUGCAGGCAUGUGGUGUGGAGCAACAACUAUGGAGGAUUUGAGUAGAGAAAUGCUUAGCCAAGCAAAAGGAAUACUAUAAGGCGAUGAAUAAUCUUGGUCUUGGUCUUGGGGGCCCAUCUAAAACAAAAAAUAAUUUGCAAUGCGUGAAAGUGACUUAAGAUCUAAAUUCUAGAGUAAUUCAGUUGGCUGGAAUCCGGCGGCAACAGAGGAGAUUUCGUCUUGAAGGUGCCAAAAUCCGGCGGCAGCAGAGGAGAUUUCGUCUUGAAGCCUUACGAAAUCUAGCUUGAAGCCUUGAAGCUGUAGCUUGUUGGUAAUUGGUAAAAGCCGCAGCGAUUUCGUCUUGUUGGUAGGCGUAGGAGUUGCAGCAGUUUGAUGGAUAAAUUCUAGGGUUUUGGGCAGCGGUGGAGAAGAAAAGAAAAGUGCAGGCUGAACCGCUGAAGAAUGAAGUAAAGAGCAAAAGAAACGACGAAGGAAAGGAGUCAAAGGCUGACCGACUAAGGAAAGGCAAAGAUGAGAAGAAUCGGUGCUUUUUUUGACAUUUUGAGCAAAAAUGGUUAAAACAUUGCAAUUAAAGGCUGCAAUUCUUUGAUAAA
RNAcentral lists this long non-coding RNA (155679 nucleotides) under Coffea arabica (coffee). RNAcentral's name for it is "long non-coding RNA (CARA_LNC005299)". Lineage: Eukaryota; Viridiplantae; Streptophyta; Magnoliopsida; Gentianales; Rubiaceae. The record is from RNAcentral.